UUGCUCAAUAAAUCGAGCGAUUGAAGGUUUGAUAGGCGAGAGAAAUUAUCAGGGAGUUCCCCUUUCAAUCCACAUUCCCGGAGUUGGAGAGAUGACAAAGAAGAAGACAAGUUCAUCAAGGAACUGGGUACCACCAAAGACAUGUUCACUCCACCCAAGUAGAGUUCUCUCAGCUGGGUAAGGUUCUGAGCAAGCUUGUUGAAAGAAAUCGGUUCUAGCAUCAGCUCCUCAGAGUUGGAAGAGAGAUCAAGUGACACCAAUCUGGAUAAAUGGGAGAUUUCUGGGGGAACUUGGCCGGCAAAAUUCGAUGAAUAUAGACUUAAAUGCGUCAAAUGCAAGAACUGACCAAAGGAAGAUGAAAUGACAGAGCGAUUGAAGUCAUUGCCAGAGAGAUCGAGCUUCUGAAGAUGAUGAAGGGAGAAGAGAGUGCUGUUAGAAUGGAGGGUGCCAUAAAGCAUGCGGCAACCAAGGUCUAGGCCAAUUACAUGGCCAGUUUUCAUGUUGCAUGUCACGCCAUCCCAAGAGCAGCAAUCUGUACCCUCUUUCCACAGCACUCUCUUGGGUGGAUAACAUGGAAAUCCAUAUGGUGAAGAAGACAUGAUGGAAAAGGAAUUUUUGAAUUGGAGCAAAGCCAGGCUCUGGUCAACGGGGCAUAAUUGUACAGAAGAGGAGAAAUUGGAAGAAGAAUGAGCAGGUUGGGAGUGCGAAUGGAAGAAAAGAAGGCAGAGAAAUUGAGCGAGCAACAAUGAAGAUCCCAUCAUUCCCUAAAAGUGCUCUUUUUAGAGAUUAAAACUUAGAUUGAAUGGGAGACUUCUAUUAGAAUGUAGUGUAUAUAUAGAGACUUCCGGAAUGCAUAAUUUCCCCUUUCCUCGUUGUUUCCAAAAUUAUUUUAAAAAAAAAAUCAUAUAAAUAUAUCAUCAAAAUAUAUACUAAUGGGAGAACAAAAGUCUAAAAAAAUAGAAAAAAUAAUUUGAAAUGUUGCAAAUUCGUUCACUGCUGCAAAACAGACUAAAAACGAAAUGGAAUUUGAAAUGUUGCAGUAUCUACUAAAACCUCAGUUCAGCUAAUUCGGAAACCAAUAGAAAAAAUAGACUGGCCAACAAAGUUUGCACUGAUAAUUUUCCAUUGUUAUUCGGAAACUACAAUAUUUGGAUUAAAGAAAAAAAUAACAAAUAAAUAAAUAAUAAAUUCAUAAAUAGCAAUUGAAAAUUUAACAACUAGUGAAUUCAUAAAAUUAAGUCCCCCUCUUUUUUUUGUUGAAUAUGAAAUGGAUAUUCAUUUUGUCGCAUAAAAUAUAACACAUCUAUAUUAGAUAUGCUAAGUCAUUAUUCUAAAUUUAAAUUAUAUUAUAUACAUGAUUUUUUUAUAUAUCUCAAUAAAGACAUGCAAUGAACAUAAGGCUUUAUUUUUUUAUGUAAGGUGGAAGACUUGUCGGUAUGGCUUUCCCUGGUAGUCUUCUCUCCAAAUACAACGCAACUUGACUUGAUAUUCAUGGACAGUAAGGUUAAGUAGGUCCAGUAAUUGAUUAGCAUAGACUGGAUCAGUAAGUUUUUGACUGGAAAAAAUGGUUAGGCACUUAAUUCCAUCAAUAUUGACUGGACCAUAAUGAACUAGCUACAAAGCUAUACAUGUUUCCACCCUGUACUUGUCUGAAUUGGGCACCACCAGACUUGGUGCAUUGAAUUUCUAGGAUGGGCCACCUCAAUUAUGUUUAUUAUUUUCAAAGCUAUUCAUAUUUCAUCACUCGUUUCUAGCUAUGUUUAUUAUUUUUCAGGAUUCGAUUUCGAUACUUGUCAAUAUUACAAAGUAUUUAAAAUUGAUGUUGCAAUUUAUCUUUGAAAAAUUCUGAAUUUUUUUUUUGUUUUAAAUUAUAAUAUUUUUAUUUUUAUUUUUGUAUCGUUUCGAUGUUAAGAUGUCAAAAAUAAAUUUUAAAAAAUAUAUAUUAUUUUGAUGUAUUUCCAAGCAAAAAAUAAUUUAAAAAACAUUUACUGCACUUCUAAAGAGGAACUAUGAAUACAUCUAUCUUUGUAAAAUUGGUAUCUAUACAGUCUAGAGAAAAAUAUCAAUCAAUCCCUAAAAUCAUAAAGAAAUUCGAGAAUAUAUAUAAAAGCUCUAUCUCAGAACAUAAAUGGAAGAACCAUUUAAUCUGAGUCCAUGCCAUAUGUUAUUAGUUGAUAAAUAGUUUUUAAAUUAUUGGAUGGCCCAAAAAUAUUGGGAUUACUUCCAUCCCAUUUCGAGUCCAAAACCAUGUGUGUGUAUUAUAAAGAAAGAGAAAACAAAAGUCAUUCUUGUUGGGUUUCGUGAAACAUUAUCAAAGAACCAAUUCAACUGAAAAGCUUAGGCUAUUAGGUGAGCUUCCAAGAUAUGAUUUAUAUUAUUCUCUAACACACACCCUCAAGUAAAAUCUCUUGGAGCUUAAAACUUGCAUAUAUCCACAUUACCUUUUGCUUAAUUUUUAUCAAAUAAAUGGGAAUGGUGAAAUUUGAGCUUGUGACCGCUUGGUCAUCAACCCUCUGAUACCAUGUCAAAAAACCAAUUCGACCUAAAAGUUUAAACUAUUAGGUGAGGUCCCAAUAUAUGAUUUAUAUUACUCUCUAACAAACACAAACAUGUAGUGAAAAUAGUAAAUUUGAAUUUUUUUCAGGAGUCCCGAGAAUCUUCUUAGAAUGAUUUAGAGUUGUUUAAGAUUUAUGCAAAUAUUACCUUAAGAUUUGAACUUUAUUUCGACUUUGAAUAUAUGCUUCAAUGUUGGGUUGUCGCAAACAAUAAGUUUUCCAAUUGUUUGGCCUCUAAAGAUAAUCCACACGAAUCACCUGUAAAAAAUCUCAUAAAACUUUUUAGAAGAAAGGGAUUAUUAUACCUUAAAAUAAUAGCUCCUUUUUUUUUAGGUAUUUCAAUAUUAUACUCUACUCACCUUUUUCACCAUCCACGUGAAAUAAGAGACAUAGCUUUCUAUUUAUAAGGAAACCUAAAAACCUCAUAAAUGAUAAAAUAUCAAUUUGCCCCUAAAAUAAUAUAUAUAUAUAUAUAUUAGGCUAAUUUUAGAAAUUUAUUCAAUUAAGUCCCUACUUGAUUUUUUUAGGUUUAGAAUUGCAAUUCCAUGUAUAUUAGUCUAGUCAAUUCAAUAUAUAAGUUAUGUGACAAACACCUACAUAUUAGUCAAUUCAGUGUACAAGUUAUUUGACAAGCACCUACAUAUUAGUUCUAAGUAUCUCUCAUAUUUCAGUUUAUGAGAACAAUUGUUUUCUCUUUUAUAAGGAAAAGAACAUCAUAUAUAUCAGUCUCAACAACUCUAAUUAAUGUCCAGUCUUAAUAUAGCAUUGACCAUGAAUAAUGGUUUAAUGCAAUAAGAAUCUCAUAAUUAUAAUAACUGUAUAAUUUUCUUUGCAAAACAUUUUUUUUCUAAGGACUUUAUCUUUAUUCUAGAUUCAUUAAUCAAAUAUUUGAUGAAUAUUAAAGUUAAAUAAGCAUUUACUAAUAAAUUAAAUAUAUUUACAUGAUAAAGUCAAUACCACAUAUAACCAAUUGAUUUAUUACAGGUCAUAUAUAAACCCCCGGUUUAAAUUUUAUUAGGUUAUUAAAAUAUGAGAAAUUUAAUUGAUAGUAAAAUGGGUUAAAUUAAAUUAAAGAAACCUAUCUUAAGAUAAAAAUGGUGAAAUUAAUGAAAUGCAAAGUGAAUAUAGUGCAAAAUUGUUAGAGAGAAAAAUUUACGGGGACAAAAUAAAUACGUAAAAUCAAGAGGGGUCAAUGUUCAAAUAACAGAAGGUUAGGGGUUUAUGUAAAAAUGAUAAAAUGACCCCUAGGGUUUACAAGAUUAAUGUAUGUGUUUUAUAAAAGGGUUAAACAAGAAAAUUUGGAUUUUUCUUGCGAAAAAAUCACCUACUGAUCAAUUUAGUGCUAAUAAGCAUAAUGUUCAAUCCAACCGUCGGAUCGAACUGAACAUUUAUGAAAGCCUCCUUCACAUAUAGUUUCAUAUACAAUUACAAUUUUAAAGUGAUCAGAGUUCGGUAAGGUUGUCAAAUAAUGUCGAGAAUUAGAAUGAAAAAUAGCAUGAACAUCAUUAAUGGUAGUUUUGUAAAUAUGCUUGAUCAACUGGAAAAUUCCAGUAGCUCUUUUCUUCAUUAAACCAUGGCUAGACAGAAAAAUAGGAGGAAAAAAAAUAGAGAAAAGAGAGCUUGGAAUUGAAAGAGAGAAAAAGGCAAGGAGGAACCCAACAAUCAUGUUAGGAAAAGUGCUUUUAGUUAGAAAUCAACAAGAAACAAGAGAGAAAAGAAGGAACAAGGGAACUUAGGAGACAAAGAGAAGACAUGGAUGACAAAAAUUCCGACAACUAUUAAUCACCGUUGGAUCAGAACAAUAUUUGGAUAUGUUGUUAUCCUCUAUGUCUUGUACAUUUUCACCAAAGGGAUCGUCUAUAUUUGUCCCCGUGUGAGAGAUAUCUCAGGAGGAAAAUUAUUGGGAAAGUACACUUUUGGAUAGUCUCAGUCACCAAUUUCUCACCGUCCACCAUUGGAUCGGGCUAUAAUUUGGAUAUCGUGUUCAUCUUGAUUCUUUCUAGAUUCCGAGCGGUGGAGAUCAAAACCAACCACUCCAAACGGAAGUUGUACUUCUUGCACAGUAAGUUUACAAAUUUUAGCUUAGUUCAGUUAAAUGUAUGUUUUUGGAAAAUUCAUCAUUGAAUGGAGUUGAUAUUUGGAUAUGUCAUAAUUUUAAUAAUGAAUUAUAACUUGACCGUAUGGAUUGUUGUAAUAUUAUUCAUUUGUUAUUUAUGGGUGAUUGAAACUGUUGCCAAAAUUAGUUUUGUGUGAGCUAAAACAACCCCAAAAUUAAAAGGAAAUGGAGCAAUAAAGAGACUUAAUUUUUAGGAGUCUUUAGGGCUGCUGUGACAGCCUUGAAUGUCUAUGUUUUAGGGGGGGUAAAUACCUCUCCAAUUUGUUUUUUAAUGUCUCUAAAAAACAAAAGCAAGGCUGUUGUGACAGCCCUACUAAUGGGUGAGGUAAGUUUAGGUUAAGAAAUUAGCUUGGAAAAGUGUGCACGGUUCGCGUUAACAUAUAACUAUGUGAACGUGAAAUAAUGAUCUAAUUUAGAUAUGGAAAUCUUUCAUGAAAUCAUAUAAUGAUGCAUGCUAGAUGAUAAGAAAACAUUGAAAAGGGCAAUGAAUGAUAUUAAAUAUUGGUCUUAUGUGGAGCAGGAGAGGUAUCGACUGCGGGACCUCAAGCUAGCAGAACGAGACCACUAAGAGGAACAUGUAGGUGCUUACCACCUCACCUCUUUAUAUUUUGAAGAGUUUAAUACAUUAUGAAAUUUUAUUUGUUUAUGUUACAUGUUGAUUUAUGAUAGUAAAGGAUGAGAAAUUUGAUAGUGGAAACAAGAUUGUUUCCGGGAAAAACAUUGUAUAAGGUAAUAGUUCUUGUUAUCCUAAUUUCUAAGGACAACUCGGAUUGAUAUAAAAAGCCGGCCACAUGAGUGGGGGCGAGGAAAGUUAGCCGACCAUAUAAAGUGCAAAGAGGAAAAGGGGGAAAUUGUGGUUUCCCUUAAUGAAUUUAUUAAAAUAGUUUGCUUUCUUUAUGUCAAUGUGUGUGUGAAUUGAAUGAAAUUAGCAUGAAAGAAUGAGGGAACUCUUGGUUCCUUAAGGCUAUGCUUUCAGUCAAUUAUGUAUCAAAGAGAGGGAUUUUAAUUUGACAUAUUUAGCUUAAUGAUGUGUGUUUAAUUGUGUCAAAAAAAGGAAAAAAUGCAUGUUGAAAUGUUAAGGAUUGUGUUUAGAAAAAUAUUGUUCAGAAAGUUUGUAAAAUUAAAAAGAAUGUUCAAUUUUGACUUUAAGAGGGAAGAUUGAAAUAAAUAGGAUAAAUUGGCUCUUAAAAGAUAUUUUUGACACUCUUAUAUGGUAUGUGAUGUGGUUAGGGGUUAAGAUAAAAAAUAAAAAGUUGAACUAGAUGUUGUGUGUAAAUAGAAAGGUUGCUAAAUCUAGACAGAUUCGUUUUCUGACUUUUAGAGAGAAUUUGAGUAGGAGGAUGAUGGAAUUAGGAUCUGGUUCCUCAUAGUAAUUGUAUUUUUGGAUGUUGACUAACUAAUAAAAGUGGUGUUACUCAAUGUGGAGCUAUAGAACUCCAGUUAUGGGUCACCAACCGAGACUGGGUCAUGACAGACCCUAUAGGGCAGUAGGUCUGAUUUGUUGAUGAAUAAUUUUGAGUGUCUUAAAGGCAAAACUGGGUUCUCUUUCCCCAUGGGACUUGUAGUCCCAUGUCUUAGCUGUCCACCAAGACCAACCUUGUUUGAAAUGUAGUCCUAGAACUCUAGAUAUAGUCAAAAUUCUGAGGAGAGGUUGGAAUAUGACCUCUACCGGCAGAUUCGGAAAGUCCCUAAAACGACUAUUUGGAUGCAUUAAAGGGUGAAAAUUUGGGUCCUUUCCCUUUGGGGAACAUGUGAUAUUAUAUCUUAGCUUCAAAAAAAAACGAGUCAUGUUCGAAAUGGAAAUUUGUAAUGAUUACUAUGGUCAGACAAAAAAUGACAAUAUUAAUGGGUGAAAUUAGCAUGGACCAGCAUACAUUUAGUGUAUGUUAGGAUCUCGGGCAAGGAGAUCACCAUGCAUCGAUGCCUAUGGGGCAUGGACUAGCAUACAUUUAGUGUAUGUUAGGAUCCCGGGUAAGGGGAUCACCAUGCAUUGAUGCCUAUAGAGCAUGAACUAGCAUUCAUUUAGUGUAUGUUAGGAUCCCGGGUAAGGGGAUCACCAUGCAAAGACUAACAUAUAUUUAGUUUAUGUUAGGGUCUCGGGUAAAAGGAUAGCUAUGCAUCGACGCCUACAAAAGGAUGAUGAUACCGGUAAAAUUGGUAUUGGCAAUGAGUUAGGAAGAAAUAAUUAUGGCUGACCUUAUGGAAUUUUGAAUGGACGUUGAAAAUAGAAGAUUAAAUGAUUUUAGUAGUUGAAUGAAAAAAGUUCCAAUGGAAACAAAUAUGUUUGUGAAUAGAAUAUGAAUACAUGUUCCAAUGAGUUCCUUUUUAAAUUGUUAGAUAUUUGUGGUACUAUACUUAUUGUGAUAUUCAUAUUUUAAUAAUAUGUAUUUUGUUUUAGGACCAUCGUAUGCACGACAGGAGUAGAUCCUAGUUUUUGUUCACUUUUUGUUAUCUAGUUCUAGGGAAUAUAUCUUUGUAUUUUGAAAUAUUAAAACAUUUAUAUAACUUAAUUUGUAUAAUUGAUGUUUAAACUUAAAUAGAUGAACUUAACUCUGAAAUUCAUAUAAUCAUGUUUCAUGUAUGCGUGUUUAUCUCAUUUAUUCUUCUCUAAUGAUAUUUGUUGUUCAAUGUGAGUUAUAAAUAUUAUGGUUGUGAUGAUGAUGAUGUUUGUGGGUCUGAGACCCACGACAAUUGAGUUAUAAAAUGCGAGAUAUUAGAAGUGUAAACAGAGCAUAUGUUGAUAACUUGGGACCUCCUAAUAAAGGGAAGACUCUACCAAAAUUUUGGUAGAAAUUUCAGUAGACUUUUAUAUGAGAACUGUAUUAAAAAAAUUACUUGUAUUUUUACAUACCAAAUCAUAGAAAAAUAAUUAUAAAUGCAUAUGAAAGUAUGAGGCAUUACAUCAUAUACACUAACAAUUCUCUACGAUGAAUUCUUUAAUUUGAAUAGUGUUGAUCGUUGAAAAACUUCUAUCUUUAUGUGUUUUGUAAAUACCUAUUUGUUAGUUUUGCCAAUCUUUUUUUGAUUGCUAUUGUUGAUAACUUGACAUCCUUUUUUUUUAUGAGUACUUUUUUUUUUAAUGUUGUUAUGCAUAUCCUCUAAUUAAGUUACAAAAUAAAUUUUGUAAUCCUAUUAUUGAAGGAUUAUGGUCCCAAGGUUUUUCCAUAUUAGAGUUUUAAUGUAAACAAAAAUUAUGUUCAUCGUGUGGUUCUAUUGUUGAUUGUUUCCAUUUUUUAUUAUUAUUGUUAAUUUGAUUUCUCUCAUUUUAACUAUGCAUAGAGAAAAGAUUUUGUGACAUGUGGUUUGUGAUUAUAAUUUAUACAAAUGCCUUUUUUUUUUAAAGAAAGGAAAUGACAAUAACAUAUACAGAAAGGAAUAGACUCUUUGAAUGACAAAGGCACCUAAUGCUUUUCACAUUUUUGUUAACCCAUGAACAAAAUCUAUGUCUAUAUAGAUACAUAAACUUAUAGAUACAUAUGUCUCAAUUAAUAAAGAAUCAAUAGAAAAUGAAAGAAUCAAAAUCAAUCAUAAUAUUUCUUAAAACAAAUGAAAAAUAAUAGAACAUGAAACAUAAACCAUAAAUUAAGUAAUCCUUCUUGAAGACUUGCUUAAGAAUAAGAAAGAGGUACAUAUCAUGAAAUAAGGUUUGAUCUUAAUUACAUAGAUUGUGUAAAUUUUUCAUUAAAAAAAUAGAAAAAGCUUGAAAUAAUUGAGUAUUUUUUUUUUUGGAAAAUGCAAUUACUAAUUCAAGGUGUGUGUGUGUAUUCUUGAUACUAUGAGAAUUUUUAUGAAAGCCUUUCAUUCACUUCUAUUCAAUGAAAUUUUUAUUUUCAAGAAUUUAUCCUAAUUUUUUGUCUAAUUCUUUUUUUUUACUAUUGAUUCAACCUCUAAUAAAAUAAUAUGUGUUGGUUAUAUUACAUCUUUUCCACAAGUUUAGAAAUGACUAUAACAACUGUUGUUACCCGUUUUUUGGUUCCCACAAAACAAAAAAAAAUGAAAAUGAGAAAAUACAAAAAAAAAAACUAUUCGGAAGAAAUCCAAAGAAAUAAUAGAAGUAAGAAAAGGAUGCUGAAAUGCCGAAGAAAUGUCGAAAUUGGUUUAGGAGGUUCGAAAAAGUAAAAGAUUAAAAUUUGACAGUAUAUUUUUUACUGAUGAGGGCCCUGAGGACAAAAAAAAUUCAAUUUGGGAAAGAAAAGUUCAAAAAAAGAUGUUUAUGUUAUUGUGUUCAAAUUUAUGCAUUCCCUUAUUCAUAGUGUAGAUUAAAUGUACAUAAAUAGUUAUACCAAAGAUUCCCUUAUUCAUAUGAACAUGUGCUCUAGGAGAAAUGUUUUUAUGCAAUGUUAACAAUUUUAUAACUAUUUUUUUAUUGUUAAAAUAUUUUUGUUUAUAAUCAUUCCUAUUAUUUAUAUAUAUCAAGAAAGAUACGUGGACUAAUAAGGCUAUUAUUAAAUAUUUACUUACAAAUAGGCAAGCUAUUCUAUUCUAGUUCAUAGUUUCUCUUGUUAUAUGAUUGGUCUAAGGGACACACCAGAUAUUUUAGUUGUGCCUAUAUCACUCAUUAUUUAUCAUGUGUGGAUUUUUCAAAACUUCAUGGACAUAAAAAGAAGCAUUUUAUAAGUUCAUUGUUAUGGACUAAUGACGUACGAGACUUAAAUUCUAUAUGUAAAUGCUAUAUAGUUGAUUUUCAUCCUUUAAAGACUACAAGUAACAAGGGAGCAUCCAUUGACAAAAAGAAGCAUAAGGGAAUCAAGAAAUAAAGAAUAUAAGCUAGUCUUUCUUUUACCUCUUAAAAGUUAAGUGAGUUAAGAGUGUCAUGUAUGAUUUUGAAUGAGAAAAAUAAGCAAGGAAUCAUUUUUUCAACUUUAAUUUCAAUAUUUCUUUUUAUUUCUCAUCAUAAGAAUGACUUAAUCUUUUGGAAAUCCUAGUUAGCAUAAGUAUAAUAAUGGGGGUUCUUAUUAUUAUUACUGAAAUAAACAUUAAAUAUUCUCUUACAUAUUUGUCCGUAGAUCAAAUUGAAUUUAUAAUUAUUAGAAUAAUUUUAGAGAUUCAUAUAAUGGAUAUGCAAUCAUGAUAAUUAACUUAUAUGAUAUUUUAUUUUUCUAUAAAUCUAGGUACUCUUACAUUAUAUUACCUUAUUUAUUUAUGAAAAAUGAUAACAUUUAAGAUUAUACAGAAUUAUAUAAAAAAAAUUAUUUGUUGCAUCUCUCUUUAGUCUUAGAAGAUCUUCCUCUAUGAGCAAGUUAUUUUGAAAAACUUUAUAUAUUAUCAUGUGGAUUACAAAUAGGUCUAUAUUACUUGGGUUUUAAAAGGACUCCUUAUGAAUGUUGUUUUUAGGUAAUUAAUAGCUUUCGAUGGUAAAAUAGUCAAACGUGAAAGGUGACAUUUUGUCACUUAGUGCAUAAAAUAUUAAGAUCAACUGGUGACUUUGCUUUUGUUUGUUCCUUGCUUUCUAUUUCUCUAUAUAUUCUAAUGAAAAGUAGUGUUCGUUGUUGCAGAGUUUGGGCAGUGCGAGUUUCCCACAGGAUAUUGAAGAGAAUUCUGAAGCAAGGGUUUGGAUUGACACAAUUGAAGGCUAGUUUGACUGUAGUUGUUCUUUUUCUUUUUUUCUUUUUUCUUUUUUUGCGCUGGGGGGGGGGGGGUUGUUUUUUGGAUUUAUUCAGCAGAAGUUGGAGCUGGUAGACAAUUUAUUUUGAGUAGGUUGUCUGUGUAAUUAAUAGUCCAAAAUGUUCCUAUCAUGCUUACUAUUUAUUGAAGGCCAUUGAUGGCUUGUUUUUAACUCUCUUCUCGACUCCUCAAAUGGGGAAUUUGCUGCUGUAUUUAGAGAGGAAACAACAAGUUCUUGCAGUGCUAAAGUGGUAGUACGUAUUUGAUCAUGGAGGGCUGGGUAUUGUUGAACGCAGAAGUCUUCCCAUUUCCCAUUCCAUAAAUAGAUCGAAUGGUGAAAUGUAAUUGGUAAUUCCUGCUUGGAUAAGAUAAAAUUUUAGGGCUACAUUGGAUCAGCAUAUAAACCCUCUUCGAUCGUGCAGUUAAUCAUAACAUAUUUUCAUGCAGUAAUGGGGUUGCUGAUAUAUACUCUUGAUGCCUUGUUUAUGGAGGUACUUUUUUGCUUCGGUUCUAAUAUAAACAGUUGCCAUCAGACUUCCUGUAAAAAUGUCAAUUUUGAAAAUUAGUAUUGCCGUGUUUCCAACGCUUACUCUUGUGUGGAAAUAUUUACAAGUGAACCUUCAGUUCAAUAUUCAGCACCAAAUCAAGAUUUGCUCUCCCUUGUUGAUGCAUGCUGAAAGAGAGAGACCUCUCCUCGUGUGGAAAUAUUCGCUGAAAGGAUUUAUUGGUUAUUUCAAUUAUGUAUACAUAAUCCCAUAGUUUAAAUUAUUUUUUGUUUAAAAUAGAAAAGGGAAAAAUCAAAGUAUAUCAAUUCAAGGAAUGAAAAGAAUUUUUAAAAAACAAAAUAUUACUAAUCAAGAGUAUGCAUUAUUUCAAUUGAAAAAGAAAUAUUUUUUCUUUAGGUUAUCCUAAUCACUUUUUUUUUAAAAUUUGAUUUAUCUAUAGUUUUUUUUUUGUUUAUUUGAAUUAAAGUCAUUUUAUCCUAUAACCCGGAUUACAUAUUUUUUUUGUCUUUUAAAACAUGAUUAUGGUAGUUGAAUAUUAUAUUUUACACAAAAUAAAAUAAUCCAGCCCCAUGGCAAAGCGCGCAGGCUCUAAUUAUAGUUAACAUAUACUUAAAGUACUUGACUUUUCAAUGUAUAAAUGAAUAAUAAAAUGUUAAGCCCUUUUAACCUUGGUUCUCGAGACUUUUUAGACCUUUUUAAAAAAAAAAUUAAAUUUAUUUUUUUCUUUUAAUUUCAUCCUCCAACAUUAGGUUUACGAGGUACUGGAUUUUAUAAUUUAUUUUUAUUUAUUUUUUAUAAAGUUAUACAGACCUUAUGACCCAGGUCAUGAUGAGUUUUGUAGGUUAGUCGUGUUGACUCAUGUCGUUUUUGUUUUUUAUUAUUAUUGUUUUUUUUAACUUCAUUAUUAAAAAUUGGGUUGAUUGAGAAUUGAUCUUCAUAUUUUUUUUAUUUGAUUUCUAUAGGGUUAUCAUGGUCUCAUGAUUUAGGUAAUGAAUUUUGCAAGUUAGCUAUGUUGACUUAGGUACUUUUUUCUUUUUAAAUUAAAUAAUUUAUUUUUCAAUUUUAUUAUUUAAUAUUGGCUAUUAAACCUUUUUAAUCUAGCACAAGAAUAUUCAAUCGCAUUUUUACUACACUUAAACACCUUGAAAUCAUAUAAGUGUUAUCUUGGGAAAACAUGGUGGUUUUAUAUUUAUUUUUCUAUUUAGAAAUGAGAUUUUUUAAUUUACUUAACCAAAAUAAAUGUAUGGCGACCCAGAUGAUUGUAAGGUGGAGAUAUGGCUACGUUCCGUAUUUGACUUAGCAUAGACUGGAAGAUUGAUCCAAAUGCUUGUUUCCCAUCUAUCAUGCAUCAAGUGAUGCUAAUCUAAUUGAAACACUAAGUUUAUGAUUGGAAAAAAUGGUUAUUCAAUCCAUCUGAUUUGGUGGGUCAAUCUAGUGUUAUUAGGGUUUUUUAAUUUUUUUUCUAUAUAAAUUAUUAUUAUAAUCAUUUUGGUGAAUGGAUAAAUAAAAAAAAUGAAAUUAAGUAUUUUCAUUUUUUAUAUAUAUUUAUAUAUUUUUUUAAUUUUUAAGAGUUUUAACUUGUAAUAAAUUAACCUCUUAUCAUUUUUAUCAUUUGUAUCAUUUGUUUCUACCUACGUCAUGAUUUUUUUAAGAAAGAAUUUUAAAUUAUUUUUCAUUAAUAAUUCAUAUAGAUUAUUGUUAAAAAAACAAAUAUUUAAAUGAUUCAUAAUUUACAACAAUUUAAAUUUAAAGAAAUUGAUUCAACUUCAUAAAAAAAAUUUAAUCUUUUAAUAAUUUUUCUUCUAACUCAUCCUAGAUUAAUAAAUAGUGACCUUAAAAAGAAGAUUUACAUGGAAUAACUCGAUGAGUUUGUUGUCAAUGGACAAGAAAAGAAAGUUUGUAAGCUUAUCAAAUCAUUAUAUGGUUUGAAACAAGUAUCUAAAUAAUGACAUGAAAAGUUUGACAAGGUUAUGCUGUCAAAUGAGUUCAAAAUCAACAAUUUGAUAAUUGUGUUGAUAUAAAAAACACAAAUAAAACUUAUAUCAUUGUAUGUCUUUUUGUGGAUUAUAUGCUAAUUUUGGACAAAAAUGAUCACAUGAUCAAGUUUACUAAGAAAAUAUUAACUAAAAAGUUUGACAUGAAAUACUUAGGUGUUACAAAUGUCAUUCUAAAAAUAGAAAUUUCUAGACAUCUAAUGGAUUAGUAUUAUCCCCAAUCUCAUUAUAUUGAGAAAAUUCUUAAUAAGUUUUCUAAAGGUAACAAUAGCACUAUCAAAAUAUCAAUAGAUAUAAGUGUACAUCUGUCUAAUAAUAGAGGUAUAAGAAUAAAUCAAUUGAAAUAUUCUCAACUAAUUAAAAGUCUAAUGUACGUUAUAAACUGUAUAAGGCUUGAUGAUGCUUAUUGAGAAGAUUUAUAAAUAAUCCAAGUAUGGGUCAUUGUAAGACAAUAAAAAAGGUACUUAAAUAUUUGAGAUACACCUCAGAGAUUUACACUUUAUUGAUUAUCCAAUAGUACUAGAAAGGUAUAAUGAUGCUAAUUAGAUGUCCGACACUACGAAUUUGAAAUCCACAAAUAGAUAUGUCUUCACAAUUGAUGGAGCAGUUGUGUCCUGAAAAUUCUCUAAACAAACGAGUAUAACUAGAUCCAUGAUGGAAUUAGAGUUUAUUGCUCUUGAUAAAGCUGAAGAGGAAGCCGAAUGGAUUCAAAAUUUCUUAAAGGAUAUUUUGUAUUGGUCAAAAUCAAUGUAAGCUAUUUGUGUCCAUUGCGAUAAUCAAUCAACAAUUAGAAGGGCACACAAUUGUAGAUUAAUAUGAAGUCUAUACAUCAUAGACGAAAUAUUAUUAAAUACUUUCUCUUGAAUGAAAUUAUUUUCUUUGAUUAUGUAAAGUCAAAUAAAAAUAUUGUGGAUCCGCUAACUAAAGAUUUUUUGAGAGAACUUGUGUAUAACUCAUCUAAAAGAAUGGGUUUAAAACUUUAAAAUACGAAAGAGUGUAAUGAUGAUAACCAUACCCAAUUGAUUAAAGAUCCUAAGUCAUACAAAAUUCUUGGUAGCACUAAAAAAAUAUUAUUUCCUACUUAUUUCUAUGAUGAAAUAAGUGUUAGCUGCAUCGUGAUAAAGGAAAAGUUGAGUUCUUAAUGAUUUUCAUAUAUUGGUGCCCCAAGUGGAGUAUAACAGAAUACUUAUAAUGAAAAAUCACUUAUAUAAGUGAAAAUAUGGUUGUUUCUUUGAGAAUUUUGAUAAAUAUUGAAUUCUCCAAAGCACUCAUGUAUCCAAGAAUUAUUCAGGACCAAAAUAAACACAAUAAUGAAAACUAAAGGAAAUAUUUAGGUAGAGAACUACAUAAGUUGUCUUAGUUUACAUAAAAUGCUGAAUAAUGCAAGUAAUCGUGUUUAAUAUUGAGCUUAGUAAAUUCAAUAGUAUUUCACUGAGAAAUGCUCAAAGCUAAAAACUACGUAUCUUGAUGUAGUGAUGUGCAAAAUCAAAAUUUCUCAACAAAUCAUUGAGUGGUUUUAAAAAUGGUGAGAAAUUUUUGUUCAUGUGUAUGAUUGUUGGAAAUUUGUUUAAAUAACAUGAUUUAAACAAAUUAUAGGUGAAUAAAAAAUUAAUCCCAAAAAAUCCUUGAUUUUCUUACUAAAAAUAACCUUGGUUUUUCUUGUUUUUAUUCUCAAUAUAUGGUGGCUAAUUAAAGGUUGAUGAUGGUGGGAAUUAAUUUUUAUUAACUCUUAAAUCUUUUAGCUUCCAAUAUUCAAUAUAAAAAAAGGGUGAAGAAAAAAUUUCUAACUUGAAGUUUUGAGUUUUUACCUCACCUUAUAUUUUAAUGUUUUUUUUCCUCACUUUAAGCUUUGAUUUUCCACGCAAAUCUGGAGUUUAGAUUCAUCUUAUUGAGAUAUUUUGAGUUUCAUAUUCUUUCAUUCAAAUAUCUUGUUUAAAAGUGCAUCUAAACUAAGGUGAUGUUGUUAAAAUCUUGAGAGAGAUAUUAUAAACAUCCUAGUUGUACAAUUGAGGAGGAAUAAAACUUUAAGGACAAAGAAUUCAACCUUGACAACAACAAAUGUUUUAUCACUUUACAAUGCUUGAACAAGUAAGUACUCUUCUUUGUUUUAAUUUAAAUAUAGAUAUAUUUUUAUUACUAGUAUGUUUGUUAGAGUUUUGAAUUAAUAUUGAUUGCAAGUAGGGCCGUUUAAAAAACCAAAAAAAAAAUUAACUGAUAAAACCAAAACAAGAGAAAAAACCGAAUCAACCAAUUAGAAAAUUAAAAAAACUUUUUGGUCCGGUUUAAUUAUGGUUUUAAAAGUAUGAAACCAAUUGAAUCGGACUGAUUUAGUUUGAAACUAAACCCUUUAGCAAACCCAAGAAUAAAAAACUAAUUUUUCUCUGAAACCCUAUUCCUCUAAUUUCCUUUUCUCGCACAACCACCCUACCCUCCCCUCUCUAUCUUUAUUGUAAUAGACCCAACUAUACGAUUUGAUCAACGUUAAAAGAUCUCAACAUAUAUUUUUAAUUUAAGGGUAUUUUAUUUUUGUAAAGAUUUCUACCAAAAUUUGAAUAAAAUAAGACCUCCCAAAUUCAAGAUUUACAUUUAUAGUUUGAUGACUUUGCUCACUUUUCUCUUCAAACCCCCCCCCCCCCCCCCAGUUUAGUGCAGUUGGUUAUUUAUAGUUUUGCAUGCUUUACUAUUUUUUCUUUGAUUAUCCUUAUUGUUAAUAUUAAAUUAUCGCUUUGCCUUUUGCAGGCUUUAUCCAGGUGUUCGGUUCCCUAUUUUUUCAAGCUAAAAAAUCAAUUUUGACUCAAUGGAAUUAGUGUAGUUUGAACAGGCUUUUAGUUUGGUCCAAGUUAUUUUCUCAAGAAAUUAUUGUUCUUGAUUUGGUUGAUUUUUUAUACCUAAACCAGACCGAGUCAUGAACACCCUAAUUGCAAAUUUAAUUACAUGGUAUAAUUGUUUUAUUAUAGUUAUGUUUUCCAUGAGUUAUAUUUUUACAUAUUUAUAGUUUUAAAUAUGUAUUAAUUUUAAAUUUUUGUUGGAUAUUUUUUAUUUAAUGUGAUGAUAAACUAAAUAUUUUUGCUUAUUAGUAUAAUAUAUAUUUAUAAACUUUGAUUUACAGUAAAAUACCGUUAAGUUUUAGUUUAUAGUUAUAGCUGUAACUGUAAUGUAAUGUAAGUGUAAUGUAAUAUUAAUUUAGAAGAAAGAAUUGCACAUUUUGAGUAACAGUUAUUAUAGGAGCCCAAACAGGCACAAAGCCCAACUCACUGCCUUCCACACCACGCCUGCGUCUCCAGCCCCUUACUCUCCCAAGUCUUUUAAGGACGGACAGCACUUCGCUGCUCUAAACCCAUCGAGCACUCACGAACACACAGUGAGAAAGAUAUAAAGAUGGCAAGGAGGCGGCUAUUAUUGAUGUUAAAACCUUUUGAUGUUUACCAAUUUGGCCAAUCAAAUGGUGGUUCUUCCAUCACCAAUUCUCAGGUAACAACUAUAUGUACAUUACAGUACCACUACCACCGCUUUUACUCUCUCUAUAUUUUUUUUUACAGAAUAUUCAUAGCUCACUCACUAUUCAUGGUUUCUUCACUUCAACCCGUUUAAAUAUUAGCCAUUUCUUUUUGGGUUCUUCUCCCUUGUCUCAUUUUCAUUUUUCUAUUUUGUUUUAACAUUUGGCUUAGCCUUGAUGAAGAGACUCUGUUUGAUAAAAUGUCAAAGUUGAUAUUAGCGUUUUUUGGAUUGUAUUAUUUUCAUUGAGUUUGACAUUUACUGCUCUUAUUUAACUAUUAUAUCUGUAAUAGUAGAAGACUAUAAAUCAAAAUACUUAAUUUUUAUGUUUCAAUGGAGGAAUUCUGUUCAAUCUCAAAUUUGAUGGCUGCUUGCUAGAAAUUUUGUUGGUCAAAGAAUGUUUGAAGGGACCAUUUGAUCUAAAGUCUCAGCCUCUUUUUUUUGGUCAUUUUCUGUUUUCAACAAUCAUGUAAAGGUUUCUGCGAUGCUUCUUACUCAAUUUUGUGUUGGAAUUAUUGCAGGCUUUUCGUUAUCUAGAUAACAGGCGUAAGGUUCACAAGGAUGCUAUAAACUACUGUCAGGAAAUUUUACGAAAGAAAUCAAAUAUUGAUUGGGAACCCAUCUUACGUACAAAUUUGUCACAACCAAUUCGGAAUUUUGAUUUGGUUGUUACUGUUGGUGGUGAUGGAACUCUCUUACAAGCAAGUCAUUUCUUGGAUGAUUCAAUUCCGGUUCUUGGAGUGAACUCAGAUCCCACACAAGUCAAAGAGGUUACUUUAUUUGUCAGGCUGAGCUUAGAUUUGUGUUCAUUAUGUCUAUAUGGAUUUAUUUAGAUUCUCUUCUUUUUUUCCUUGAUGUUAAGGUGUGUUCUGUAUGUCCAAUUACAGUAUGCUCUUUGUUGUAGGUGGAGAAAUUCAGUAAUGAAUUUGAUGCUACUAGAAGCACUGGCUACCUGUGUGCAGCAACUGUCCAGAGUUUUGAACAAGUAAGAAAUACCGACGGGGUUAACGAAGGGAAAUUAAAGAAGCAGGCAUGGACAAUAAAUGUGACUCUGAUAAUGUAUAGCCUGUGAUUAUAAGUUUGGGUAUUGAUUAAAGGACAACUUAGUAGCCAUGUAAUGUCCAGGUUAAAUACUAGCAUUUGUGCUCACUUAGAUUGAUCACUAGGCAAUCCAGAAAGUGUAUCCAAGACCUGAAAACCUAUCUUAAUUUUGCUAGUCAUUAGAAGGCUUUCCUUGGAGAAGAGAUUUAAACACACUUUCGUCUUAUAAUUUGUAAUCUUGAGAUGGUUGUACUCUCAUUUGAGUUUAUGUGCCUGUACUAUUAUCAUUUUUUUUAUAGAAUGUAUUUUCUGGAAUGGUGUCAUCUGUUCUUGUAAUAUGUAUUACCUAAAUUAGUAGAAAUCACCAAUUUCUUUUCAUAGUAAGUAAUUUCCUUUGUUCAUCAAUCAUGUUGAUUUCUCUCAGGUGCUAGACGAGAUCCUAGCUGGUCAGAAAGUCCCUUCUAACCUGUCGAGAAUAUCAUUAAGUGUAAAUUCACAACUGCUGUCUACUUAUGCCCUCAAUGACAUAUUGAUGGCAGACCCUUGUCCGGCGACAGUUUCACGCUUCUCAUUCAGGUAAUGAUUUGGCGUUGAGCAUGCAUUGAUUACAGCAUAUUAUGUUGAUACGACCCAUGUUGAACCUUUGUUCUUGUUUUCAGGAUUCAGAGGGACAGUGAAUCGUGUGGCCCAUUAGUGAACUGCCGAUCAAGUGGUCUCAGAGUCUCGACUGCUGCUGGAUCAACAGCUGCAAUGCUCUCGGCAGGUGGAUUUGCGAUGCCUGUUUUAUCCGAGGACCUUCAAUAUAUGGUGAGAGAACCCAUUUCACCUGGAGCCGCAAUCAGGUUAAUGCACGGGGUAAUUAAAUCCGAUCAGUCCAUGAAGGCCUCAUGGUUUUCCAAGAAGGGAGUAAUAUACAUUGAUGGUUCUCAUGUUUUCCACUCUAUCCAGCAUGGGGAUACCAUUGAAAUGUCUUCCAAGGCCCCGGGUUUGAAAGUUUUUUUGCCUCACGAUUAACACAGAAAUACCCCGAAGAACAGAAAUUUUGCAUGCAUGAUAGAGGUCUUGUAAUUUUGUAGGGAAAUUAUAUCUCUCUUAUGGAGAAGUGAAAAACGCAGGAUCUCCAUUUUCCCUAGUGAACCCAAGCUUGUGCCGGCCCCGAGCAUCAAAUGUGAGAAAAUUGUAACUCAAGGCCCUUGUAUCAAGCAAGAUGCUGUUCUCUGUUUUAAAUCAUGUACUCUAAAUAAUGACAAUGAAGUGAAAUUGCUUGAAAAAUAAAAAAGAAAUGGCAUUGAAAUAUGUUUUUAUUGACCAAUUAGAAUUGACUCUUGAGAUUUAUAACUGCCUAAAAGGUCCAGCCGUUCUUUCAUAGCACACAGGCACAAAAGUUGCAAUUGGAUCGAGAAAUCCAGACCCAAGAGGAAAAUGCUAAUAUCAUUUCAGUAUUUCCUAGUAGAACUUGAAUCCUCUGUUGAACUGAUCAGAAAAAGCAAAGGAUGCUACUGUUACAAGAGCAACUUAAGAGCAUCAAAAGUUGCUGAGGUUCAAACACAUGUGCCUAUGGAGGGGCGGAGCUAGGAUUAUUUGUUAGGGGUGGCAAAAAAUAAUAUAACAAGAUAUAAUAUCUGUUUUAAUUUAUUAUAUAUGAGUUGUAAAAAAAAAACCAAUAUGAUUUAGUUUUUUUCAAAUAACUUAUUACAAACAUAUAUUGUAAAAGGCUUGGAGCAAUACCAAAUUAAGUCAAAUCAAUAAAGUUAAUUUCAUCUUCAUGAUGUAUCCAUCACUUUAAUGUUGUUGAUCUUUAUAUCUAUAAAAUAUAAACAUACAAAGUAUAUAAGAAACAUUAGUUAAAGCGAAACAUUAUUUUAUGUUUGACAAACUUUGAAAUAAAAUAAAAAAUAAUAAAUAAUGACUCUUACAUAUUAUUUUAAUUAUGUUCGUUGUUCUUUCAUAAAAUAGAAAUCAUCGAUUAUAAUAUAAAUUGUGAAUCUUUCAACAAUUUUUUUUACUAUAUAAGUAAUCAAAUAAUUUACAAGAAAAUAAUUUUUCAUUCGAUUGCGAAGUCUUGUUUUAACAAUUUUCAUCGCUGAGAAAGCUCGUUCAGUAGUUGCUGUCGAAAGAGUUAAAAUAAACCAAAUCAACUUGUCAAAUAGUGGAUAAAUAUUUUUCUUUUUAAAAAAAAUCAAUUAUUCUUAUUUUGUUCAUGGUUCAACAUAAAAUCAAAACAUAUAUCGUGAGAAAAAAUUAAUAAUUUUGGUGGCUCUUCUAAAAAAAACAUAAAAAAAAAUCCAAGCAUAAUCAAAACAAACCAAUAAAAUAUAUCUAAUUAAUAAAAAAAAAAUCACUAUCAAGAAUUCAAAAAACAAUAUUUAAAACUAGCAUAUUUUAAAAACAAAGAGCAAAAAUAAUAAAAUUAUAUAAAAAAAACUCAUCAAAUUCUUAAUAAAUAUCUAAAAAUAUAUAUCACUACCAGAAAUUCGCUAAAUACCAACGGACAUACCGACGGAAUUUUUUAUGUCGGUAUUUUUCGGCCGAAAUCACCGACGGAAAAUAUUCAUCGGUAAUUACCGACCGAAAAUUCAGAAUUAAUGAAAAAAGGGCGGGCAGUGGCGCGGAGGUUUUGGCGGGUGAUUUUUCCGACGGAAUUAAAAACUGGGGCCCGUACGCGUGAUGGGACCUGUUCACCGUCAAAAAAUACCGACGGAAUCACCGACGGAUUUGAAAUGCCAGAUCCGUACCGGUGACGUGACCGGUGCACCGUUAAAAAUACCGACGGAAUCACCGAGGGAUUUGAAUAGCAGGUCCGUGCGGUGACGUGUCGAUUGCCCGUCAGAAUUACCGACGGUUUUGCCGACGGAUUCACCGACGGAAUACAAACCGUCGGUAAGUCCGUCGGCAAAAGUGAAUAUAUGGCCACUCUGCCGACACUCUCCUCCCCCAUUUCUCCUUCUUCUUCCUAAUCCUAACCCUCCCCAUCUGCAAAAUAACCAGCCCCCCCUCGCCCCAAAACAAAAAUCUUUCUCAUCUCAGCACAACAAGUUGUAUUUGUUUUGUGGUCACAGCAUCCGUGUUCUGAUUUACCGACGGAUUUUAUCAUUUUUUGUAAGUAAUUCUAUCUUUUAAAAUUUUAACAUUUAAAUGUUAAUUUUAUUGUUUUUUUAGUAUAUGUAUUAUUUUUUUUUAGUAGAUGUACAUGUUUUAUUGUUAUUUCUCAAACAAACUUGUAGUAUAUGAAUGUAUAAUUUUAUACUUGUUAUGGUUUGUUUUAGAUUUUGUAAGAUUGUAUUUGUUUGAAAAUUGUUAAAACUUAAUUUGUAGAAUUACCGAAUUACAUGUUGUGUUUUGAAAUAAUUAAGAGCUUGCUUAAUUAAUGGGUCCUUUUUAUAGAGGUUCGAUAGAAGUCAUGGAUGAUCGUUCAUGGAUGUAUCUAGAUUCACCCCAAGGAUUGCGGAGGAUGGAUUAUUGUAACGGGGUUCAGGGUUUUAUUAAUUUCGCAACAUCUAUUCCAGAAAUUUUACUGGAGGCGGUAUUAGGUGUCCAUGCAGGAAGUGUCAAAAUAAAAAGUAUCUGCAUCCAGAUGUUGUAAUGAUGCAUCUUCUACACAAAGGGUUUGUGGAGGAUUACGAGUGUUGGUAUGCACAUGGAGAGGUAUUUGUUAGUAAUAGGAGAAUGGGAGAAACGGUGGUUGGGUCAACUUCUAGUGCUAGCAACGUGCAUGAAGCGGCAAAUGACAACACUAAUCCUUACAGAAACAUGGUUAUGGAUGCAAUGAGAAUGAAUCAAGAUAAUGUCAAUCAAUGUCCAAUCGUAGAAGAAGAACCUAAUGCAGAGGCAGCUAGGUUUUUUGAUUUGUUGAAAGAUUCUGACGAACCAUUAUGGGAUGGCUGCACAAACCACAGUAAAUUAUCGGCUGUGGCACAGGUGUUCACCAUCAAGUCAGAUCACGGGUUGAGUGAGGCCGGGUAUGACAAAAUUAUUGAUUGGGCAAGAAGCAUUUUACCAGAAGGGAACAGGCUCAAAGAGAACUUCUAUGCUGCGAAGUCCAUGAUGAAACCCCUCGGUUUAGGAUACCAGAAAAUUGACAUGUGCCCUAACUUCUGCAUGUUAUACUACCUUGAAAAUGCUGUGAUGACCGAGUGCAUGACAUGCGGGCAUUCCCGUUACAAACCCAGAACUGGCAGGGGGAAGACUCUAGUGGCAUAUAAAAAACUUAGAUAUUUCCCGAUCACACCUAGACUGCAGAGGUUAUUUAUGUCACCAAGGACUGCUGAGCACAUGACAUGGCACCAAACACACGAUGUCGUUGAUGGUGUGAUGGUGCAUCCUUCUGACGGCGAAGCGUGGAAACGCUUUAACAGUGUUCAUCCUGACUUUUCUGCUGAAUCAAGGAAUGUUCGACUUGGGUUGUGUACAGACGGGUUCAACCCAUUUGGGUCAUUUGCUGCUCCCUAUUCUUGUUGGCCGGUCAUUCUCACAGUUUAUAACUUGCCACCGGGAAUGUGUAUGAGGCCGGAGUUCAUGUUUCUAUCUACUGUCAUACCCGGUCCAAGCAGCCCGGGGCGGAAUAUAGAUGUUUGUCUUCGACCGUUGAUAGAUGAGCUGGCGCAGUUGUGGUCCUCCGGAUCUCUGACUUAUGAUAUAUCUAGGAAACAAAAUUUCCUUAUGAGGGCGGCUUUGAUGUGGACUAUCAGUGAUUUUCCAGCUUAUGGAAUGCUUUCUGGUUGGAGCACGCAUGGGAAACUCGCAUGUCCAUACUGCAUGGAAAACAACAAGGCAUUCACGCUAGCAAACGGAGGUAAAGCUUCUUUUUUUGACUGUCACCGUCGCUUCUUGCCACUUAAUCACAGGUUCAGAAAGAACAGAAAAGAUUUCUUUGUUGGUAGAGUUGAAAAAGAUGUUGCAUCCCCGCGUCUUUCUGGUGAAGAAUUGCAUCAUGUUGUAUCAGAGUACGGUGACAUUGUGUUUGGCCUUCAAUCAGGUAAGCAAAAGUUUCCUGGUUUUGGUUUGACCCAUAAUUGGGUAAAGCGAAGUAUCUUUUGGGAGCUUCCGUAUUGGAAGAGUAAUCUUCUCCGCCAUAACCUUGACGUCAUGCACAUCGAAAAGAACGUGUUUGAGAAUAUUUUCAACACCGUCAUGGAUGUGAAGGGGAAGACAAAGGACAACAUGAAGGCUAGAUUGGAUAUAGCUUUAUACUGUAACCGUAAAAAUAUGGAGUUGGUUUAUGACGAGUCACGGGUUGCAAAACCAAGGGCAAGCUUCGUGUUAGAGAAAAAUGCACAACUGCUAGUCUACAAAUGGCUUAAGAGUCUGCGUUUCCCGGAUGGUCAUGCAUCAAACAUAUCAAGGCUUGUUAACAUAGAGGACUGCAGAUUGUAUGAAAUGAAGAGUCAUGACUGCCACGUGUUUAUGCAGUAAGUCUAUAUAACUGUGAUGAGCUGAGACCAUUUAUUCAGUAAGUCUAUAUAUGUGUAAUAGUAAUUAAACUUUGUCAGUAAUAUACUGUUAAUUAUAUAUUGUAAUAUCAUACACUCAUUAUCACUUGCAGGCAACAUCGACAAUAUUUGCUCUCCAAUAACUCGCAGCUGACCGAAUCCCAGAUCUUUCAAUUACAAGAUGAACAAUUUGCCACAUGGUUCAGAACACAUGUAAGCACUAUCACAAACUCAUUCUAACGUAUGCAUGUCAUUACGAGAUUCUCGUUCAUUUACCGUGUAUUGAUGUACAUUUAAUUACAUAUAUUUACAAGGUUUAUCAAAUGGGAAGGAGUGCGCCCAAGUCAUUGUCUUCACUAAGCCUCGGCCCUGAAAGAAAAGUUAAGUGCUACAACGGGUAUUUUGUCAAUGGAUAUGUUUUCCAUACUGAAGAAUACGGGCAAGGAAGAAAGACAUACAACUGCGGUGUUUGUGUUAAGGGAUCCACAAGUAGCCAGUUAGAAGUUGACUACUAUGGUAGAUUAGAAGAGGUCGUCGAACUGCAAUAUCAUAGCGAGCAGAAUAAAGUGUUUUUAUUCAAAUGCUAUUGGUAUGACACGACGGACAGAGGAAUCAGAGUUGAUCCGCACCAUGGUCUGGUCGAAAUCAACUCAAAAGCUAGACUCCGCAACAUAAACGAUGUCUUUGUUUUCGCAAAGCAAUGUCAACAAGUUUAUUACAUAUACACCCCUUCAUUUAGAAAGGAUCGUUCAAGAGUUUAUUACAAAACCACGGGGUCGUGUCGAGGUUGUUCAGGAUGAGAACGAAGACACAAGUGUGCGAGAUGAAGUCUUUAAAGUUCGUGAGUUGGUUGGACCAUAUCGAGUUGCUCCUUCGAUUGAAUUGGAAGAAAAUUCAAAUUUUUGAGUUCUCGAUGAUAGUCUUGUUGAUAUUGACGGAGAGGAGUUGAAUGUUGUUCUCAGCUCUAGCGGACAAGCAAAUGUCGAUGAAGAAGAUGAUAUCCAUAUUGAAGAUUGCGAUGAAGAUGAUGACAAUUCAAUUGACGAGGAAGAAGAAGAAAAUUCCGACUAAUUAUGAAAAUGAAGCCCUAUGUAAAAACAUUUGUCUCAUGUAAUUUAGAUUAUUGAUGAUGUAUUUUGUAAAACAAAAUAUUUACUGUUUAAGAAAUAUGGUUAUUGUGUUUAUGUGAUGGACAGUUUAUCAGUUAAGUUUCUGCAGGAAGGUAAACAGGCAAUACAAAGACAAACUUUCCUGCAUCAUGCAAUCUUACCGACGGAUAGUGAUCCGUCGGUAUCUCACAGAGAGUUCGAAAUUAAUUACACGAAAUGCCACCACCACCGACGACAUUACCGACGGCUUCACUGACACAUACACCGAUGGAUUAUAGUCCGUCGGUAUCUCAUAGAGAGUUCAAAAAUAUUUACAACAAAAUGCCACAAUCACCGACGUCCAUACCGACGGAUAAGCAUCCGUCGGUAUCUCACAGAGAGUUCGAAAAUAUUUACAACAAAAUGCCACAAUCACCGACGUCCAUACCGACGGAUAAGAAUCCGUCGGUAUCUCACAGUAAGCUCGAAAAACAACAAACCACCCAUCGACGAUUACCGACGGUAGGUCCGUCGGUAAUUUGUCGGUUACCAUAUUACCGACAGAAUUACCGACGGACCGCGCGUUUUCCAAAGUGCGUUAAUUAAUGCGCCUCUGAACUUGUCAGAUUACCGACGGAAUCACCGACGGACUGCGAAAAUUUUGGAGGGCUUUUAAAAAUUCGGGGCGAAAUUCGAAAAAUACCGACGAAUUUUGACCUGUUACCGACGAAUGUUAAUUCCGUCGGUGAUUCCGUCGGUAAAAUUGACCUAUAAGUUCCACCCCGCCGCUUCGCCUCAUUUUUUCUUCUUCUCCCCGCCGCUUCUCUUCUCCUCCGUUUUUCACCUAGAUUUUUCAUUUUUUUCCCCUCAAUCCUUAAACACUUUCACCUUUAAUCUCUAGCAAGAUUUGGUGUUGUAAAUCUUCAUUAUAUUAAAAGGUAUGUGUUUUUUUCUAAUUUAUUUUAUUUUAUUUUAUUUUUAGUUGUUUUUAUUUUUGUUGUGUUGGUGUUUUUUGUUGCAAUGUAGAUAAAGUUUUGAAUUUGACACAUUAUUAAGGUAUGUAUAUUUCGUUCCUUUUUUUUUUGAAUUUGAAUAUUUUUUGAAUUUGUUGAAUAUUUGUUAAUUUAAUUGUUGAAUAAUUGAAUUUAAUUGUUGAAUUUAUUGAAUAUUUUUUGUUGUUGUGUUGUUAGAAUUUUUAUUAGGUAAUUUAACUUAGAAUUAGUUAAAGUUGAAUUUUUGAAUUUUUUUGAAUUUUUUGAAUUUGUUGAAUAUUUGUUAAUUUAAUUGUUGAAUAAUUGAAUUUAAUUGUUGAAUUUAUUGAAUAUUUUUGUUGUUGUGUUGUUAGAAUUGUUAUUAGUUAAUUUAACUUAGAAUUAGUUAAAGUUGAAUUUUGAAUUUUUUGAAUUUUUUGAAUUUGUUGAAUAUUUGUUAAUUUAAUUGUUGAAUAAUUGAAUUUAAUUGUUGAAUUUAUUGAAUAUUUUUUGUUGUUGUGUUGUUAGAAUUGUUAUUAGUUAAUUUAACUUAGAAUUAGUUAAAGUUGAAUUUUGAAUUUUUUGAAUUUGUUGAAUAUUUGUUAAUUUAAUUGUUGAAUAAUUGAAUUUAAUUGUUGAAUUUAUUGAAUAUUUUUUGUUGUUGUGUUGUUAGAAUUGUUAUUAGUUAAUUUAACUUAGAAUUAGUUAAAGUUGAAUAUUUGAAUUUUUUGAAUUUUUUGAAUUUGUUGAAUAUUUGUUAAUUUAAUUGUUGAAUAAUUGAAUUUAAUUGUUGAAUUUAUUGAAUAUUUUUUGUUGUUGUGUUGUUAGAAUUGUUAUUAGUUAAUUUAACUUAGAAUUAGUUAAAGUUGAAUAUUUGAAUUUUUUUGAAUUUGUUGAAUUAUAAUUGUUAAUGUUGAAUUGUAAUGAUUAAUUUGUUGAAUUAUAAUUUUUUGAAUUUAUUGAAUAUAUUUUUUGUUGUUUUGAAUUUAAUUGAAUUUAAGGAUUAAUAGUUGAAUAUGUUGGAAUAAUUAGUAUAGAUUGGUUCGAUUGGUUGUGGCUAUUGUUAAUAUUUGCAGGUUUGUGGAUUUGGGUAGUAUCCAGUAUAGGGGAGGUGCUGCCGAUUUUUUUUUAACUUUUGAAUUUUAUUAUACAAUUAUUAAUAUAAAAUUGUUUAGAUGCGCAAAAUAAAAACCAGAGCUGGUCGUCCAGUCGAAUCAAGUUCGUCUAGCAGCGAUGAUGAUGUUUCCUUAGGUGCCUCUCAAGAAGAGGCACCUACACCACCUGCGCCGUCAACCGAUGCUGCCUCUUCCAGCGAUGUUUCACAUCGCAGACGCGGCAUGCCUUCGAAGCGGAAUCAAUUUACCCGCCAGUUCGAGGCACAGUGGAAGGACGAUCUUUCAAUGUAAGUUUGUUAAUGUUUUAGUUUUUUUUAUAUAAAAAAACAAAUUUAAAACAUAAUUUAUGAAGUAAUCACAAAUUAAUUUCAUUUCUUUUCAGGUUCACAAACAUUGAGGCCGCCCGAUUAAUAUCAUCGGCGUUUAAAGCGUCGAUGGAGAUUCCAUUGUUUCAAUGGAGUCAGAUAUCCAGACAUCCUGAAUGGAUGCCUCAAAUCAAUGCAUGGUUUCGUAGAUUUGAGGUUCGUGUUAAUAUAUAAUUUUCAGCUUAUUUCUAAUUAUAAAUUCAUGUUAUAAUUGUAAAUAAAUUAUUAACAUUUUAAAAAAUUAUUUUUUUAUAUACAGCAUCGAUUCUGCUGGGACGAUGAACAUGACAGUGUUGUGAGGAGGGUGUGGGAAAAUCACGCGGCAAUUAGGUAACAUCGAAAACAAUACGACUUUUUUUUACAUAAUUAUUUAUGUUUUGAAAUGUAAUUUUUUCGUGCGUGAAUUAGGUUGCGUGAUUUUUGGUAUGACGCCCAGAAAAAAGCAAAAAAAACAGCGAGGGAUAAGGGGUUACAAGGCUGGAACGAUGUUGCGGUUUGGAGGGAUUUCAAACCAAUAUACAUCCCGGAAGAUAUAUGGCCGCACUAUCUUCAGCACGUGACGUCUGAGCGGUUCACUCGACGCUCACAGUCCGGUGCCGGCAACCGGAAUCGGCAAAUUCAUGGCUCGGUUACAACGCACACCGGCGGCUCCGUUCCGUUUGCUGCACAUGCGAAACGGAUGGUAAGAUUAAUUUAAAUGAAAUAUAUCGUUCAAUUAAUUUGUUGUUAAUACAUUUUUUUCAUUAUAUAUAGGCUACGUCUCUUGGACGUGAGCCGAGCCCUAUGGAGCUGUUUGUGGAGACGCACGUGCGGAGUCAUGACCGCCAAAAGGGGACGCAACAGUUCGUUGACAACCGUGCUCAACAGUUUGUGGUGUGUUUGUUUAACCAUUUUAUUUUGUAAGUUAUUAUUAUGUUUAUUGAAUUGAAUAUGAUUUUUUUUUUCAGGAGACCUAUAAUAAUCGGUUGAGGGAGAGAUACGGGGAUGAUCCUUCGACCCAUCCGGAAUUCGAUCCGGAUUUGUGGAUGGAGGCUGGAUCGUCAGGUGGACCCGAUAAAAAUCGGGUUUACGGGCUCUCCAACACUACCGCUGCCAAGUUGCGGUCGACCGGUACUGCUUCAACCGGUGGGAGCUCCCAAUCUGUAUCGAGCUCCCAAUCUAAGGAGUUUGUGGCCUUGCAGCAAAGGUGCGACCACCUAUCAGAGGCGUACACACAACUCAAAGAAGAGCAAAGAUUGGCGAACGAACAACACAGAUUGGCGGACGAACAACGCAGAGCAGAGUCUGAACAACAAAGAGCGGCCUAUGAAGAGCUUCGUCAAAUGGUCAUGAACAUGACACAAGGCGGAACAUGUGCGCCUAAUCCUUUUUGGCCGCCUAACCCCCACCCUCCUCCUCCUCCACCUUUAUAUUAAUUGUUUUUUUUUAAACACAUUCAUUUUGUAAUGAAUAUUAUUUAACUUUGAGUUUUUGUUGCUUAAUAUAAAUUUUAUUUGCAUAAUUGGUUUGUAUUACUAUUAAUUUAUAUUAUUUUUUCUAAAUAAUUAAAAAAAAAAUUACACAGGGAUUUACCGACGGACAAAAUCCGUCGGCAUUGGACAGUGCCUGCGGUAUUCCAUCCCAUCACCGACAUAUUCACCGACGGAAAUAAUCUGUCGGCAUUGGACAGUGUCUACGGUAUUCCAUCCCAUCACCGACGGAAAUAAUCCGUCGGUAUAAACAUACCGACGAAUUUACAGACGGAUUUAUUCGGUCGGUAUGAAAUAUCACCGACAUUUUUGCCGACGGAUCUAGUCCGUCGGUAAAUGUUUUUUUAAUGUUUUUUUUUGUAUUACCGACCGAUAUAGCGAUGGAAUGUGGAAUCACCGACAAAAGGUAUUCCGACGGGCGUAUUCCGUCGGUAAUAUAGUCGGUAAAUACUUUACCGACGAACGUUCUGUCACACACCGACGGAAUAUUUCCGUCGGUAAAACUAUGAAAUCUUGUAGUGUAUAUUUUUUAAAUUUAAGUUAUUAAUACCCAAUUACAUUAUUUUAUUUAAUGAAAAAUGAAUUAAUUGAUACCGUGCUUCAAUAUUUCCAUAAAAAUUUUUAUUUGUGAUUUGUAUCGAUUGGAUGCGCUAUAAAAAUUUAUAUCAGGUCUGUAGGGAGAGAAAAUGUAGCAAAAACAGAUUGAUAACUUCAUAUUUUUUUGUUCUUUCCACGUAGCACGUAGGCAUAUAGAUAGCAUAACAUCAAAGCAAAGUCAAAGGAAUUCAAAGUAAAGCAAAGGAUAGCAAAUAUAUUUACUAUACGAGGACUCAUCUCAUUAAAUAAUAUUACAGUUCCUCACAUUUAAUUACCAAAUAAUAAUAAUAAACAGUCUUGCAGGGGUCCGGCCCCUGCUUGCCACCCCCUCAUUCCGCCCCUGCGGCUAUGUACCCUUUUUAAUUAUAUCAAACAAGAAAUCCAACAGCAUAAUAGCUAUUUCCAUGUAUCCGUUGUUAUGGAAGCCAAAAUCUACACUUGCAUGAUAUCAGGAUUACAGUCUCUUGUUUGUGCCACGUCAUCAUUCUUCUCCUUCCCUUUUUUUUUUCUUUGUUUUUUGAAAGACAGGAAAAGGAAAGAGAAGACAGGAAAAGCUUCUCAGGACUGUACUGAAACUACUAAGUCUGGUUAAUGAACACAGUCCAUCACUCACGUGAACAUCUGAGGGCGGCUACGUGAAAGUUGAGGACGCUUUAUCGGGGAAAGUAUCAAGUUCCUUAGCUGCCAGAGCCAGCUCCAAAGGAAGGAACAGAACCAAUUCUUCUAUUUCCAACAUCAACUGGCAUGGCUGCUUGGUUUGCUGGUGAGCCACCACGGAUUUCAAAGGGACCAGAAUUCGAGCUGUUGUCUUGCCGGCCAUAUAUCCUCCCGAGGCCCUGGAGUUGAUGGAGUGAAAACCGUCCAAUCUGCAUAAAUUAAGUCAACUAAUUUUGGAGAUGCUUAACCAAAAUGCAUUAUUAAGCUAUAGCGUGACAAUGACAAGCAAACAUUUUCCAUUGUUGUAAGCGUAACAAGGACUUUAAUAAUCAAGAAACAUUCUAAGGCACCACAAGGAGCCUGUGCUGUUCUAUUGCCAUUUUAAAAUGAAACUGAUUACCUUUACGGAUAGGGUCUCUGUUGUCCAUCAUGGUAGCUGCAGGGUUUGAGAACAAAUCAGGCUCAUUUCUUGAAAAGAAAUUGUUUGCUGGUUGGAUGGCUGAUCUUUUAUUUGACUCGAACUCGCUCCUCAACUGAUCAUACAUUUCAUCAAGUUUCCUCUUCUGCCUAGUAUUGAAAGUACCAGUGUUUAUUACGAUCCAGGCUCGCAUCAUAAGCUGAUAAAGUAAUCGAAGGCUUUGGACAAUAUAUAAACUGACCUGGCUUUCUCAGAAAAUUUCUCCUGGAGCUCUUGUUUAUCCUUUGACAAGCUCUCAAUCUCUUGUUCCAUCAUCUGGCACCUUUUGGCCAUUUUCUGAUAUGCAGCAUGCAGCUGCUCCAGUUUUUCCGGGAACUUUUCUUGCAUGGACUCACAUUUUUGCCGGCACUGAGCUACAAUUCUAUUCAUCUUGUAUUGCAUCUCAAGUUCCCUUUGCCCAGUAAAAAACAUCACGCUUCUGUAUGCACUUUUCAUCACUGGGGUCAUUUAAGGAAGAUGCAAGGAUUAAAAGGCUGUUUUUGCACCUUUCCCAGGGAAUGCUAAGAACCUUACUGCUAUUCAGUUUGGUAAUUCUCUCAAAUGAAAUAAAAGAAUUAUGAGUACCACCAAGUAGACUUAUCAUUUCAAAUUGAUGUCCACAGGUUUCAUAAGGCUGUAAAGAGGAAACCAAAAUUGAAAGUAAAAUCAUAAUACCAUGAGCAAGAAACAUGAGUAAAGAUUACCCAAAUCAUUAGUUCAUAUUAGAGGUGUUCAAUAAAAUUGACAGAUAUAGCUGUAAAUACUGAAAAUAUAUUGAAUUUUUUAGUCCCAGUAAAUUCUUUAAAAUCAUAAGAGCUUCAUAUUUUAAAUUCAAGGAAAUGUCAAAUAAAUUCUGUUUGUUAAGAAACAAUUCCAAGCCACAACAAGCAUUUCAAGGAAUAAGCAUUUCCAUAAAGCACUCACCUCUUAGAGAGCACUUGAUCACAGAUUGGACAGGCUGCAUCAUUAUUAAGGAUCUUGUUUGCAUCUUCAGUGCCUGUUUAUUCUGUUAAGGGACAAUAUGCGAAAGCAACAGUAAUCCAGAAAGCAUAGAACUAAAAAAGCUUAAUCAUAAUCUGAUCUUGGAUACAUAAGAGGUGACCACAAGUAGUAGAAACAGCACGCCCUUCCAACUCUCGCCAGCAUGAAUUGCAUCUCAUUUUCACCUUCACUAUGAGACUUUUAUCCAAAUAUUAUCCACUCAUCUGAACCUAAUAAAAGGAGUUUCAUAGCAUUAGCAUUAGCUACAACAUCACAUGCAGACACAUAGAUUCAAACUAAUCUGCAUCACUGUUACAUGCAGCCACAUGGUUUUAAAAAUUGAAGUUUUGGAUGACACUGGCGAAAAUCAUCAGCUGUAAAUACUGAAAAUAUAUUGAAUUUUUUAGUCCCAGUAAAUUCUUUAAAAUCAUAGAGCUUCAUAUUUUGUAAAAUAAAGAGUGAUAUUGAUCAUGCACAGAAAAAUAGACAUGGAGAUUUUAUAGAGAGCGAUAUCGAUCAUGAAGAAUGACAAUACGCAACUUCUUUCACAACAUUCGUUUUUUUUUUUUUUUUUACGAAAUUGGCCCAUCUUUAUGGGUCAUUUAUUUUCUCAACAUCAAAAUGUGAUCUGCGAAUUCACUACAAUCCCCUUCCAUUAUGCACGGUCAAAACAGAAUUUGUGCAAAUAUUUAUAUUUUUUUACGAAAGUAUUCCUCAUAAGAUAAAACGACUAUCACAAUCUCAAAAGAAUUGCUAAAAUUUUGUCAAAUAUACAGCUACAAAGUGCCAAAUCCUCAUCACUGAGUAUCAAAUUAAAAAGAUUUUCUAGUGUCUAAAUAUUGAUCAAGGUAGUGGUUACUCAGUAAUCAAGAAAAAUUAGUCAAUGUCAUGAAAAUAACCAGAGUACCCUCAGUUUGGUACUGAGCCAAAAAGUCCGUGCAAACGUAAAAUUUGCAUGAAAACCAACAAUUUUCUCGAAUUCCAAAAGUGAAGUCUUAUUAUUCAAAUUCCUGAAACUCCUUUCCAAUUCUCAAAUUUUCUCAGCAUCCAAACGGAAAACGAGAAAAAAAAAGACGCAUAAACAAAGCUUGUAAAAAAGAAGACGCAUAAACAAACGGAAUCGACUUGAUAAAUUUUCCUGAAAAUUACACUCCUCGACGUUCUCCUUAAUGAAAAUCACAAAUCAACGCCUAAAAUCGUACGUAAAGACACUAGAGAUGAUAAACAUAAAUAAAUCAUAUGGAGAUCUAAAACGCGAGCAGAGUGACUAUCGAAAUUGAAAAGCAGCAGCAAUUGCUAAUGUGAAAUCAAAUUUAUACGUUACUUCGGAAACAGUGAAAUGUGAUUUGAAGAGACACGAAUCCCUAACCUGAAAGAGUUUUGGCUCGAAACGUUUCUUCUCUUUUCUUCUCUUCUUGUGGCGUGGGGGUUUUGAAGGAGAGAAAUGGCGGCAACUCAGAUUUUUUAUUUAUUUCAAAUUAUCACACUUCUCUCUCUCUCAAGCAAGGAAUUUAUAAUUUGACGCUUCUCCUUUAUUUCAAAAUUUGGAUUCAGAACGGUGUCGUUCUUCAAGCAACUUUUUAAAAUUUUUAACCUUAAAUAGUGUUAAAAAAAUCUAAAUUAAAAAAAAAAGGAAUUUUGUUGUUCUGUUUGUUUUCUUAAUAAAUUUGGUUUUUUUUAAUAAUUUAUGUAUAGAAAAAAGUAUAUAGUUGUGCAAAAAGCCAAAAUAGAGAUUACAGAAUAUCUAAAUUAUGAUUUUUCUAUGGUGCUGAAAUAAUAAAUUCAGGAUCAAUAUCUAAUUAAAAUAUAAUUGUCCUAUAUCAGUUAAACCUACCUAUUAUAACAGGUUAAUGUUAAUAGUUUAAAUCAUACUAGAAAUAAUAGAAAACUUUGAAUAAUUAAUUUAACAAUUUACACGAGUAACUUUUUGAUUUCAAAAUGAUAAUUCAUUUGUUUCAAUCUAAAGGAUUUCCUAUUAUUCAUCAACUAGGUUUUCUUAGAAUCAUAAUUUUUUUUAUCCAUUUUAAUAUUGUUUCUUAUUUUAACUAUAUAUUUAUAGGCUAUGAAAUAUUAAAAUAUAUAGUAGCCAAAGCAUGGCUUAGGACUUCAAAUUAAUCACUAACUACAAUUCUUAAUAAUUACAAUUACAACAGUAAGAAUCUAUCCAUUAACCAGGCUAAAAACCGCUAAAUGAACAAUUUUGCUCGUGAAAAAUUAUAAACACACAAAUUAAAAGAAAAAACAAACAAACAAAGAAAAAAAGAAUUUAAGUAUGGUCCCCUCCUCUUGACAGUUGUCAUUAUAGUCCUUGUCCACAAGCCUUCUCUUGAAUCUAAUCGAGAGAAGUUUACCCAAAAAAAAAAAAACCAAGUUGAAGCUAGAGUAAAGAUUUUUUAGAUUUCCUAGUCGAAAUUCAGGAAGCACCAUCCGAAAUUCAUAUGCCUCGCUGUGUGAAGUAGGCAUAAGAUAAAUAUAGCUGUAACAACACAUGCACAUGGAAAAUAUAUAAUAUUUAAUGUGCGAAGAGGGAAUUCCCGUUUUAUUAGGUGAUUUUUUUUAUUCGUUUGAUUUUUAUCAAAUCAAAUAAUUAAAUUGGUUUUUUUAAAAAAAAUUGGUUCAAACCGACGGUUCUGGUUUGGUCGGUUUUUUUCGAUUUAGUUCGGUUUUUUUCAGGUUUGACUUGGUUUUUUAGUUUUGGGUUCAGUUUAGUUUUUUCGUUUCAGGCUUAUCAAACCAAAACCAAACCGAACCGGUCGGUUUUUAAAAAAUUAUAAUCGUUUUUUUCACGGUUCUUUUUUUUUAUUUUCUGUUUUUUUAAUCAAUUUUUAUUUUUUUGCUCACCCUAAUUUUUAUUCUCUAAAUAUAUGAUAAUUAUCUCUUUAAGAGGUUUCCAAUAUCUUUAAAUAAGUCAUGAAACCUACCUUAUCACAAAACAACUACGAAUAUAAAAGCAUGUAAAAAGUUAAAAAAUCUAAAUUUAAACAACAAAUCUUAAAACACCUAGAAAAAAAUUAUUAUAUAUAAACCUAAUAUAUAAAUCUUUUUUUAAAAAUAUCUUCAUGAAUAUUAAAUGAGAAUAAAUUAUCUAUUUUUUAUUUUAAUAAUAGUUUUUUACAUGUUUUUCUCAUAUUAAUUUUUAUUUAUCACACAUAAAUAAAUAAUUGAGUCAUGCUAAUUUUUUAUGUUUAUAAUCAAAAGUUGCUUUUCAAUCAUUAUAAACUUUUACUAAAAAACAAUGCUUUUUAUAUAUAAUAAAAAACAUGUUUUCAUCAAAAUAAGACAAAAAAAUACAUUUUUCCUCCUAACUUCAAGUGAUUUAAAUUUUAAUGAAUAUAUUUUAGUUUUUUCUCAAAAAAACAUGCUACUAAAAAAGACAUAAUUUUGCUAAAAUAAAAUAAAAAUGUAUGAAUAAGGAAGGAAAAAAUUGCUGCCCGAAUUGAUAUCAAUCAAUCUCUUGGAAAUAAAAAAUCAUGAAUCAUAAUUAAAUGAGCGCAAUUGAUAGCUUCAAAAGAUCAAGACAUAAUCACCUCGUUAGUGCUUUUGCUUAUAAUUUAUUAUAUUAUUAUGAUUGUGGUAAAAUCAUUAACUUACAAUGACAUAAAUCCAUCGACUAAAAAAAAUUACAAACACACGACGAAAAAAAAAAAACAGCUGCACUCGCCUGGAAGAUGAUCCCCUCUUCUUGACUGCUGCCAUUAUUGACCUAGUCCACAAAGCAAGUUAGUUAACUAAACUGGUGAUGGAUCAUGGAAUAAAAUAUUUGCGCUAUUAGUUAAAAGCAUUAUCAAGACUUACCUUCUCACACCGCCCUGAGUAGCUAGUAUCGUCUUCCACCAUUUCUGGGAGCAUUCUUCCUUCUAAGCCUUUUUGCAUUUUGAUGUGCACUGUCUUCAACCAUCUUCACAAACCAUGCAGGUUUUCUUGCUCUAAAUACAACGUAUCCUAUAGAGACUCCAAAUACAAAUCCACAUCCAUAACCCAUUGCUACAGCUUUCCAUCCAAAUCCCUCUUCAAACAUUGAAUCUUCUUUCUCGAAGUUUGACGGAGGCGGUUGUUGCCCCUCACCUUUGUUGCAUUUUACUUGCAAGGGAAACCACAUAAUCCCAAGUUCCCUUCGUAUGAACCAUUUUCAAAUGUGUUGAACUGCUUACCUUGAGGUAUGGGUCCCUCAAGUUGGUUAUACGAAAGGUUCAGGACUUGAAGAAAUGUUAAAUCUACCAAUUGCGGUGGAAUCCUUCCAGCAAGCAGAUUUGAGGAGAGAUCCAGCGAUUCCAGAUUAGUUAAAUUCCCAGUGAUGGCUGGAUAUAACCGAUGAGGCUGUUGUGAGAAAGGUUGAGCUGUAUCAGAGAUUUAAGCUUCCCGAGGGACUCUGGAAUCUUUCCCGUGAAUUUAUUGCAAGAUAAAUCAAGUGUUGUGAGGGCAAUUUGAAUUUGAGAAAACUCAAUCUCGAAACCUUUCCAUGCCAAAGUUACAGAAUAAACAUAAGAUAGAUUUUUUGUCCUCAUGUAAUCCAUAUCCUGUGCAACGCUCAUCAUGGCUUUGAAGUUGUUGAAAUACUCUGUUGGCAAAGGACCACUCAAGCUGUUGUUGGAGAGGUCAAAUAUCUGUAAUUUAGAAAAAGAGUCCUUGACAGUUGGACCCUUCAAAGAACCAUGGAGUUUAUUUGACCUUAGAACAACAACCUCCAACUGUGGAAGCGUUUCUAAACAGGAAGGGAAUGUGUCAUCAAUCAUGUUGUUACCGAGGUCCAGAAAUUCUAAAUUCACACAAUUGAUGAUGGAUGGUGGUAUCACCCCUUUCAAUUGGUUGCCAUUGAAGUUGAGAUAUCUCAAAUUGUUCCCCUCUGAAUAGAUUGAAGGGAUAUUGCCGUGGAGAUUGUUAUCACCAAGAUGCAACACUGAGAGUCGAUCACUGAAGUUUCCCAAGCAUUGCGGGAUGAAUCCACUAAAGCCAUUGUUGGACAAGUCUAGAAUCUCUAGGAACUUCAGCUCACAAAUGACAGAGAUGUUCCCAGUCAGUUUAUCAUUGGAGGAAAGCAUAAGAGCUCUCAAAUCCUCAAGCUUGAAAAAUGAAGGUGGAAUCUGGCCAUACAACCUAUUAUGACUGAAAUCGAUAUAUUGUAAUGAAUUACAAAGGAACGGACUUAUCUGGCCAUACAGUAGGUUAUUGUGAAGAAAAAGAACCCACAAAGAAGGCAUAGAAAACAAGGAGGAUGGAAUUGUUCAAUUGAGCAAGUUAUGAGAUAAGUCGAGAGAGUGUAAACCUGGAAGCCUACUUAUUUGCGAUGGGAUGCUUCCUAUCAGCUGAUUAUUAGAUAAUAAGAGAGAGUUUAAACCUGAAAGCCUACUUAUUUGUGAUGGGAUGCUUCCUAUCAGUGUAUUGUUUGAGAGGUCCAACCAAGUGAGUUGGGUGAGGUUAAAAAAAUCAUUUGGAAUCUGGCCAUCAAACUUGUUGUUGGAGAGGUCCAAGUAAAAGCCUACUUAUUUGUGAUGGGAUGCUUCCUAUCAGUGUAUUGUUUGAGAGGUCCAACCAAGUGAGUUGGGUGAGGUUAAAAAAAUCAUUUGGAAUCUGGCCAUCAAACUUGUUGUUGGAGAGGUCCAAGUAAGUGAGUUGUGUGAGGUUAAAAAAACUAUAUGGAAUUUGACCAGAAAAAUUAUUGGAAAAAAGUUUCAAGUUAUUUAACUUCUUAAGGUUUUUAAAUGAGAAUAAAAUUUGACCAUCAAAUCUAUUGUUUGAGAGAUCCAACCACGUCAAUUGCGUUUGAUUAACAAAAACAUCAGGAAUUGGACCAAUAAAAUUAUUGUAUCCAAGAUCCAGGUGCUCGAGUUGCUUAAGUUUUCCAAACGAGAAAGGGAUUUGACCACCCAACUGGUUACCUCUAAGUCUCAACUCAAUGAGUUGAGUGAGGUUACCAAGUAGACCGAGAAUCGACCCAGUGAGUUCUCCGUUGCCCGAUAAAUCGAGCGAUUGAAGGUUUGAUAGGCGAGAGAAACUAUCAGGGAGUUCCCCUUUCAAUCCACAAUACGGGAGUUGGAGAGAAGACAAAGAAGAAGACAAGUUCAUCAAGGAACUGGGUACCACCAAAGACAUGUUCACUCUAGCCAAGUAGAGUUCUCGCAGCUGGGUAAGGUUCUGAGCAAGCUUGUCGAAAGAAAUCGGUUCCAGCAUCAGCUGCACAGAGUAGGAAGAGAGAUCAAGUGACACCAAUCUGGAUAAAUGGGAGAUUUCUGGGGGAACUUGGCCUGCAAAAUUCGAUGAAUAUAGAUUUAAAUGCGUCAAAUGCAGGAACUGACCAAAGGAAGAUGAAAUGACAGAGCGAUUGAAGUCAUUGAGAGAGAGAUCGAGCUUCUGAAGAUGAUGAAGGGAGAAGAGAGUGCUGUUAGAAUGGAGGGUGCCAUAAAGCAUGCUGCAACCAAGGUCUAGGCCAAUUACAUGGCCAGUUUGCAUGUUGCAUGUCACGCCAUCCCAAGAGCAGCAAUCUGUACCCUCUUUCCACAGCACUUUCUUGGGUGGAUAACAUGAAAAUCUAUAUGUUGAAGAAGGCAUGGGAAAGGAAUUUUUGAAUUGGAGCAAAGCCAGGCUCUGGUCACCGGGGCAUAAUUGUACUGACGAGGAGAAAUUGGAAGAAGAAUGUUGGGAGUGCGAAUGGAAGAAAAGAAGGCAGAGAAAUUGAGCGAGCAACAAUGAAGAUCCCAUCAUUCCCUAAAAGUGCUCUUUUUGGAGAUUAAAACGUGGACAGUUAACUUAGAUUGAUGGGAGACUUCUAUUAGAAUGUAGUCUAUAUAUAGAGACUUCCGGAAUGCAUAAUUUCCCCUUUACUCGUUGUUUCUAAAAUUAUUUAAAAAAGAAAUCAUAUAAAUAUAUCAUCAAAAUAUAUACUAAUGGGAGAACAAAAGUCUAGCCAGAAUAAAAUUGAAAGCAAAUUCCUUCACUGCUGCAAAACAGACUAAAAACGAAAUGGAAUUUCAAAGGUUUCAGUAUCGGAAACUACAAUAUUUGGAUUAAAGAAAAAAAUAACAAAUGAAAACCAAAUAAAUAAAUAAUAAAUUCAUAAAUAGCCAUUGAAAGCUCAACAACUAUUGAAUUCAUAAAAUUAAGUCCUUUUUUUUUGUUGUUGUUGAAUUGUGAAAUGGAUAUUCAUUUUGUCGCAUAAAUUUAACAAUCUAGUCUAUAUUAGAUAUGCCAAGUCAUUAUUAUAAAUUUAAAUUAUAUUAUUCGUUUUUUCUAUCUCAACAAAGACAUGCAAUGAACAUAAGGUUUUAUACUAAUAAAUGACCAGGAAUAGUUUUUAUUUGGUGUUUUUAUAAUGAAUUUUGGUAUGUGACAAUAACUAACAAGAAAAUAAUAGUGGCUCGCCUAUAUAAUGUUUAGAAAUGAGAUUUUUGAAUUUAUACUUAACGAAGGCAUUGUUUUUGCCUUCCUUAGAAAAUUGCUUGCGCUCCAUGAUAGUGGACAAUAGGCAGAGAAAAAAAAAUGAGGCAAGAAACAGAGGCAGAGAGCUCUGAUAUCUGUUGCUGCCGCUAUAUACAAGUAUUUUCCUAUAAUUGCCAGACACGGAGAAAGAAAAGAAAGAAAAGAUUUGCCAGAAAAGUUAUUUUCAUUGAAUCUGUUGCUGCCGCUAUAUACAAGUAUUUUCCUAUAAUUGUUCUUAGCUAUUUUUGGAAUAAGAAUUACAAUAGGAAUAGAUAUCCUUGACAGCAUAUUUGUUUCUUAAUCCAUUACGUAACCAUGAGAUAUUGUUGAUCCUUUCUUAACAGAAGUCCCCGGACCCCAGCAACGUACACUUCCCAUCAGACGAGCUGCAAAGGAAGAGCACAAACUGUAUCUAUUAGCACAUAUUCAUUGCUAUUUUCUAAGCUAUGAAAUGCUUCUUCUUCUUCUGAGAAACAUAUAUAUUGCUUAACCCUUCAAGUAAGCUGUCCCCUGUUCUUGUUAAUAAUAGCAAUAAGAAUCAUCAGUAUUAAGUUUGUAAGCAAGGAAUAACAGCGGGGUAGAUGUCCCCGAGAACAGCUACAGAGGAAGUUGUAAUUAGAGCAUGAACCGUAUCAGACUGCAAAAAUGUCAAUUUUGAAAAUUAGUACUGCCGUGUUUCCAACGCUCACUCCAGUCCCACAGUAUCUUGAGGGCAAGAACAUUCAAACUCCAGUCUCCUUGUGUGGAAAUAUUCGCUGAAAAGUCUUGCUGUACAGCUGCGAAUUGGACAUAAGAAGGUGAAGAUGACUUUGUUUAUCAAUUUUUUUAUUAAAAUUAUGUAUACAUAAUCCCAUAGUUUAAAUUAUUUUUUAUUUAAAAUAGAAAAGGGAAAAAUCGAAGUAUAUCAAUUGAAGGAAUGGAAAGAAUUUUUUAAAAACAAAAUAUUACUAAUCAAGACGUGUACGUUAUUUCCAUCGGUUUUUAUUCUUACUUUAUUUUUAUUUAUUUUUUAAUCCUGGAAAAGGUAUUAUUCAUAUUAUAGGUAUAAAAAAAUAAUACUAGUAUUCAAAAUAUUACUUAUUUAUUUAAGAUGUUUUUGAUGUAUACAAAAAUGUUUUUCCAAUAUGCAAGUUUCAUUUAUAUGUCAGAGAAAUUUAUAAGCAGAUAAUUUUAAAUAAAAAUUAUUAGAUCUAGACUAGCGCCCGGGUUACGAGUUUUCAUAUAUGAUACAAAUCAACCAGCACAGUGACAUGAUAAAAAAAAUAAAAUUGAAAUUGAGAUAAGAAUGACGGAGGGUAAAACGUUAUCAAAACUUAAUUUGUUUUCUUAACAACGUUUGUCUAUUGCCUAAGUAGAGGUAUCUUAGUUGAGAAAUAUUAUGUGCAAGUUAACUAAAUUUGGUGUUUGACCAUAUAUAUAUAUAUAUAUAUAUAUAUAUAUAUAUAUAUAAAUUAAAACUAGAGUCAAUAGAUAUUUUGCUUUUUCAUAAUAAUUUUUUUGUUAUUAUAAUGUUAGAUGAAAGGAAAUUUGGUGUUUGGCUAUAUAUAAAAAAACUAAUAAACAAAUCAAAUGUACAAUGAAAUGACUAAAACACCCUUCAAAUCAAAUAUUUAAAAAAUGGAAUCAAUGGGCUUUUUUGUCAUUUCACAAUGGUUAUUAUUAUUAUUAUUAUUAUUAUUAUUAUUAUUAUGUCAGCUUAGGGAAAAAUUGGUAUUUUGCUAAAAAAAAAAAGGAUAAACGUGUGUACGAUGUAGCUUAUAUAGAAGGCAAACCCACGCUUUGGGCAGCAUGUGCUCCACUUCCUAGCGUAUAAAAAUGCCCUUAAACUAUUUUGUUAGAAGUGUUAUUUUGUCCUUUUUCCUAUGAAGCGACGCAUGUUGGAGUUGAUGGUCUGGUUUAUUAUUAGUAGACCUUUUUCUCUUCUUUUCUCUCUCAUCCCUAAAACAUAAUAGUUUGGCCCUCAUUAUUGUGGAUAUUUCAACUUCAUUCCUCUUUUUUAUUUGUAUUUUUGUUUUUGGUGUUUUUGUAGAAGUUUUAUUUGUUUUCAAUUUCAUCCUUCAAUCCCAAUUUACAAAUAUUAUAUUUUUAAAUUUGGUCUUAUUUUUUGGUUUCUAAUUUUUUUCUUAGCUCUUUUGUAAAAACUUUAUUUGUUUUUAGUUUCAUCAUUCAAUAAAAAUUGAUAGUAUUAUGCUUUUCAAUUUGGUCCUCAUUGUUUUGAUUUCUAAUUUAUUUAUUGGAACUUUUAGAAAAAUUAUUAUUCUUUUCAAUUUCACCUUUCAAUCAUAUAUUUUUUUUAAUUUUUUAUGUUAAUUUUGAUCCUUAUUUUUUUAAUUUUUUUGGCCUUUUUUUUAAAUUGAUUUUUUUUUCAAUUUUACUAUUCAAUUAAAUAUAAAAUUUAUUUGGUAUUUGAAUUUUAAUUUAUAUUGUUUUAAUUACUAUUUUCUUGAAUCUUUUUGUAUAAUUGAUUUUCAGCACCACGUGAAGAUUGGUUCUUCCUUGUUGAUGCUGGAAGAGAGAGACCUUUUAGGACGACCAAUCCCACACUAUCUUGAGGGCAAGAACCUUCAAACCCCAAUCUCCAUUGUUUGUAGGUUUUCUAGUAACUGUUAAUAAAGCUAUUGCCAGGAGAACGUGUUGACUGGUGUACAAUUUGUGCUGGUGACGUAAGGGACCUCUCCUCGUGUGGAAAUAUUCGCUGAAAGGAUUUAUUGGUUACUUAGUCUUGCUUUACAGCUGCGGAUUGAAGAUGACUUUGUUUAUUAAUUUUUUUUAUUUCAAUUAUGUAUACAUAAUCCCAUAGUUUAAAUUAUUUUUUGUUUAAAAUAGAAAAGGGAAAAAUCAAAGUAUAUCAAUUCAAGGAAUGAAAAAAAUUUUUAAAAAACAAAAUAUUACUAAUCAAGAUGUAUGCAUUAUUUCAAUUGAAAAAUAAUUAUUUUUUCUUUAGGUUAUCCUAAUCAUUUUUCUUUUUAAAUUUGAUUUAUCUAUAGUUUUUUUUUAUUAUUAUUUGAAUUAAAGUCAUCUUAUCCAAUCUAGUCAGUUCUAUAACAUGAGUUACAUAUUUUUUUUGUCUUUUAAAACAUGAUUGUUGUAGUUGAACAUUAUUUUUUACACAAAAUAAAAUAAUCUAGCCCCAUGACAAAGCGCAGGCUCCAAUUAUAGUUAACAUAUACUUAAAUGACUUGACUUUUCACUGUAUAAAUGAAUAAUAAAAUAUUAAGCCCUUUUAACCUUGGUGCUCAAGACUUUUUAGGCUUUUUAAAAAAAUAUAUAUAUUAAUUUUUUUUUUAAUUUCAUCCUCCAACAUUAGGCUUAUGAGAUACUGGAUUUCAUAAUUGUUUUUAUUUACUUUAUAAAGUUAUCAUGAUCUUAUAACCCAGGUCAUGACGAGUUUUGCAGGCUAGUCGUGUUGACUCAUUCAUUUUUUUUUAAUAAUUUUUUUUAACUUCAUCAUUCAAAAUUAAGUUGAUUGAGAAUUGAUCUUCAUAUUUUUUUUUAUUUGAUUUCUAUAGAGUUAUCAUGGUCUCAUGACUUAGGUUGUGAAUUUUGCAAAUUAGCUAUGUUGACUUAGGUUAUUUUUUCUUUUUAAAUAGAAUAAUUUAUUUUUUAAUUUUAUCAUUCAAUAUUGAUUAUUAAAUCUUCAUAAUCUAGCACAAGAAUAUUCAAUCAUAUUUUUACUACACUAAAACACCUUGAAAUCAUAUAAGUGUUAUCUUGGGGAAGACUUGGUGGUUUUAUAUUUAUUUUUCUUUUUAGAAUUGAGAUUUUUGAAUUUCUACUUAACCAGAGAUAAAUGUAUGGCGACCCAGAUGAUCGUAAGGUGGAGAUAUGGCUACGUUCCGUAUUUGACUUAGCAUAGACUGGAAGAUUGAUCCAAAUGCUUGUUUCCCAUCUAUCAUGCAUCAAGUGAUGCUAAUCUAAUUGAAACACUAAGUUUAUGACCGGAAAAAAUGGUUAUUCAAUCCAUCUGAUUUGAUGGGUCAUUCUAGUGUUAUUAGGGUUUUUUAAUUUUUUUUUUCUAUAUAAAUUUUUAUUAUAAUCAUUUUGGUGAAUGGAUACAUAAAAAAAUAAAAUUAAGUAUUUUAAUUUUUUUUUAUGAUCCGUAUUUGACGUGGCAUAGACUGGAAGAUUGAUCCAAAUGCUUGUUUCCCAUCUAUCAUGCAUCAAUUGAUGCUAAUCUAAUUGAAACACUAAGUUUAUGACCGGAAAAAAUGGUUAUUCAAUCAAUCUGACUUGGUUGGUCAAUCUAGUGUUAUUAGGGUUUUUCUAAUUUUUUUCUAUAUAAAUUUUUAUUAUAAUCAUUUUGUGAAUGGAUACAUAAAAAAAAUAAAAUUGAGUAUUUUUUUUUUUUUUUGAUCCAUAUUUGACUUAGCAUAGACUGGAAGAUUGAUUCAAAUGCUUGUUUCCCAUCUAUCAUGCAUCAAUUGAUGCUAAUCUAAUUGAAACACUGAGUUUAUGACUGGAAAAAAUGGUUAUUCAAUCCAUCUGAUUUGGUGGGUCACUCUAGUGUUAUUAGGGCUUUUUAAAAUUGUUUUCUAUAUAAAUUAUUAUUAUAAUUAUUUUGGUGAAUGGAUACAUAAAAAAAUAAAAUUAAGUAUUUUUUUAAAAAAAUAUAUUUAAUUUUUUUUUUAAUUUUUAAGAGCUUUGACUUGCAAUAAAUUAACCUCUUAUCAUUUGUUUAUACCUAAGUCAUGAUUUAAAAUAAUAUAUUUUUCAUUAAUAAUUCAAAUGAAUUAUUGUUAAAAAUCAAAUAUUUAAAUGAUUCAUAAUUUGCGACAAUUUAAACUUAAAGAAACUGAUUCAAUUUCGUAAAAAAGUUUAAUCUUUUAAUAAUUUUUCUUCAAACUCAUCAUAGAUUUUCUAACUGUAUACUUGAGGCUCUCAAAUAUUUUGUUUUUAAAUUAUCAUUAACUUGCUAUCGAAAAGUUCCUUUGGUAAAUAGUCCUUUGCAAAUGAACGAGUGCCUAAUUUACUGCCCACAUUUAAUUAAAUAAAUUUGUAGGACGUGAUAUUUUCAAGAUAGAAAUUAAUGCUUAACUUAUACUGGAUUUAAUAGCACGAGCUAAAAAUGUUUUUUUAAUAGAUGGAGUGAAUUAAGAUAUUCAUCUAAAAUAUUUUAGGUUGAAUAAUUUUCUUACAGGAUAUUUCAUAAAAAAAUAUAAAAUAAUUUUUUAAAAAUAUUUUAUACAAAACAAAUAAUCUCUUAGACUAUGUUAGCCAUAUAAUGGAAUUCAUAUGGAAGUGAACGAACAACUUAGACAUUAUUUAUGCAGGCCUCACCACAUUUGAUUAAACUAAACUUGUAGGACACUUCAUUUUUUUUCCCGAUGGAAAUUAAUACAUGCCAGACCCAUAAGCUGGACUUUGAUUGCCAAAGACUUCGCUACAAUUUCUCGAUUAUCAUCUAGACCUAGUGCGUUUAAUUUCAAGGAUGGAGAUGUGUUUUGUGCGUAUGUCGUUGAAACCAGGGCCACCUCAAUUAUGCCGACUUUAAAAAGUUUUGACGUGUUCCUCACUCAUUUCCAGCUAUGUUUAUGUUUAUUAUUUUCCAGGAUUAGAUUUUGAGACUUGCUAAUAUUAUGAAGGGUUUGGAGUUGUGUUUUAGAAAAAUCCUGAUUUUUUUAAGUUCUGAAUUGUAAUAAUUUUUUUAUUUUUAUAUUGUUUUGAUGUAUUGACGUUCAAAAAUAAAUUUUAAUAUAUAUAUAUAUAUAUAUAUAUUAUUUUGAUAUUUUUUCAAGUUAAAAUACAUUUAACAUUUACUACACUUUUAAAUAUACAUUAAGCUACAUCUAUCUUUUUAAAUUUGGUGACUAUUCAGUCCAGAGGAAAGUAUCAAUCAAUUCCUGUAAUCGUAAAGAGAUUCGAGAUUAUAAAAGCUCUAUCUCGGCACUUAAAUGGAAGAAUAUUAUAAUCCAAGUCCAUAUCAUAUGUUUUUUAAGCGCUGAAGGAAAUGCAUCAAUUAGUUAUUAGUUGGUUAUUAGGAGCAUACUAAUCCAAGUUGAUAAAUAAUUUUCAAAUUAGUGGAUGGCCCAAAAGUUUUGGGUUUCCGUCCAUCCCAUUUGGAGUCCAAAACCAUGUCUGUGGAUAUUACAAAGAAAGAGAAAACGAAAGUCUCUUAAUGACUUGUUAAAAAGCCAACCUUAACUUUUCUUAGUAAAUGGCAAGCUAUAAAACCUCAAGAAAGAGAGAGUUGGGCUACGAGAGAAAGUUUAAAUCUUAAUCUUUUCUGCCUUAAUCAUCAGUGAUUGAAGAUCUAAAAAGGAUAAACUUUUAGUAUGUUAUUCUUCUUUGGUUUCUGAAACAAGAAAAAUAGUAAUUUUUAAAAUUUUUUAGAAGUCUUAAAAAAUCUUGUUAGAAAAAUAUAAAAUUAUUUAAAAUUUAUUUGAAAAUUACCCUAAGAUCAGAAUUUCUUUGGACUUGGAAUAUAUGCUUUAAGGUUGGGUUGUCGCAAACUAUAAACUUUCCAGUUGUCUAGCCUCUAAAGUUAAUCCAUACGAACCACUAGUGAAAAAUCUUUUAAACCCUUUUUGAAAAGAGAUUGUUAUACUUAAACUAAUAGCUCUUUUCUUUUGUGUUUUAGGUAUUUCACUAUUGUAUUCUACUCACUUUUUUCAUUAUCCACAUGAAAUUAGAGGCAUAUUUUUCUAUUUAUAGGAAAAACUAAAAAUCCUAUAAAUUAUAAAAUAUCAAUUUGCCCUUUAAAUAAUAUAUAUAUAUAUAUAUUAUUUUAGACUAAUUUUAAAAAUUUAUUCAAUCAAGUCCCUACUUGAUUUAUUUAGGUCUAGAAUUGUAAUUUCAUGUAUAAAUUACACUUCAGUCCUCAAUUUCUAAAACUUAGUUAUAAUUAAGUUAACUUAAUUAAUCAUAUCAUUUUAAUUUCUAACCAAUGGUGUGAAAUCAUAUUUGUUCAUCAAUAAUGUUAUGAUUUAUACAUUAUAGCAUGAAGUGUGACUACUAUAUCAAAUCAUAUUUGUUCUCAACAUAAUAAUCAUUAAUUCUUUGAAUAAUAUGUAAAACUCUUUACAAAUUUCAUUCCACCUUACGCAAGAAUCUAUAAUCAAUAUUAUUUAAGAACAAAUGUAAUAUUAUUUUUUUCUAAUUCAUCAAGGAUGAUGAAUUCUUUCUUGAUUACCUAAAUACCUUUAUUUACUCCAAAUAUCAGCCUGUUUUUUACCCUUGACUAGAAUGACGUGUAGCAAGAUCAAAAUAUAAUAUUUUUUAUAUAAGAUAACUUCAUGAUCUCAAAUAUAAUAAUUACUUACACAACCAUCACAUGAGUAUUUUUAUAGACACAAAGUGGUUAGUUUUGCCAAUCUUUCUUUGAUUAUUAUUAUUGAUAACUUGAUAUCCUUUUUUGGGAUGAUUACUUUUUUUAUUAUUGUUCUUAUUGUGAUGAUGUAAUUUAUAUCCUCUAGGUGAGUUACGAAAUAAACUUUGUAAUCCUAUUAUUUAUGGACUAUGGUCCAAAGUUUAUACCACAUUAGAGUUUUCACGUAAAACUUUUUUAUGUUGAUCAUAUAGUUGUAUUGUGGAUUGUUUCCACUUUUUAUUAUUGUUGUUAAUUUAAUUUCUCUCAUUUUAACUAUGCAAAGAGAAAAUAUUUUGUGACAUGUGGUUGAAUAUAGUUUAUACAAAUGUUUUUCUUUUUUAAAAUGGAAAAUACAAUGACAUAUACAAAAAAGAGGAGACUCACAUAGGCAAAUAAUGCCUUUGCACAUUUUUGUUAACCCAUGAACAAAAUCUAUGUCUAUAUAGAUACAUAAACUUAUAGAUCCAUAUGUCUCCAUUAAUAAAUAAUCAAUACAAAAGAAAAGAAUCAAAAUCAAACAUUAUAAUAUUUCCUGAAACAAAUGAAAAAGAAUAGAAUAUGAAACAUAAAUCAUGUAUUAAGUAAUCCUUCUUGAAGACUUGCUUAAAAAUAAGAAAGAGGUACAUAUAGAGAUUGUGUAAAUUUUUCAUUAAAAAAAUAGAGAAAGUUUGAAAUAAUUGAGUUUUGUUUUUUUAGGAAACUGGAUUUGGUUACUAAUUUAUGAUAUAAUUGUAAUCUAAAUUUUUAUAUAUAUAUAUAUAUAUAUAUUUGACUUAUUUGCAACGUUUCAAUAUUUUUAGCAUCUUUUCAAAAGAAAUUAAAUAUUAAAAAAUUUAUUUUAAAUACAUUUGGUUUUUAACCUAUUAUUUUCAAAAUCAUUAAUUAAUUUUAUUGAGUCGAAGUUAAUGUAUUUUUUAUAAAAAAUAUCAAAAUACAAAAACUUCAAAAUACAAAAUAUUGGGAUAAAGAAACCAAAAAUGCAAAGAAAGAAAAAUAAGACGUAAAAAUGAUUUUGUGUUGCUUGAGUACCAAGUUACUGAGAUGAAAUAACAAACCAUUUUUACAUUAAAUAAAUAGCAAGCAACUGCAGAAACGUUUCACUCCUAGCCACCGAUGACUAUUCUCUUCUCCAGCAAUAGCGGCUUGUUCACACACCAGCAGCAACAUAGCUCUUCUGCACCUCCCAUGCCCCCUGCCAGCCUCCACCAGCAAUGGCUGCACAUCCAUUCCCAGUCUUCCGCCUGCUGCCUUCCUCCGCAGUACCAUGAACAUCGAGCAGCCCUCCAUUGAAACAGAUGCACCGUGACCUCUAUGAAAGCACCACAGCAGCACCUCCUUUGUUCCAGCAGCAAGUCCUGAGCUCAGCACCACACUCCAGCAACAACAGCGUCUUCUCUGCACCAAAUCAGCCGGAGAUUUCUUCCAGCAGCUUCAACCACGAGCAAAGUCUUCAAUUCACCUGCAACUCUUCUUCUUAAUCAAGCCAGCGUUUUCCUCUGUCAUCCGUGAGCAGCAACAAAGGUUUUUCAGCAUUAGUCACGUCCAGCAGCCAAGCAACGUCGACUCCCUCUCUUUUUCUUCAUUUUUCAUGUUCCAACCGAGAGACUACAAUCACAGCGGCAGCACACUAAACAGCAUUAGAAAAUCCAGCGGAAGAUUAGCUGAAGAUCUGAAUUUCUUUCAACUUGGAAUAUAUACUUUAAAGUUGGGUUGUCGCAAACCACAGGCUUUCCAAUUGUUUGACCUUUAAAGUUAAUCCACAUGAAUCACCAGUGAGAAAUCUCUUAAACCCUUUUAGAAGAGAGAGAUUGUUAUACCUUAGAGUACUAGCUCUUUUCUUUUGUGUUUUAGGUAUUUCAAUACUGUAUUUUACUCACUUUUUUCUCUAUCCACGUGAAAUAAGAGGCAUAUUUUUCUAUUUAUAGGGAAAACUAAAAACCCUAUAAAUUAUAAAAUAUCAAUUUGUCCUUUAAAUGAUAUAUAUUAAUUUAUUCAAUCAAGUCCCUAAUUGAUUUUUUUAGGUCUAGAAUUGUAAUUACAUGUAUAAAUUACACUUCGGUCCUCAAUUUCUAAAACUUAUUUAUAAUUAAGUCAACUUGAUUAAUCAUACCAUUUUAAUUUAUAAGCAAUGGUUCUUAUAUAUGUGACACAUUAGGUUUCCUAAUAAGUUAGCUCAAAUAUAAAUAACAAUCCUAAAUAGAAUAGAAUAAAAUAAAUUAAUUUAUUAUCAAUUCAACAAUUGAUUGAUUUAUAUUGGAAGAUUAAGUACAAUGUCUAGCAACGUCAUGAUCCCCCAAAUAUUAAAAAAAGUUAUAAGUGAUUUGACUUAACCUUUUAGUAACUAGUUUCGCAGUAUAAUUAUUACUUCUUUAUCAUUAAUGUUCUGAUUUAUACAUUAUAGUGUGAAGUGUGACUAUUUUGUCAAAUAAUAUUGUUCUCAACAUUAUAGUCAUUAAUUAUUUGAAUAAGAUUUAAAACUCUUUACAAAUCUCAUUCCACCUUGCACAAGGAUCUACAAUCAAUACUAUUUAAAAACAGAUGUAACAUUUUUUUUCUAAUUCAUCAAGGAUGAUUAAUUCUUUCUUGAUUACCUAAAUACCUUCAUUUGCUAAAAAUAUCUGCCUAUUUGUUAUCCUUGAUUAGAAUAACGUGUAACAAGAUCAAAAUAUAAUACUCUUUAUAUAAAAUAACUAAGUGAUCUCAAGUGUUGUAACCCAUUUUUGGGUCCCCACAUAUAAAAUAAUAAAAUACAAAUAAAUUCAAAAAUAUAUAUUACAAAAAAAAAUAUAACAGUUAAAAAUGCCAGAGCGCCAUAAACAUGCUAAAAAAAUUAUUUAAGGAUUUUCAAAAAUAUAAAAAUUAAUUUUUGACAGUAUAUCAUUGACCGAUGAGAGCCCCGAUGAUAAAGAAAAUUCAAUUUGUGGAAGAAAAAUGCAAAAUCAGAAGUUUAUGGACUCAAUUAAAUUUUAUUAAAGGUUUAAUUGCAUUUAUGAAGAUUUUAAUUGCAAGAAAAAUUGAUUUUGGAGUUAAUUUGGGCUUUAAUUAGGAGAAAUUAAUUUUCUGGGUCAAAUUAUAAUUUUUGGAAGUUAAUUUGGUCAAAUCAUGGGCUUAAUUGCAUAAAUAUUGAAGUUUAAUGGCCAAUUAGGGACUUAAUUGAAGAAAUCCGAGACCAAGGACUAAAAUGCAAAACGCGCGCAAAUUGAGGGCUGAAAUUUGAAUUUGAAAAGUUUUGGCGCCUUUUCCUUUUAAAUGAAACGGCGCGUUUUGACCAAAACGGCGCCGUUUCAUUCACUGUUGCAAAAAAAAAAAAAAAAAAAAGAACCCAAAACGGUGCCGUUUUGAAACAGCACCAUUGUCUUCUUCCCUGCGCACGCAGAGAACAGGGGAGAAGAAUUUUUUUGUCUUCUCCACUUUUCGCCGAACUUCUUUCACCGACGACUUCAAAAAGACGCCCACAAUAGCCACUUGCAUACUUUUUCGGCCACUUGGAUAGUGGAGGGGCGGCCAACAGUGGCCGCCCCAACAGUCACCCCCCCCCCUGUUUUUGCCUAUAAAAACAGGGGAGGGGCACCGAAAGAGAAAAAAAAAAAAAGAGGGAGGGGAGAGAGGGAAGAGAGAAGAGAAGAGAAGAGAAAGAAGAGAGGAAAAGAAAAGAAAAGAAAAAAAAGAAAUAGAAGAAGAAAGAAAGAAGCAGGGGAGAAGAGAGAAGAAAUCGUCGCCUCUGCCACCCUUCGAUCACCAGCAGCACCGCCGGCCACCGCUCCAGUUGGAAGCUCCACCGCGUCAGGUAACCUCCUGCUCCAUCGCCAUCAUUUUUUUUCUUCUCGCCCUCGCUGUCCCUGCCUGCACUUGCAUGCAGAACGUGAAUAAUUCACGUUCUGCUGCAAAAUGCAGCGUGGGCUGGGCCGUCAGCCCAGCCCAUGUAAAAUGGGCCUGGCCGGCCCAGCCCACGCAUUUGGGCCGGGUCCGGCCCAUUUUAAUUUUUUAAUUUUUUUUUUAAAAAGAAUUUUUACAAUUUUUCCAGCACAUGUUUUUAUCAAUUUUGCUUAAUAUCGGUCUGUAUUUUACAUCGUAAAAAUAUAAAUUCAGUAUUAAAAUACCCGGUUUUCGACAAAAACUUCCAAAAAUAAAAAAAUUAAAAAAAAACAACAAUUAAAAAAAAUGUUUUUGUGCAUACGGCCAAGUUUCUCAAAUCUAAAAAAUCAUAUCGUAUUUUUCAUAUGUCAAAAAACAAUAUUUUAGCAUGCAUUUUGGCUUUAAUAACCAGUUUAUUAAAGUCAAGAGAACAUUGGCCAAAAUCUCAAAAACAACAAAAAUUUUAUUUGGCUCUUAGUAUCCGGGGUAUGACUUUACACGUAAUGCAUAUUCCGGAUAUUUAAUUCUUUUUUGGACAAAUAGAACCUGGGGUAUGACAUUACAUGUAAUGCGUAUUCCGAACAAUAAAAAACCACAACACGACCUUAGAUUUUAUCAGACAUUAAAACAAUGCAGCCUACCUUAGGUAGGGCGUUGUUGGGGUGCUAAUACCUUCCCUUUACGCAACCAGUCUCCGUACCCGAUCUCUAAAGACCAGUUAAGGUUCUUAGUAACCAGAAUACUAGGUGGCGACUCCCAUUCUAAUUUUUUCACUUGUAAAGACAAGAAUUCCUUGUCUCUCCCUAUUUUCCAGGAAUAAAUUAUUCCGAUUUUUCCUUGAGGGUGGACGAUCACCGCGCCGCCGCACACGUGCGACAUCAAGUAUAAGGAUCGCUUAUACAACUAUCAUAUAAGUAUUUUCAUAGACACAGUGGUUAGUUUUGCCAAUCUUUCUUUGAUUCACCAGCAACUCUUCUUCUUAGUCAUGCCAGCAUUUAAUUUCCUCUGUCAUCCGUGAGCAGCAACAGAUGAUUUUCAGCAUUAGUCACGUCCAGCAGCCAAGCAACGUCGACUCCCUCGCUUUUUCUGCUCAUAGCAGCUUCGUUUUUCAUGUUCCAACCGAGAGACUACAAUCACAGCGGCAGCACCGUGAACAGCAGCAGAAAAUCCAGCCGUGACCAGUUUCACCACCAGAUGACUCCACCGUGUGUAGCAGAAGUUCUUCUACAUCAAGCAUUAGUCACGUGAGCAUCUCCAGUCAGCCAGAAGCACCACUGGUUUCCGCAACGUGAGCAGCCCCUCCUCUUCAGCAAGGUGAGCAUUAGCCUCACCAAGUGUCAGCCAAACACCGGCAAUAACAUGACCAGCUUCACAGAAACUAUCUCCUCAGCUAUGCACCAAUUUCAUUCUUCAUUCUCUCUACACCGUGAGCAGCAGUGAAAUACAUUCCUCAUCAGCAACCACUGGUUCCACUAUCACCAGUUUUUUUAUUAAUUUCUUGUUUAUGCUUUACGUUUCCUUUACUACUCUUAAUUAACUUAUAUCAUAAUUAUAUUCUUAUCUUAUUUAUUUAUGUUCUUCUUCUUUAUUAUGUCUAGCUAAGUUAAUUAUGUCAAGGUGAAAAGGUUUCACUAAUAGUGUUAUAAUAAGUAUAAUAUAAACUCAACAUGGACUUCAAUGCUUAUAUCCAAAAACGUUUGCUAUUAACAUGUCUUAUCUUUUUUAUCUUAUUAAUUUUUAAUACCUUGCUUGUUAAAUGGUUAAUUUAGAUUUGUAUUGUAUAAUACUUGGUACAAUAAAUGUUUCAUCCUUCAUAGUCUUCAGCCGACAUCGUUGUUAUAAGAGGAACUUGAUUUCUUGUUAACAUAAGUUAAAAUCAUGAAUACCUAAUAAUAUUUAUAAGUAUUCAUGUUACUUAAAUAAAAUAAUUAAUAUGAUCAUGUUAAUUAUCUAUAAUGAGUAUCAAUGAUAAAUCAUCCGAUUGAAACCUCAUUUGUGUGUGGUUUCUAGUUUAAUAAUAAAAUGAGUUUAUACUAUACUUAUUUGAAAUACCAUUAGUGGAUCCUCUAAUCUUAACAAUUAUUUUUAUUAUUGUUUAAUGCUCACAUUAAUCUCACAUCUCAAAGAUCUCUUUAACUCUUUGUUUUAUUUUGUAUAUAUAUAUAUAUAUAUAUAUGUGUGUGUGUGUAUUAUUUGCAAUUUAUAUAGCUUACCUUCUUGUGGACCGACCUCGGUCUUGCUGAAUUAUUUAUUAUUUUGACACUCCUACAUUUAGAAUAAGACAUCAACUCUUUGAUCGUGUCACAAUUCAAAGGAUUGAUUGAUGUAAUUAACUAUUGAAAAUAAAAGGACAAAGGAAGGGCUAAGGUUAUAGAAGAGAUGCUGGAUCAAACUAAAAUAUCAUUCAGUCAUUUAAUUAUAUCUGGAGUGGUGGACCUUGGAUUGAUGUUUGGUUUAUUGUUAUGAAAAAUUAAGAUAUAAAUCUACAACUUUUAUGAAGAGUGGAAGACCCAAAUUUAUUGUUUCCAAAUACAUGCGAUCAAAUGGGAGUGCGAAUGGAAGAGAAGGGGGCAGAGAAAUUGAGCGAGCAACAAUGAAGGUCCCAUCAUUCCCUAAAAGUGGUCUUCUUAGAGAUUAAAAUGUGGAAGUUAACUUAGAUUGAUGGAGACUUCUAUUAGAAUGCAGUCCAUAUAUAUAGAUUUCCGGAAUGCAUAAUUUCCCCUUUCCUCGUUGUUUCUAAAAUUAUUUAAAUAAUCAAUUUUAUAUGAACUAAUAUUUGCACUCAAUUUGUCCUAGCAAAUAUUAAUAUUAGUUGUGAUGCGCGUAAGCUGGCCCGGAUAUUCAGGUCACAAAAUAAAAAAAUAUUAAUAUUAUAGCACUGUCAUUAGUGCACGCCUAAGUUCAAUUACAAGUCUCAUGAAAUAUUAAUAUUAUAGCAUUGUGAAGAGAUCUUUGAUUUUUUAUCUGUUUCGAUUUUAUAAACUCUGAUUUUUUGCUAAUCAAAACUUUCUCUCGAAGUUUUCACAUUCUCUCUCUUUCCAUGGAGUUUCCUUUUCUAUGUGGGGAAAGAGGGAGCAUUCAAUGGGAAGAAAGUGUAUGAGACGACUUCAACUAUUGCACACCUGACAAAUCGCACACGAACUGUAACAGGGUGAUUUCUUCAACCAGGCGCUCCAGUCCAUUAAUAAUUUGGUAACAAUAGGCAUCGAUAGAUAAUUAAAAAAAAAAAUCAUACAAAUAUAUCAUCAAAAUACCGAUAGGAGAACAAAAGUCUAGCCAGAACAAAAAUUGAAAGCAAAUUCCUUAUUUAAUCCUAAUGAAUAAAAUCCUUACUGCUGCAAAACGAAAUGGGAUUUGAAAUGUUUGCAGUAUCUACUAAAACCUCAGUUCAGUUAAGUGUAUUUGAGAGUGUGGUAGUGGUUGAUUUUUAAUGGGUUUUUCAUGUUAAAAUAUAUUAAAAUAAUAAUUUUUUAAAUAAAUUUAUUUUUGAUAUUAGCACAUCAAAAUGAUUUGAAAACAUCAAAAUGAUUUGAAAACAUCAAAAAAAUAUUAAUUUGAAGCAAAUAAAGAUAAAAAAUUUUCAAACCUUUUCAAAAACACUUCUAAAAUAUAAUGUUGAACGCAUCAUUGAAGACCAAUAGCAAAAAUAGACUGGUCAACAAAGUUUGCACUAAUAAGUUGCCGAACAAGAAACCAGAAGUUGGAAAAAAUUAUUUAUACUCUUGCUAUUAAGACGUGCUAAAAACACCAUAGCGUGUUUUGUAUUUGCAAAACUUGUUGGUAUUUGUUUUCGAUCUUGGUCUAGUUAUUUCUGUAACCCUCAAUUUAGAAGACAAACCUAUUAAAGCACAAACCACACCUUUAAAAGCAAAAACAUAUAUGUUUUUUUUUGUGGGAUCCACAAAAAAACCAACCACACCUCCAAACCAAACAUCCUUUUAAAUUCUAAAACAUAGUUUUGUAUUAAGGAAAUAUCUUUAAGCAAAAAGUACAUGUUUUUUUUUGUGGGAUCCACAAAAAAACCAACCACACCUCCAAACCAAACAUCCUUUUAAAUUCUAAAACAUAGUUUUGUAUUAAGGAAAUAUCUUUAAGCAAAAAGUACAUGUUUUAUUUAUUUUUUUUCUAUUCAUUAUAUUUUCUUACAACAUGUGGAAGACUUGGUUUUUUUAUAUUUUUUUUUUAGAAAUGAGAUUUUUUAAUUUAUACUUAAUUAGAAAUAUAAAUGUUUGGCCACCCAGAUGAUUGUAAGGUGGAAGACUUGUUGAUAUGGCUUUCCCUGGUCUCCUCUCCAAAUACAACGUCGCCACUUGACUUGAUAUUUUAACUGGUACGGGAGAAUGGAGAUGAUAGCUACCUUCCGGAAUGCUUAUUUCCCCUUUCCUCGUUGUUUCUAAAAUUAUUUAAAUAACCAAUUUUAUGUAAAUAACUUGCACUCAAUUUGUCCUACUAAAUAUUAAUAUAUAGCACUGUGAAGAGAUCUUCGAUUUUUAAUCUCUUUCGAUUUUUAAACUCUGAUUUUUUACGUUUUGCUAAUCAAAACGUUCUCUUGAAGUUUUCACAUUCUCGCUAUUACAACUUUCAAAACUCCAUUCUUAAUUCUAAUUCUAAAAAAAUUUAAUUUCUUUUUCAAAUUAACUUUUUUAUAUUUUCAAAUUAUUUUAAUAGCUAAUGUGCUGAUGUCAAAAAUAAAUUUUAAAAAAUAAAAAAUAUAUUAUUUUAAUAUAAUUAAAAAAAAUACAUUAAAAGACAAUUUCUACCAUACUAUCUUUUUUUUUUUUUGGAAAAGUUAAGUAGUAUAUAAAAAAAAGAGAAUGUUUCUACAGAUUUACGAGGGGCAUACCCCAAGAAAAAAACUAAAUAAUCAGCACCUCAUAUUAGAUGAAGUUUGGCAAUUAACAUUUUCAACGUAAAACAAAGAAAGGGAAAUUGCAUGGUCACUGCAUGAACAGCGGCAAUGCAAUUAUUUCUUCCUUUAGAAACCAUGCAUAGCCACUACGUGAAUAGUGGCUAUGUAAAUAAUUUUGCUCUCUUCCACAGAAUGUUUUUACCAUCUGCCGCGGCUGCAUAAUAUUAUCAAUCUUUCCCAUUACUUCAAUUAGCUGUCCCUCAAUCUCCAUAUUGUGCAAACAGAGUCAGGCAUACUGUCUUCAUUUGCCAUGUGCGUUAGAUGUGUUCGGAUUAGCUGAUAGAUUUCCUCCACAAUGGCUUGUUCAGUUCGGUGCUGGCUGCUAAAGACCCGAUUGUUCCUUUGAUGCCAAAGGAGAUAGACCGUGGUUGAUAAGAGGAGGCGAGCAAUCAUGUGCUUGAUGUUAUCAUGCUGCCUGUAAUGUGUAGAUGCCCAUUGGAGAAGAUCCUGCCAGGAGGUGUGUGGCCAUUGCAAUUUGGCUCGUGUGUUGAUUGUUCGCCAAACUGAACCUGUGAAGCUGCAAUCAAAAAAUAAGUGUGCAUGCGUCUCCACAUAGACCACAAAGAAUGCAUGUUGUUCGUGAUCCCUGUUGAGUGAAGCCUAUCCAUGUACGCAACCGACCCAUGCAAGCUAACCAGAGGAUGAAGAUUGGCGUGGAAUGUGGCCUUUGAACCAGAGAAGGUGAUGCCAUGUUGGUGGUGGUCUGGUAUCCGAAUAAUUCCCAUGCAGAUGCUAUAGAGACUUUGCCAGAUGUGACCCUUCCAAAUGCAAUAGUCUGCUAAGGAUUGGCAAGGUUGAAAAUUAAUUGAAUCCCAUAUCUCUUGCAUUGCCGGCUGUCCCAUAGGAAAGUGCCAUUGUCCUCUGCAUAUUAUACUAGAAACUGUUGCUGUCCAAGAUAAACCAGUCGACGUGAGUGUACGCAUUGGGAGGAUGUCAAUUACUCUCUUCCCUUCAGGCAGCCAGUAGUCAUACCACAGAGAAGUGGAAGAGCCAUCACCUAUGCCUGUUAUGAACAUAUAAUAUACUUACUUUAAUGUACUUACUUGCAUUCACCUGGACUUUACUUGUAAUAUACUCUCUCUCGUAUCCAAGAUUUUCGAAUUUAUACUUAACCAGAAAAAAUGUUUGGCCAAACAAUGAUUAUAAGGUGGAAGACUGUUAUAUCAUAAUUAAUUUGGCUAAAACAAAUUAAUUGGUUAUUAGAUAUCCACCAAUGAUCGAGCAGUUGACUGGAAAAAAUGGUUAUGCACUUUCCGCAUUUAAUUUCCAGGAUGGAGAUGUUUAUGCGUAUCUCGUUGAAACCAAGGUCGCCUCAAUUAUGACGAUUUCAAAAAGUUUUGACAUGUUAAUCACUCGUUUCUAGCUAUGGUUAUUAUUUUCCAGGAUUAGAUUUUGAGACUUGCCAAUAUUAAGAAGUGGUUGGAAUUGUGGUUGGAUUUUGCUUUUGAAAUUUUUUUAUUAUUUUUUAGUUUUGAAUUAUUAUAAUAUUUUGUAUUUAUAUUGUUUUGAAAUGUUAAUGUCAAAAAUAAUUUUUUUUAAAAUAAAAAAAUAUAUUAUUUUGAUAUUUUUCUAAGUAAAAAAACAUUUUAAAAAGUAAUAUUUACUAUACUUUUAAAUAAACAAACAUUAAACAUAUAUCUAUUUUUAUAAAAUCGAUGACUGUACAGUCUAGAGAAAACUAUCAAUCAAUCCAUAAAAUCAUAAAGAAAUUCGAGAUUAUAUCUUACGUUUUUUAAGUGCUUAAGGAACUGCAUCAAUUAGUUAAAAUAAGAUCCACGCAACCACUUGUUAUUAGUUGGUUAUUAGAAGCAUUCUAAUCCAAGUUUAUAAUUAGUUUUCAAAUUAUUGGAUGACCCAAAAGUGUUAGGUCUACGUCGAUCCCAUUUGGAGUCCGAAGAAAAUAUUAACCCAAAAGCGAUCACAUCCCAAUGCUUUCGUCAAGAUAUAUUUGCCAAUUAAAAUUGAGUUGAAACAUAUUAUGCAACAAUUAUGCCAGAUUGUAAGUGCUCAUGAAUAAAAUGACAGUCGAUCUCAAUAUAUUUAGUGCACUCAUGGAAGACAAGAUUAGCAGCAAUGAGUAAAGCUAAUUGAUUAUCACAAUGCAAAAACGUUGGUUGAGAAUGAUGCAAAGAUAGAUCAGCAAGCAAACUACGUAACCAUAUCAGCUCACUAAUGGUAGCAGCCAUACAACGAUAUUCUGAUUCUGCAGAGGAACGUGACACUGUGGGUUGCUUCUUGGAUUUCUAAGAUAUAGGAGCAUCACCAAAAAAAGUGUAAUAACAUGUAAUAGAUCGUCGAGUCAUGAGACAACUUGCCCAGUAGAAAUCACAAUAAGCUUUGAUAUGAAAAUCACUAUUUGAAGGAAAAAAAGACUUUGACUAGGAGAACUCUUCCAAUAACGAAGAACAUAAUAGGCAGCAUCAAGAUUGUUGCUACCCAAUUUUUGACCUAUGCUUUGAUAAAUUUUUCAAAAAAAUAAUAAAAUAAUAAUAAGGGUUUACAUGUGGCGAUAACAUAAAGUAUCAUGGCUAAUAUUAAGGAAGCAAUAUGUCAAGGAGAUAAUUAUUAAAUCAUAUAUAAUUACUGCAAUAUAAAAUACCAUAGAUAUAUGAUUUGAUUCGUGCUGGUUAUGGAAAAUAAUCAACGCAAUAUAAAAUACCAUAUAUAUGGGAUUUGUUGGUGAUGGUUAUAGAAGACAAUCUCUGCAAUAAUUAUUACAAUAUUUCCUUAAAUAACACAAGUAGAAAUUUUCUAUAUAAAUGAACAUCCAGUCAUAACAAUGGGGGAGAAAAAUUUACAAGGGAGGGAAUUUUUUUUAAAAAAUGGAGUCAAACACAAACAAGAUCUAAAAAUAAAAACCCCUAACCCUUUUCUUUUUAAGAGCCGCAACCCAUCCUCUCUUAAAAAAAACAUAAAAAAGGAGUCGUCGCCCGUGCCCCUACCUUCUUCUUCUCUCAUAGCCUCCAAUAGCCUUCAUCCAGACCGUUCCUCUCACAAUCGUAACCCUUGGUUUCUUCUCUUUCAGCCACCAGCCAGAGCCUUUCCUUGCUUUGCUCACCGACCUUUCCUCCCCGAGCCAAGGAGAAGUUGUCCCCUCCCUUUGAAAGCCGACAACAACACUACCCUCUCUCGACCGCUUUCUCCUAUUUCGCCAAGAGGAGCCACCUCCCUCUCUAAAAAAAAACACGAUCUCCCCUCAAAGACCCAUCACCCAGGACAGAUUUACCUUUCUUCCCCUGAUCGUUUCCUUCAUCUCCUCCUUCCAACAACGGUUUCUUCUCCUCGACACAACCAAGACAUCCCCUCAUCUUUCUCUGAAACCCAAGCAAACCAGAACAACAACCCGAAGUCAGCCCCGUCCGCGUCCACCGUGACUCGCCACCGCUUGAUCUACCACCUGAGGGAAGAGAGAAGAUAGAAAAAUCAAACCGGGAGGAAGAGAGAAAACAAAAGAAAAUAGAUGUAAAAAACUAUUAAAACAGACUUGCCGAUCUGCACAAAAAGAAAAAAAAUUAAAAUCAACUGUUUUGUUGCGUUUUCAAGUGUUUUUGCAGGUCACCGCCGGCGAGGAAGGGGAGAAGGGAUGAAGCCAAGCUAGAUCCACCCCGGCCCCAUGAAAUACUUAGGUGUUACAAAUGUCAUACUAAGAAUAGACAUUUCUAGGACAUCUAAUGGAUUAGUAUUAUCCCCAAUCUCAUUAUAUUGAGAAAAGUUUUAAGAAGUUUCUAAAGGUAACACUAGCACUAUCAAAACAUCAAUUGAUAUAAGUGUACAUCCGUCUAAUAAUAGACGUAUAGGAAUAAAUUAAUUGAAAUAUUCUCAAAUAAUUAAAAGUCUAAUGUACGUUAUAAACUAUACAAGGCAUGAUACUACUUACUGAGAAGAUUUACAAAUAAUCCAAGUAUGGAUCAUUGCAAGAUAAUAAAAAAGGUACUUAAAUAUUUGAGAUACACCUUAGACUAUGAUUUUCACUAUAUUGAUUACCCAAUAGUACUAGAAAGGUAUAAUGAUGCUAAUUAGAUAUCCGACACUAAAAAUUUGAAAUCCACAAAUAGACAUGUCUUCACAAUUGAUGGAGAAGUUGUGUUCUGAAAAUUCUCUAAAAAAACGAGUAUUACUAGAUCCAUGAUGGAAUUAGAGUUUAUUGCUCUUAAUAAAACUGAAUAGGAAGCCAAAUGGAUUCAAAAUUUCUUGAAGGAUAUUUUAUAUUGGUCAAAAUCAAUGUAAGCUAUUUGUGUCCAAUGCGAUAAUCAAUCAACAAUUAGAAGGGAAGUUAAGCAAAUGGAAAGGGAAGUUUUUGAGCGUGACUGGAAGGAUAUGUCUUAUUAAAUCUGUCUUAAACUCUCUACCUCUAUACUAUAUGUCGGUCUUUACUAUGCCAAGGGUAUUGCAAAAGUAAUAUCCUCAAUCAACCAUUGUUUUCUCUGGAAGGGCUCCUCAAAUUCACAUGGUAUUUGUAAGGUUGCUUGGCAUAAGGUAAUUAAGAGUAAGCCACUUGGAGGUCUCGAGCUUGGUUCUAUUCACAGUAAAAAUCUGGCUGUGAUGUUUAAAUGGCUUUGGAACCUUGACAAAGGAGUGGCAGGAGGUUGGCAAGAACUCAUCUUACGAAAGUACCGGCCACAUUUUACAAAUGGCCUUCCUAUGUUUGCAGGUUCUUUAUCUCCAACUUGGCGUGGCAUGGUAUCUGUAAUUUCCUUAAAUCACAGCAUAACCGCUCCCAUCCAAUCCAAUGUUGGGUUUAAGGUGGGUGAUGGGAGAAACAUCAGGUUCUGGUCUGAUUCUUGGCUAGGCUAUGCAGCCCCUCUCCAGUUCAUGUUUCCUAGGCUCUACAACCUCUCCCUACAGCAAUCUUUAAGCAUUGCAGAAGUUCAUAACCCAACAGAUAACUCAAUCAAUCUUUCUUGGAGAAGACCCAUUCGAUCCUGAGAACUCUGCAUGUGUGAAAGCUUGAUAGCAGAAGUGGAACGUGGCCUAGUCUUCUCUGAUGGUGAAGACAACAAGAUUUGGAAACACCAUAGCUCCAACAAUUACACAGUCUCCUCUGGGUGCCAUCUCUUUGACGGUUUUAAUGUUUCAGGACAUCUUCACUCCCCUGCUUUGCUUUGGAAAGGGUUUGCGCCUCCAAAAAUAGAUGUGUUCAUAUGGCUUCUUUUCAAUGGAAGUGUCUGCACAAAGGGUUUCUUAGCUGAGAGGAGAAUCAUCAAUUAUGAGGAAGCUCUUUGUCCUUUCUGCUGCAAGGAGAUUGAGACUAUACAUCAUCUCUUCCAUCUUUGUCCAAAAUCAUGGUCUCUUUGGGGUAGAUUUUUUAGUUGGUUUAGGUGUGUAGGUUGUCUGCCAAAAGACCCAUAUCAUAACCUUCAGGAAUGGUCCAACAUGGUAAAAGGAAAAUUUCAGCGUCAGGCAAUUACCCUUCUCUAUAAAGGAUUAUACUGGUCAAUUUGGAUAGCGCGCAACCACAUGAUCUUUGACAACAAAACUCCAGACUGGGAUGUGAUUUUUGACCUCACCUUUCAUCGGUUAGCCUUUUGGUUGAAGUCCUUUGUUAAAGAUUUCAGCUAUACAGGCUCUGAUCUUUAUAGGAAUCCUGAAUGUAUCAUGAACUGGACUAACUAGUCAGAUCUAUAGAUUCCUUGUUUUCUUAAUGUUUUUUAAUUCCCCAUGUAAUCUUCCUUAGCAGCCCUCAUCUCCUUAAUGGUGGCGUAUUAUUUAUAAUAUUCUCGAUUACUAUAAAAAAAAAAUCAACAAUUAGAAGGGCACAAAGUAGUAGAUUAAUAGGAGGUCUAUACAUCAUAGACAAAAUACUCUUAAACACUUCCUCUUGAGUAAAAUUAUUUUCUUUGACUAUGUAAAGUCAAAGAAAAAUAUUGUGGAUCUGCAAACUAAAGAUUUUUUGAGAGAACUUGUGUAUAGCUCAUCAAAAGAAAUGGGUUUAAAGCCUUUAAAAUACAAAAUAGUGUAAUGAUGAUAACCAUACCCAAUUGGUUAAAGAUUCUAAGUCGUACAAAAUUCUUGGUAGCACUAAAAAAAAUAUUAUUUCCUACUUAUUUCUAUGAUGAAAUAAGUGUUAGCUACAUCGAGAUAAAGGGAAAGAUGAGUUCUUAAUGAUUUUCAUAAAUUGGUGAACCAAGUGGAGUAUAAUAGAAUACUAUUAAUGAAAAAUCAUUUAUAUAAGUGAAAAUAUGGUUGUUUCUUUGAGAAUUUUCAUAAAUAUUGAAUUAUCCAAAGCACUCAUGUAUCCAAGAAUUAUUCAGGACCAAAAUAAACACAACAAUGAAAACUAAAGGAAAUAUCUAGGUAGUGAACUAUAUGAGUUGUCUUAGUUUACAUAUAAGGUUGAAUAGUGCAAGACAUCACGUAUAAUAUUGAGCUUAGUAAAUUCCUGCGACAGUUUCACGCUUCUCAUUCAGGUAAUGAUUUGGCAUUGAUUACAGCAUAUUAUGUUGAUACGACCCAUGUUGAACCUUUGUUCUUGUUUUCAGGAUUCAGAGGGGCAGUGAAUCGUGUGGCCCAUUAGUGAACUGCCGAUCAACAGCUGCAAUGCUCUCGGCAGGUGGAUUUGCGAUGCCUGUUUUAUCCGAGGACCUUCAAUAUAUGGUGAGAGAACCCAUUUCACUUGGAGCCGCAAUCAGGUUAAUGCACGGUGUUGUAACCCAUUUUCAGGUCCCCAAAUAAAUAAAAUAAAAUAAAUAGCCAAAGGAAUUUAGGAAAAAUAACAGGGGGCAGAAGCGCUCAGCAAAUGGUCAGAAAAUCGGUCAAGGAAGUUAAAAAUCAAUUUGGGCUUUAAUUCGAAGAAAUUUAAGUUUUAGGGCCAAAUUAUAUUUUUUAGGAAUUUAUUAGGUCAAAUCAGGGGCUUAAUUGCAUAAAUACUGAAGUUUAAUGGCCAAUUAAGGGCUUAAUUGAGAAAAUCCGAAACCAGGGACCAAAUUGGAAGAGGCGCGUAAAUGGAUGGGCUGCAAUUGAAUUGAUUCAGGGGCCUAAUUGAAGAAAUUUAGAAGAUUUUUGAUCAAUUGAGGGCUAAAUUGCAUAAAUCAGAGGCCAAGGACCAAAGUGAAAAACGCGGCCAACUAUGGGGGCAGGGACCGAAAUUGGCAAGGACGCAAUUGAAAUGAACAAAAAGUAAUUGGGGGCUGAUUUGAACAUUGGCGCGUUUCUGGCGCCACAUUUAAAUGAAACGGCGCGUUUUCUCCAAAACAACGUCGUUUCAUACAUAAAAAAAAAAGAAAAAAAAAAGAGAACCCGCCGAAAAAAACUGGAGAGAGAGAGAGGGAACAAAGGAGAGAAGUUAGAGAGAGGCGAACAAAAAAGGAGAGAGGAAGAAAGGAACAUCGAAACCAACUGAAAACGAAAGGAAAAAGGAACUGAAAACAAAGAAAAGGGAGGGAGCGGAGAGAGCGUACCAAACCACUUGGAACAACAGCGUCGCCGCUUGGAGCCACCGGCCUCCACCACAGCGCCAUCCGCGAGGACGUCCAACCAGCCGCACUGCCUCCGCCGCACCAGGUAUUGCUUCCUCCUCCUUGAGUUCUUUUAACUGCAUGAGGCUUGCCUCCUGGAUGCAGAAUCGUUCUGCAUUCAGGAGGUGGGGAGGGGAAAGAUAAUUCCCCCCCCCCGUUGAGCCUUCAUCGCUGGGCCAGGCUGAUGCUGGCCCAGCAUUAUUAAUUUUCUUCUACUCUAGGCCAGACGGUUUCUGGCCCAUAAAUAUUUGCGAUGGGCCAGAAUGGUUCUGGCCCAACCUGUUUUCUUCUAGGCUGAGUCCGGCCCAGUUAGUUGGGCUGGCCCAGCCCACUCAAUAUAUUAUAUAUUAUAAUAUAUUAUAAUAUAUAUGUGUGCAUAUUAUAUGUAUAAAAAAUAAAAAAAAUCUGAAAAGUCUAAAAAAAAUAUUGUUGUUUUCUCUUCAUAUUUUUGUCAAAAUGGCUUAAUAUUGGUUUGUAUUUUUAUACUGUAGAGAUACAAAUUCAGUAUUUAAAAUACCCGGUUUUCAUCAAGACCUCCAAGAUUUUCAAAGAUAAAAAAUAUUUUUUUGCUUUCAAAAAAUUCUGAAAAAUUCCUCAAAAAUAUUGUUGAUUUUUCCCGCAUAUUUUUUAAAAUGACUUAAUAUUGGUUUGUAUUUUUAUACUGUGGAGAUACAAAUUCAGUAUUAAAAUACCCGGUUUCGUCAAAAAAACAAAUGUUUACAAAAAAAAAAAUGUUUUCUUGCGUGUUGCAUACGACCAAUACUCUAACAUGUUUUGAAUGUUCUUUUUAUAUAAAAAAAAAUAUUGGAAGCUUUGAAAGUUUGUUUUCGCAUAGAUUUCUUAAACACAAAUUAUUUUCUUGCAUUUCUGGAUUUUACAACAUGUUUGUAAAACUCCAAAGGGUAUUGGCCAAUAUUCCAAAAACUAUAAAAAUUUUAUUUUGGGGGAGGAAAUUCUUCUUUUAUCCAAAAUAUUAUUGGGAGUAAUAAAUCCACACACAUUCUUGAAAGAAGCCUUGAUUAUAAUCGAGGACAUUUCAAAAUUUCAAAAUUUUUUUUACUCCACGGUUUACGAGCCGUGAAAGUAUGAAAUCCUAAGGCAAGAUGAGUUUUUUUUUAAGCGCUGUGAAUUUUCUUAGAUUUCUAAUUUGUCCACCUCCUUGCGAUUUACGAGUCGCAAACUCUUGAAAUACUAAGGGAAAAAUGAGCUUUCAAAGCACAUGGAAUCUCCUUGGAUUUCUAUCUAAAAUAAAUUGUUUUAGUUUUUUUUGGAACAAAUCUAGGAAAAUUGACGGGACUAGAAAACACCAACACCAUAGAUUAUAGAGCAAACCAAACACCAAGCGUCUUACCUUAGGUAGGGCGUACUAGGGGUGCUAAUACUUUCCCUUUACGUAACCAGUCCCUUGCCUUAGAAUCUCAGAAAGACCAGUUAGGGUUCCUAGCGACCAAAAUACUAGGUGGCGACUCCAAAGAACCAAAUCAGUAAAACAAAAAAAAUUGCCAGUCGAACUCGCAAUUGGAUUUUUUUUAGGGUGCGACAGAAUGGCGACUCCACUGGGGACGCUUGGACUAAGCUUGAUUUUUUGUUUGUUUAUACUAUGUGUUGUUUGUUUUUUUUUGUUUUCUUAUGAUGCUUUGUUUAAGAGCUUUAACAUACAUCUUUACAUUCUAUCAUACAUGGCAUAGUCAUGCAUCACUUUAUUAUUAUUAUGUUUUGAGGGCACACACAUGUAACUUUAAGUUAAGUGGGGACUAGCAGCUUGCCUUAUGACUUGAGUCAAGGUUUAAGUUUGUGUAAACCCCAACUCUUUGCUGAGUGUUUAGACUGAUUGUGAUUGGUACACGUGCCAUCCCACCAUCUGCUGGACCUCCAUAUCGCCUUUACGAGGGUGAUCACUGGAACAGCAAGAGACCCUUUUUAGAGACCAGUAGUAAACCUACCCUAUGUCUCACAUAAGAACUAGAACCUAUCCUUAGGGUGUAUGUUCCAUAAUAUCUUUUGCAUCAAAACAAGUCUAAACCCCAACGCAUUUGAAUUGCAGGACUUGUGAACGAAAUGGCCAUCAUCACUAAAUCUUCCAUCGUAGAGUAUGGGAAAAAUUCUGAACUGUCACAAUUGACUGAAGGAGACUGCCUUAGAAGCGAUGCUAAGAAGAUGUCACCAAUCAAGAACCUGAAUUGCAUUAUCAAUGAGGGAACAAAUUAACGACUCAUUUUCAGAAUGUAGAUAAUUUUUAGGAAAUACGGACGUUUGAUGGAAAUCGCAAGGGUAGAAGUUUUAAGCCCAGCUGUCCGGGCUUUAGUUCAUUUUUGGGAUCCAGACUACCGAUGUUUUUCCUUUGGAAGCAUAGACCUCUGUCCCACGGUUGAAGAAUAUGGGUUGUUAACCGAGUUUCCAAACAACCUGUAUCGGAUUUAUUUGCCUUUGAAAUCCGAUAAGAUCAUCCCUGAACUGUCAAAACUGCUCAGAAUCUCAAACUUGGACAAGUUUUUGGAAAAGAAUGGUACCGGUUUGAAAUGGAGGAUGCUAGAAUUUGAAUUGGAAAAGAAUUCAGAAUUUGAAAAAGAAAGGUUGAUUGCUUUGGGUAUCUUUGGCCUCGUGUUGUUCCCAAGCCAGAUUGGUGUAGUGAGUUUGGAGGCCACUGCUGCUUAUGUAGAGUAUGAGAGUACGCAAAUCAAUCCCGUUGCGGCUAUUUUAGCUGAAACGAUUUUGUCACUCAACCAUUGUAGGAGGACCGGAAAAGGAGCAAUGAGAUUUUGCACGCAUUUGUUAUAUAUUUGGAUGGUUAGCCAUAUCGAAACGAAAAAGCCUGUCUUCAAUAAUUUUUGGUGGUUCACCUAAAAACCCCUGAAGUUAGUAGAAGAAGAAGAAUGGGGGGAUCUAGACAACCAAGGAUGGGUUGACAAAUUAGAAGGUUUGCCUAACAGUGGUUUUAAGUGGAGAGCCCCAUGGCUAACGACAGUAAAGGUCCUGAUGAGUUGUGGACAAAGACGUUGGGUACCAUUAGUAGGGAUUACAGAUUAUGUGAGUUAUGCUCCGGCUUUAGUAGUAAGGCAACUUGGGGGCAUGCAGUUCGUUCCCAGGACUAUGGGAAUUGCUCAAUUCUUUGGGUUGUUCAAAGAUCCCAUUGCAGAAGAGGUCUUGGAAAUCAUCAAACAGGAUUGGAAGCAUCUAGUGUUGGUUGAGAUAGAAGGUUUGAAAGAUCCAAGUGCAAGCGAAGGAUAUGCAAAAUGGAGAGACUUAGCUGCUUCAGCCACGCCUUGUGUAGAAGCCAAACCUCCUCAAGCUGUAGAAGAGCCUACUAAGAGAAAAAGGGUUAACAAUGAAGAUGAAUUGAGAAGGCAAGUGGAGAAACUUCGAAUAGAGUUGAGCAAAAGCAGAAAAGACAAGGCAAUGUUGGAAGAAAUGAUGCUCGAAGAGGAUAAGAGGAGAGCGUUUCUCGAUGAGCAAAUACAGUCUAGAGAUGUGAAUAUAACAAAGCUUGAGUUAAAGCUGGAUGAGGAGAAGAUUGCUAGGGAAAGAAGUGAGAAGGAGCUUAAAGGGAUGAGUUUGGAUUGGAUGCAAAGUUGCUCGGAGCUUGAAGCAAUGGAGAUGGACUUUAGCGAUUGCCAAGAAAGGGCAGAAUAUUACCAAGAAAAAUUUGCGCAAGUGCAGUUCGAACUGAUGGAUAGGAUUGGGAAGUAUGAGGAUUUGAAUAAGAAAUAUAUAGAGUGGGAAAGCCGUGCUAAGGAGAUCGUAAAAGAAAGAGAAAGGAGAGGUUUUGAGGAUGUUGAAGCAGAGUUAGCGGUUAAGAAGAAUGAGAUAAAAGUUAUGAGGAUAAAACUCGACAAGGAGCGGGAAAAGGUGAAGUAUUUAGACGAGAAGCUAGCAGCAAUGGAAAAACACAAAGAUCAAAUCGACGCCAACAACACUGCUCUGAACAGAACCAACAUGCUGCUCAUAGAAAAGAUGACCAAGACAGACGAGCAAAUGGACGAAGCUGCUGCACAUGCCCGAAUUAUUAGAAUCAAUGCGCGGAAUGUGGGAGGAGACAUCAUUUGCUAUCGCCGAAGCCUAGCCGAAACUGAUGCCUUUCUAGGGAAGAUUGAGAACCGCGGCUUUGCCUUCUUACCUUUGGCUAAAGAGUUUAUGGAGGAAAGGGAUUAGCAUGUUGUAUUUCUUUUAUUUCUAAAUGUAAUGAAUUUAUCGAGCAUUAAUGGAAAGGGCGUUGACCCAUCUUCUUAUGCAAAAUCUGUCUCUUGGUGAACAUGAUUCAAGCAAACGACUCGAAAGGCAGAACUCCUAUCAAAGCAAUGUGACACGAGAAUGCUUAUAAUGUGAUGGCUAUUAUUCGUUCACAAAAAAGGCUGCAUCCAUACCCAAUGAAACAUGCAUUUUUUGCAAUCAUGCAUUUAUCACAAUCAUGCAUCUUUCUCAUACAUCUAUGCAUGCAUCUGCAGAUUAAGAAACAUAGGUCCCCCUUCUAGAAUCCACAACACUCGACAAAGAACAAGAAUGGAAAACGAAGAAAGGUCACAACCAGAAGCUCAGUACCAAAGAGAACUUGAAGGAGUUCGGAAUGAUGUGGCGCACUUAACCAGUAUGUUAGAGCAAAUAUUAAGAGCCAGAGAUGGAGAGGGAACAUCUACUCAACCUAAUGAAGCACCAACAACAGCUCAAAUUCCUGUCGCACCUAUAAACAUAGGGGCAAAUACACCAACUAAGCAGAGUCCUGCUCGGCCCAUCCAAAUCCCCAUUACAAUGGAUUUAACAAACGAAGAUCCACAUGACUUUAAAUUCUCUAAUCAUGAAGGAGAUGAUAAGUGGACUGCACUAGAAGAGAGGCUAAGGGCAAUUGAAGGAAAUGAUUUAUUUGACCCAAUUAGGGCCGCUGAAGUAUGUUUAGUGCCCAACAUUGUUAUUCCAAGGAAGUUCAGAGUGCUAGAGUUUGUUAAGUAUACCGGGAUGGAAUGCCCAAAGACCCAUCUCCGUUCCUACUAUAACGAAAUGGCAGAAGUUAUCCACGAUGAUAAAAUGUUAAUUUACUUCUUCCAAGAUAGCCUGACUGGAUCAACCCUCAGUUGGUAUAUGAGGUUAGACAACAUUAGGAUCAAGAAGUGGACGGACCUGGCAGAUGCUUUCUUAAAGCAAUACAAGUUUAAUCUUGAGAUUGCUCUUAAUAGGACCAGUCUGAUUACCAUGGAGAAGGGAACUCAAGAGUUCGUGAGGGUUUAUGCUCAAAGGUGGCGUGACCAAGCUAUCAAUGUACAACCUCCACUAAUAGAGACAGAAAUGGUGACACUGUUUGCUAAUACUUUUAGGGCUCCAUACUAUGAACACCUUAUGGGUAGUUCAACACAACAUUUCUAUGAUGUUGUGUAGAUUUCCGAGAGGAUUGAACAAGGAAUCCGAAGUGGGAGAAUUGUAGAACCUAUAGAGAAGAGAGGUUUCAUUGGGAAGAAGAGAGAAAAUGAUGUGAAUAGCUUAGAAAGGAGAAGCAAAAGCUACCAAAUACCUACCACCCAAGUCACUAGUAUUAAUUUUGCCAAACCCCCCAUUCCAAACCAACCUAAUCAAAUAAAAUUCCUAGCAAAUAACCAAAGCAAUUACCAAAGAAAGGAUAACCAACCACUGGAAGAACAAUUACCACCUUUACCAAUAACCUUAAAAGAGUUGUAUGCCAAGUUAUUGAGUAUUGGGCAGAUAGCUCCCCUACCCGUACCACCUAUGCAACCACCUUUCCCUACUGGUACAACCCUGAGGUGACUUGUGAAUACCAUGCUGGUCACGCGGGUCAUAGCAUGGAGGCUUGCUUUGCUUUUAAAAGAAAGGUGUUGCAACUGAUGAAAGUUGGAUGGGUCACUUUCGAUGAUUCGCCUAAUAAGAAUUCAAACCCUUUACCCAAACAUGUUGCUAGUAGGGGUGGAGUGAAUACCAUGGAGGUUGCUAGCAAAGAGAGGGUGUUGAAAGUAACCAUGACAAAGCUAUACUGUAUGUUGGUGCAGUCUGGAUAUUUGGAAAAAUCAACUGAGUGCUGCAAAUGGGAAAGUAAUUUUUGCCCUUUCCAUAAAAAGAAAGGGCAUCACAUUGAUGAAUGCAUUGAAUUUCAUCAAAAGGUUGCAAGAAUGCUAACUCUAGGAGAGUUAAGGAUUGAGGCUGUAAAUGACAAUGAAGAGGUGAAGAUGAUAGAGAAUCAAGAGAAAUGUAGAAUCCAGUCAACACCUAAUGGGCUCUCAAAAUUGGUAUUAACUAGGCCCUCAUAUGCAACAAAGCAGACUAUGGAGUGAUGCCUGGAGAUUAUGGUUAUACCUUGAAUAUUCAAAAUCCUUUGCCGCUGUUCCGAACUGAGAUAAGUGGGCUAACUCGGAGUGGUCGUUGUUUCACACCUAAAGAACUAGAGAAACAAAGAAAGGCUAAAGGCAAGGAGGUGUUAGACCUCGAUAAAGAGCUUGAGGUGAAUAAACCUGUGACUGAGGAAGAAACAAAUGAGUUCCUGAAAUUGAUGAAGUAAAUGACAAUGAAGAGGUGAAGAUGAUAGAGAAUCAAGAGAGAUGUAGAAUCCAGUCAACACCUAAUGGGCUCUCAAAAUUGGUAUUAACUAGGCCCUCAUAUGCAAACAAAGAAGACUAUGGAGUGAUGCCUGAAGAUUAUGGUUAUACCUUGAAUAUUCAAAAUCCUUUGCCUCUGUUCCGAACUGAGAUAAGUGGGCUAACUCGGAGUGGUCGUUGUUUCACACCUAAAGAACUAGAGAAACAAAGAAAGGCUAAAGGCAAGGAGGUGUUAGACCUCGAUAAAGAGCUUGAGGUGAAUAAACCUGUGACUGAGGAAGAAACAAAUGAGUUCUUGAAAUUGAUGAAGCAUAGUGAGUACAGUAUAGUGGAUCAGUUGAAGAAGACCCCUGCUAAGAUCUCCAUCAUGUCAUUAAUACUCAGCUCCGAGCCACAUCGUAAUGCUUUGCAAAAAGUACUGAAUGAGGCCUAUGUGCCCCAAGAUAUUGAGCAAAAGACUAUGGAGCAUCUAGUAGGGAGGAUCCAUGCUGCCAAUUACUUGUAUUUCACGGAAGAUGAACUUGACGCUGAAGGAACUGGACAUAACAAGCCCUUGUAUGUCACGGUCCGAUGCAAGGAUUGUCUCGUCGGCAAGGUUCUCAUUGAUAACGGCUCGGCCCUGAAUGUGUUACCAAGGCAUAUGCUGGAUGAAAUGCCGAUAGAUCCCUCACAUAUGCAACCCAGUGUGAUAACGGCGAGAGCGUAUGAUGGCUCAUCAAGGCCAGUUGUAGGGUCAAUUGAGGUCGAACUAGCUGUGGGUCCACAAGUCUUUCUAGUAACCCUUCAAGUGAUGGAUAUCCACCCUUCCUAUAGCAUGUUGUUAGGAAGGCCAUGGAUACAUUCUGCGGGAGCUGUCACCUCUUCGCUACAUCAAUGUUUAAAGUACAUUGCCAACGGUGUCCUGGUUACUGUUAAGGCUGAGGAGACUAUAUCGAUGGUAAGAAAUGUGGCGGUUCCAUUCAUUGAAGCAGAAGAUUGUAGGACGGAAACCUUCAUGCAUUUGAGAUUGUGAAUACCGAGUGGGUGCCCGAGAACACUGUGUUGAGGAAGCCAGAAAUCUCUGAAGCCACUAAAAUGGCCGCUAAAAUCUUUUUGAAAAACAAGAUUCCUUUCCCAUAUAUGAGCAAGAAGGCCUGAAUGGAGGGUAUAAUCAAAUUGAAAGCUGCAGAACAGAGGUUUGGGCUUGGAUAUAAGCCCAAGAAAGAGGAUUACAAACGAGCUGCUGGUGCAAGAAGGGAGAAGAGAAUGGCUAGGAUGAAGGAAGGAAGCCUGUAAAGAAAACUUAGCCAUCCCUCCAAUCAGGAUUUCAUUUCCAAAGGCCGCAUAUGUGAUACAACCUGAUGGGGACAUGGAGACCUUUUCAAAGUUUCUUCAAUGAACAUAAACACUCUGGAGGAAAAUCAAGUCAAGGACAUUGCUGAGAAAAUCGAGUCCGAAAGGAGGAUUGAAGAGCUGCCACAAUUGACCAUCCACACUUUGGAAGAAGUCACCGUCAAGACUUUUGUCCGGAAGCUAGCCGAAGGGAGAAGUUCCAGAAUUGGGAGACCCAAGAAGCUCCAUUGGUUUUUAAAAUGUAAUCAACAAUGAUGGUUGGAUUAUAAUCUAUGUUGUUUGCCUUUUUCUGUUUUGUUUUUAUUCAUUGACAAUCGAGGCUCAAGAUGUCAAUUGGAUUUUAUUUUGUUUUUGAGCCAAUCUUUUGUUUUUAAUGAGAUCAUGCAUUUUCAAAAUUCAUCUUGAUGUCUUACUAUUGCAUUUACACAUCACUUUCCGCUUUCAGGAACUCUGAAAGCGGAUCCUCCACAACAACACCUGCACUUUACAUUGAGAAUGAAUGGCCAAAAUUUAAAGAAUACAUAGUGGCUGUAGAAGAUGAGGAAUGGAGGAGAAAACAUAUGGGAAUUCACAAAAUUAAUAGAACAACACGAACAGGCUUGGAGGCCCGCUAAAGAGGAACUUGAAACCAUAAAUGUAGGCAAUGAAGAAAUCAAGAGCUGAAGAUAGGGACUUUGAUCACCCCUGAAGCAAAGGAAGAGUUGAUUGCACUGCUCAAGAUUAUGUGGAUGUCUUUGCCUGGUCCUACGAGGAUAUGCCUGGUCUGGAUACGGACAUUGUAGUGCAUAGAAUACCACUGAUGGAAGGAUGCAAGCCGAUUAAGCAGAAGUUAAGGAGAACUCAUCCGGAGGUCUUAAUCAAAGUAAAGGCAAAUUGAAAAACAAUGGGACACUGGUUUUUUGGAAGUAGUGAAGUAUCCACAAUGGGUGUCAAACAUAGUGGUGGUACCCAAAAAGGAAGGUAAAAUCAGAGUUUGCGUGGACUUUAGGGACUUAAACCGGGCUAGCCCUAAAGAUAAUUUCCCUUUACCACACAUAGAUAUGUUAGUUGAUAAUGCAGCACGCAGCUCCACAUAUUCCUUCAUGGAUGGGUUUUCAGGCUACAAUCAGAUAAGAAUGGCGCCAGAGGAUAGGGAGAAGACAACCUUUGUAACACCAUGGGGAACCUUUUGCUACAAAGUCAUGCCAUUUGGUUUAAAGAAUGCUGGGGCCACUUACCAAAGGGCUAUGGUGACUUUGUUUCACGACAUGAUGCACAAAGAGAUUGAAGUAUACGUGGAUGACAUGGUUGCUAAAUCUAAAGAGGGAGAGAAUCAUGUCCAAGUAUUGAAGAAAUUAUUUGAAAGAUUAAGGAAAUAUAAGUUGAGGCUUAACCCAGCAAAGUGUUCAUUCGGGGUGAAAUCCGGUAAGCUGUUGGGGUUUGUGGUGAGUGACAAAGGGAUAGAAGUGGAUCCUGAAAAAGUAAAAGCUAUUCAAUCUAUGCCACCCCCCAAGACUGAGAAGGAGGUGAGAGGUUUCUUAGGAAGGUUGAAUUACAUCGCUCGGUUUAUAUCCCAUUUAACCGCGACUUGUGACCCGAUCUUUCGUUUGUUAGGAAGAAGAACCCUGGAAUAUGGAAUGAAGAGUGUGAUAAAGCUUUUGAGAAAAUCAAGCAGUACUUGCUAAAUCCACCUCUGCUUGUUCCUCCCGUACCAGAAAGGCCAUUGAUUUUAUACCUAACAGUAACCGAAACAGCAAUGGGAUGUGUGCUUGGGCAACAUGAUGAAACCGGAAGGAAGGAAAGGGCCAUUUAUUACCUAAGCAAGAAGUUCACGAAUAUGAGUCUAGGUAUACUUGUGAGAAGCUGUGUUGCGCACUAGCAUGGGCUACAAAGAGAUUACGUCAGUAUAUGUUGUAUCACACUACAUGGUUAAUUUCCAAGUUAGACCCAUUAAGGUACAUUUGUGAAAAGCCUUAUCUAUCUAGCCGAAUUGCAAGAUGGCAAGUUCUUUUGGCUGAGUAUGACAUAGUAUAUAUGACAAGGAAAGUCGUGAAAGGGAGUGUUAUUGCCGAUCACCUGGCUAACCAUGCUAUGGAAGAUUACGAGCCGUUAAACUUUGACUUUCCCGAUGAAGAUGUGUUUGCAAUCCAAGAAGAAAAAUCAGAUUGGUGGGUUAUGUACUUUGAUGGUGCUGUAAAUGUAUGUGGUAACGGAGCAGGUGCAGUGAUAAUCUCUCUUGAUAAGAAGCAGUAUCCGGUUUCAGUUAAGCUGCAGUUCGGGUGCACCAAUAACACGGCUGAGUAUGAAGCUUGCAUUCUUGGUUUAGAGGCUGCAUUAGAGAUGAACAACAAAAAGAUAGAUGUGUAUGGAGACUCAAUGCUGAUCAUUUGCCAAGUAAAAGGAGAAUGGCAAACCAAAGAAUUGCUAAUAGUGAACCCAAGCCCAAAAGGGGUAUCAUAAUAAAAACUUCUAAAAAAACAUCUUUUAUGAGAAUUGCUAAUUGCAUUAAAAGUUUCAGUUUUCAUGAACAAAACCAAUUUUUCCUUUUAAAAUAAUAAAACACAAAACUCAAUGGAGCAAGAAAGGGCCCCAUAAGGAACUAGAGAUCUCUUCACUAAGAGGAUAUGAAGUAUAUUUCGGUUCAUGAGAAAGUUUGGACAAACAAAUGGAAACGAGAGCUCGAAGAAGUUUGCAACAAAAGGGGGACCUAUGUUUCCAAGAUAGGUAACAAAAACAUGCAUACUAUAUUGUCAUAACACUAACCUGGCAGGAAGGUGGGACGAAAUCCCAAAUUAGUUCCAAGUUUUUGGGAAUCACUAAGAGAUAGAUCAACAAAGCUAUGAAAAGAAUAUGAAUUAUGAACCAGCACUAUUUCAUUUCCUCGAGGUAAGAUGUUUCCUUUUGAAGUUUAAGCUGGGUAGGUCACCCGUUAAAAUGAGACCAUUCUCCAUCCUUUUUUUACCUGGGUAUGUCACCCAUAAUAAUAAGGCCAUUCUUCCCCCUGGGUAGGUCACCCAUAAGAAUGAGACCACUCUUCUUUUUUCCACUUGGGUAGGUCACCCAUCACAAUGAGACCAUUAUUUUUUCUGGGUAGGUCACCCAUAAGAAUGAGACCAUUCUCCAUCUGUUUUUUUACCUGGGUAGGUCACCCAUAAGAAUGAGGCCAUUCUCUCCCCUGGGUAGGUCACCCAUAAGAAUGAGACCACUCUUCCCUUUUCCACUUGGGUAGGUCACCCAUCACAAUGAGACCAUUAUAUUUUCUAGGUAGGUCACCCAUUAGAAUGAGACCAUUCUCCAUUUUUUUGUUACCUGGGUAGGUCACCCAUAAGAAUGAGGCCAUUCUUCCCCCUGGGUAGGUCACCCAUAAGAAUGAGACCACUCUUCCCUUUUCCACUUGGGUAGGUCACCCAUCACAAUGAGACCAUUAUUUUUUCUGGGUAGGUCACCCAUAAGAAUGAGACCAUUCUCCAUUUUUUUUUUACCUGGGUAGGUCACCCAUAAUAAUGAGACCAUUCAUCCCCCUGGGUAGGUCACCCAUAAGAAUGAGACCACUCUUCCCCUUUUCCACUCGGGCAGGUCACCCAUCAUAAUAAGACCACACAUGCAUUUUUGUAUUGGUUGUGCUUAAAAGGGAUCGCUAGCUGAGAUCUCAGGUUAAUCCAACCACACACAGAGUUUAGUUUUGGUUGAAAGAAAUCGCCAGAUGGGUUUCCAAGUUGAUUGAGAUCGCCGGAAGGGAGCUCGUAUUGCGAUAUUAGUCAAAGGAGGACACUAGAAGGGAUCUCGUAUUGCGAUAUUAGUCAAAGGAGGGCGCCAAAAGGGAUCUCGAGAUUACUAAAUUUUGAUCAUAGUUUUUUUGGGUUGAGGAGGAUUGUUGUAAAGAAAGAGUUUCAGAGCGAUCAAGCUCCGACCAGAUCAGUUUCGGGAGUUUAGUUUUGGUUUAUCUUUAUAAAACUUACUGCACAAAACCUCUGCUCCGUAAGCUUUAUAAAUAGGGAGCAUCUGUUGUAACCCAUUUUCGGGUCCCCAAAUAAAUAAAAUAAAAUAAAUAGCCAAAGGAGUUUAGGAAAAAUAACAGGGGGCAGAAGCGCUCAGCAAAUGGUCAGAAAAUCGGUCAAGGAAGUUAAAAAUACACAGAUGGAUUUUUGACAAUAUAUUCUUGAAUGAUGAGAGCCCUGUUGGAUAAGAAAAUUGAAAGUUUGAGGAGAAAAGUCCAAAUUUGGAUGUUUAUGGACUUAAUUGGAUUUUUAAUUGAGUUUAUAGGGGGUUUGAUUGCAAGAAAAAUUGAUUUUAAGUCAAUUUGGGCUUUAAUUCGAAGAAAUUUAAGUUCUAGGGCCAGAUUAUAUUUUUUAGGAAUUUAUUAGGUCAAAUCAGGGGCUUAAUUGCAUAAAUAUUGAAGUUUAAUGGCCAAUUAGGGGCUUAAUUGAGAAAAUCCGAAACCAGGGACCAAAUUGGAAGAGGCGCGUAAAUGGAAGGGCUGCAAUUGAAUUGAUUCAGGGGCCUAAUUGAAGAAAUUGGAAGUUUUUUGAUCAAUUGAGGGCUAAAUUGCAUAAAUCAAAGGCCAAGGACCAAAGUGAAAAACGCGGCCAACUAUGGGGGCAGGGACGCAAUUGAAAUGAACAAAAAGUAAUUGGGGGUUGAUUUGAACAUUGGCGCGUUUCUGGCGCCACAUUUAAAUGAAACAGCGCGUUUUCUCUAAAACGACGCCGUUUCAUACAUAAAAAAAAAAAGAAAAAAAGAAGAAAAAAAAGCGAACCCGCCGAAAAAAACUGGAGAGAGAGAGAGGGAACGAAGGAGAGAAGUUAGAGAGAGGAGAACAAAAAAGGAGAGAGGAAGAAAGGAACAUCGAAACCCGUUUUCUUCUAGGCUGAGUCCGGGCCAGUUAGUUGGGCCGGCCCAGCCCACUCAAUAUAUUAUAUAUUAUAAUAUAUUAUAAUAUAUAUGUGUGCAUAUUAUAUGUAUAAAAAAUAAAAAAAAUAUGAAAAGUCUAAAAAAAAUAUUGUUGUUUUCUCUUCAUAUUUUUGUCAAAAUGGCUUAAUAUUGGUUUGUAUUUUUAUACUGUGGAGAUACAAAUUCAGUAUUUAAAAUACCCGGUUUUCAUCAAGACCUCCAAGAUUUUCAAAGAUAAAAAAUAUUUUUUUUGCUUUCAAAAAAUUCUGAAAAAUUCCUCAAAAAUAUUGUUGAUUUUUCCCGCAUAUUUUUUAAAAUGACUUAAUAUUGGUUUGUAUUUUUAUACUGUGGAGAUACAAAUUUAGUAUUAAAAUACCCGGUUUCGUCAAAAAAACAAAUGUUUACAAAAAAAAAAUGUUUUCUUGCGUGUUGCAUACGGCCAAUACUCUAACAUGUUUUGAAUGUUCUUUUUAUAUAAAAAAAAAUAUUGGAAGCUUUGAAAGUAUGUUUUCGCAUAGAUUUCUUAAACACAAAUUAUUUUCUUGAAUUUCUGGAUUUUACAACAUGUUUGUAAAACUCCAAAGGGUAUUGGCCAAUAUUCCAAAAACUAUAAAAAUUUUAUUUUGGGGGAGGAAAUUCAUCUAUUAUUCACCGCUAAUGUUUGGAUAAAGAAAUCCUUAAAGAACGAAUAUCCAAAAUAUUAUUGGGAGUAAUAAAUCCGCACACAUUCUUGAAAGAAGCCUUGAUUAUAAUCGAGGACAUUUCAAAAUUUCAAAAAAAAAUUUUACUCCAUGGUUUACGAGCCGUGAAAGUAUGAAAUCCUAAGGCAAGAUGAGUUUUUUUUUUAAGCGCUGUGAAUUUUCUUAGAUUUCUAAUUUGUCCUCCUUGCGAUUUACGAGUCGCAAACUCUUGAAAUACUAAGGGAAAAAUGAGCUUUCAAAGCACAUGGAAUCUCCUUGGAUUUCUAUCCAAAAUAAAUUGUUUUAGUUUUUUUUGGAACAAAUCUAGGAAAAUUGACGGGACUAGAAAACACCAACACCAUAGAUUAUAGAGCAAACCAAACACCAAGCAGCUUACCUUAGGUAGGGCGUACUAUGGGUGUUAAUACAUUCCCUUUACGCAACCAGUCCCUUGCCUUAGAAUCUCUGAAAGACCAGUUAGGGUUCAUAGCGACCAAAAUACUAGGUUGCGACUCCAAAGAACCAAAUCAGUAAAACAAAAAAAAUCGCCAGUCGAACCCGCAAUUGGAUUUUUUUUAGGGUGCGACACACGGGAUAAUUAAAUCCGAUCAGUCCAUGAAGGCCUCAUGGUUUUCCAAGAAGGGAGUAAUAUAUAUUGAAGGCCUCAUGGUUUGAAAGUUUUUUUGCCUCACGAUUAACACAGAGGACAUGUGAACGGGGAGUGUAAAUACCCCGAAGAACAGAAAUUUUGCAUGCAUGAGGGGAAUUAUAUCUCUCUUAUUGAGAAGUAAAAAACGCAGGUUCUCCAUUUUCCCUAGUGAACCCAUGCUUGUGCCGGCCCCGAGCAUCAAAUGUGAGAAGAUUGUAACUCAAGGCUCUUGUAUCAAGCAAGAUGUUGUUCUCUGUUUUAAAUCAUGUACUCUAAAUAAUGACAAUGAAGUGAAAUUGCUUGAAAAAUAAAAAAGAAAUGGAAUUGAAAUAUGUUUUUAUUGACCAAUUAGAAUUGACUCUUGAGAUUUAUAACUGCCUAAAAGGUCCAGCCGUUCUUUCAUAGCACACAGGCACAAAAGUUGCAAUUGGAUCGAGAAAUCCAGACCCAAGAGGAAAAUGCUAAUAUCAUUUCAGUAUUUCCUAGUAGAACUUGAAUCCUUUGUUAAACUGAUCAGAGAAAGCAGAGGAUGCUACUGUUACAAGAGCAACGUAAGAGCAUCAAGAGUUGCUGAGGUUCAAACACGUGUGCCCCUUUAAGCUAGCGCUUUGACAGCUUCUAUGUACCCUUUUUAAUUAUAUCAAACAAGAAAUCCAACAGCAUAAUAGCUGUUUCCAUGUAUCUGUUGUUUUGGAAGCCAAAAUCUACACUUGCAUGAUAUCAGGAUUACAGUCUCUUGUUUGUGCCACGUCAUCAUUCUUCUCCUUGCCUUUUUUUUUUCCUUUGUUUUUUGGAAGACAGGAAAAGGAAAGAGAAAGAAAAAGCUUCUCAGGACUGUACUGAAACCAAGUGGUCCGGCGAGUGCAUGUAAGUUGCACGCCUUGGCUUGCUACAGCCUGAAAAAUAAAAUGUAAAAGAUAAAUUACUCAGAAAUAUCAAAUAUCUAGCAACUUGAAUCGAAUUACAAAAAUUAGGCUACGCUACUAGUAAGUCUGGUUAAUGAACACAGUCCAUCACUUGCGUGAACAUCUAAGGGUGGCUACGUGAAAGUUGAGGGCGCUUUAUCGGGGAAAGUAUCAAGUUCUAAGGUAUUAUGGUCACUAGUAACCCUAACUGGUCUUUAGAGAUUCUAAGAUAUGGGACUGGUUGCAUAAAGAGAAGGUUUUAGCAUCCCUAGUAUGCUCUACCUAAAGUAAGCUGCUUAGUGUUUGGUUUGCAUUAUAAUUGUUAUGGUGUUGAUGUUCUCUAAUCUCAUCAGUUUUUCUAUGAUAGAUGUGCUACGAUGAACAAACUUGGGCUCAAAGUCUAAAAGGAAAGAACCCUUGGCCAAUGUAGAUCAUACCUUAGGUAUGUUUACAAAGUACUAACGAGAAUCAAUGCAGAUCUCUUAAAAUUUGUGUUUGAUUCAAACUAAAUUUGCAACUCGUGGAUUAGGAGACAACUAAGAUAGAAGUCCAAGGAGAUUCGAUGUGCUUAAAAAUUCAUUUUUCCCUUAAUAUUUCAAGUGUUCGCGAGUCAUAAAUCACAAGGAAGAGAAACAAAAAAAAAAACUAAGUUAGAAAUCUAAGGAAAUUCAAUGUGCUUUAAAAGCCCAUUUUUGCCUUAGUAUUUCGUACUUUCACGACUCAUAAAAUGUAGAACAAAAAUUAAAAUAUCUCCAAUUAUAAUUGAGGCUUCUUUCAAGAACGUGUAAUUAAAUUGUUCUAAAUAAAAUUUUGGGCAUAAAAUGUACCCUUAUGUUAAAAAUGAACAAGUUGUAUUACCCUCAACAAUAUUUUAGACAUUUACCUUUCAUAGGUUUCUUUGUCCUUAUAUUAUUAAAGGAUAAUGACUUAUUAUUCCUAGAAAAAUAUUUUUGAUAUUAACCACUUGGGGUUUCUUUAUCCAAAUAUUAACAGUAAAUAAUAGAUGAAUUCCCUAAAAAUAAGAUUUUUAUAUUUUUAGAAUGUUGGCCAACACCCUUUGGAAUUUACAAACAUGUUGUAAAAUCCAAAAUGCAACAAAAUAAUUUUUGUGUUUAAGAAAUCCAUGUUAAAACAUACUUUCUUUUCAACUUCGAAUAUUUGUUUUUUUUUUUUUAAGAGAUGUUCAAAAUUCGUUAGGAUAUUGGCCGUAUACAACACACAAGAAAAUGUUAAUUUUUUUUUUAGACACACACACACAUAUAUAUAUUUGCAACAUUUUGUAGAUAAUCGAGUAUUUUAAUGUCAUAUUUGUAUUUCUACAAUAUAAAAAUACAAACCACAAAAUAAAUACAUCAAAACCAACAAUCUCACUCAUUUUGUUUUUUGGAGUUGGGUCUAACACGGCCCAUGUGGCUGGGCUAAACCCAGCAAACAUAGCCGGGUCACUUGCCCAAACCAGUGACCGGCUGGACAUAAGAGGCACGCGUGAGUUUCCUCACGCGUGCAUUGCUCAGUUACUGUUCAAGUGAAUUAUACUUCACUUGAACAACCAACACAAAGGCAUGCACAAUAACUAUGUAAUUAAAAGUGAAAGGAAUGCAUGGAAACUUACUUGGCGCUAAGACGGGCAAAGACAAUGGCACUGAAGCUUCUGCUCACGACCGGUGGUCACUGGUUCUGGAGACAAAAAAAAUGAUGGCCACGCUGGUUUUGGCAUGUUUUUUCUCUUCUACUGAUGCUCUCUCUAGAGAUGGUGAAGAUGAUGGCGAUGAAGGGGUGGUGUGCUGGUUGAAUUAACGUCUUUGCCUCUGUGUUUUUUUCUUGCUUUCAACUGUGUUGUUCUGUUGCUUGCCUCUUUCUCCCUUCUUCUUCCUGUUUUCUUCUCUUUUCUUUCCCUCUUCUCUAUUCUGUUUUCCUUUUCCUUUCUUUCACAGUAACGAAAGGAUGAAAUAAAGAAAAAACUCUCUACUCUCCCUUGUUUUCCUUUUUUUUUGUUUCCCUGCUCUUUUUUUUCAUCCCCCUUUUUGUUAGGUCAGCAGAGGAGGUAUAUAUAUAGCCUAUACAUAGCUUUAUUUAGGAAAGAUUCAAUGCACUGAUCUAGGAUGUAAAUCUCGGCUGAUUUACAAUCAAAUAAAACCAAAAUAUUCUAAUUCAUAUUCUGAUGAUUCCAGUAAUUACUUUCCUCAUUAACACCUCAUCCCAACUGUCACACGUGUGCAGCGUCACGACGAAAUCGGUUCCAGUUUAUCAGGAUUGGUAUAUAUCUAUCUAAUCUCUAGAAAAUGUUGGGGAGACAAGAAAAUAUUGUCUUUUGUUGGUGGGAAAUGGAAUGGGAGUCGCCACCUAGUAUUUUGGUCACUAGGAACCCUAACUGGUCUCAGAGAUCGGGUACCGGGACUGGUUGCGUAAAGGGAAGGUAUUAGCACCCAAAAUACGCCCUACCUAAGGUAAACUACAUUGUUUUAUUGUCUGAUAAAAUUUAAGGUCUUAUCGUGUUUUCCUAGUUGUUGGUAUGGUUCAAGAAAAGUCCUCCUCGGUAAGGAGAUCCUUAUCUUAAUGGGUAAUUAUGACGUUAACAACAUAAUUUAAUAUUUGGAAUACGUCUUACGUAUAAGAUCGUAACCUCAAAUACUAAAAGAAGACACAAUAAUUUUUUUGAAAAUUUUGAAAUAUUGGCCUAGUUCUCAUGGCUUGAAUAAACUAGUUAUUAAAGCCAAAAUGCAUGCUAAUACAUAUAUUGUUUUGAAAUUUUCUUUGUUGUGUGAAAAUACGAUGUUAUAAUAUUUAUAUAUAUAUAUUGGAGAGACUAGGGCGUAUGCAUGAAAACAAAACAUUUUUUUUUAAUAAACAUUUUUUUUUCUUGACGAAAACCAGGUAUUUUAAUACCGGAUUUGAAUCUUUACAGUAUAAAAAUACAAACCGGUAUUGAUCAAAAUACAGUAAUAAAAUUACAGAGAAAUCACAAAUUCUUUGAAAUAAUUUUUGAAAUUUUUUUUUGGGCUGGGCCCACGUGGCUGGGUUGAACCCAGCAGGCCUUCCGCGAAUUAUAUUUCACGUGAACAGUGAAAUAACAUUUCACUGUUCACACAAAUUAUAUUUGAUGUGAAUAGUGAUAUAGCAUUUCAUUGUUCAUGUGAAUUAUAUUUGGCGGUGGAGAGGAAGUGCUUUGUUCCUGGUAGUGUUGGUGUUGCGGUGGCUGGCUAUGACGGUGGGCUUUCGGUGAUUGCAGCGGUGGAGGCCGGAGUUGGCUACGAAGGAAGAUGAAAAAGUUGCAGAGGAGAGAGAAACGUUGGAAGUAAAGGAAGAAAUCUGCAGAAAUUGGGCGAAAAUGCUGGUUUUUGGCCGACUUUGGACCCGAUUUUCUGCUCUCUCAGACCAUUAAAUCCGACUAUUUAUAGGCAGUAGAAGAGGGCAAUCUUGUCUACAUUGGGGAAAAAUUGCAGCCCUUGAUUCAGUUGGGAAGCAUCUCAACCGUUGGCUCAAAGUGUGCACCUCGAGUUGCCAAAUUUGGUAGCUCAAGGCUGUGAACUGCCCGAGGUGGCCACUUUGAGCCACUCAACGGAGCCGUUUCGGCGUUUAUAGGCUCGAGCGGACAAUUCUCGGGGAUAGAGGGGUUUCAGGUGGCCAUUUUGGUGCAUGAGUUGUCAAUUUUGGAGAACAAACGAGGCAUUAAACACGCCUGCAAAAAGGCUACCCGGACAGCUUCACGGGGAAGAUGAUGAAUAGUAACCACGCGAUUUUUUUUUUUGGUGUACCCAAAAAUGGGUUACAACAGAUGCCCCCUCUUUAUAAUACUUACGGAGCAGGGAUUUUGCAUAGUAAGUUUUAUAAAGAUAAACAAAACUAAAAUACCGUAACUAAUCUUGAUUGACCUGGAACUUUGUAUUUACAACAAUCCUCCUCAGCCCAAAAAAACUAUGAUCAAAAUUUAGUCAUCUCGAGCUCCCUAUCCAGCUAUCCUCUGAAUUCUAACUUCAGUUUGAUUAACAUGGAAUUCCAUCCGAGAUCCCUUCUGGCGAUCUCUAAAAAGUCAUAUUUGUAGUUUGGCCAACCUGAAAUCCCAUCUGGCGAUUUCCCUUAGCCAAAGCUAAAAUCGGUAUUACGGUUGGGUUAACCUGAGAUCCCUUCUGGCGACCUCCUUAAACCAAAACCUAUAUUUGUAGCUUACUCACUUUGGAAUCCCAUCUGGCGAUUCCCUUUAACCAAAAUGAAAUAUGAGGUCCCUUCUGGCGACCUCCUUUGACCAAUAUCGAAAUACGAGAUCCCUUCUGGCGAUCUCCUUUAAUCAACUUGGAAUCCCAUCUAGCGAUUCCUUUUAACUAAAAUAAAAUAUGAGGUCCAUUCUGGCGACCUACUUUGAUAAAUAUCGAAAUACGAGAUCCCUUCUGGCGAUCUCCUUUAACCAAAAAACUUGGAAUCCCAUCUGGCGAUUCCUUUUAAUUAAGGUUGAAAUAUGAGGUCCCUUCUGGCGACCUCCUUGGACGAAUAUCGAAAUACGAUAUCCCUUCUAGCGAUCUCUUUUAACAAAAAAUCUUGGAAUCCCAUAUGGUGAUUCCUUUUAACCAAAGCUGAAAUAUGAGGUCCCUUCUGGCGACCUCCUUUAAUCAAAAACCAAAAAAUCUAUUUUAUAAAUCGGUCAACCUGGAAUCCCAUCUAGCGAUUCCCUUUUACCAAAGUGAUAUCGAUGUCCUUCUUCUUGAUGGCAGUGUUUGAAACUUUCAUUUUCUCUUUUUUUUUUAAUUUCUUCUACUCAUUAUUCCAGAAUCAAAACCGUGAUUCUUUGCUAUCAUCAACUCAAUGAUUCUUUCUUCGUCCACAAUCUUGUUGGAUUACACUAAGGACUCCUCCUGUAACGACAAAAAAAAUGCAAUGAUUUAUGAUUAAAUGCCAUGCAUGCAUUCGUACCUGGUUUUGAAACAUAGACCCCAUCAUCUUCUUCUAGUUCAUGAAACUCUCUCUUAACAUGAGCUUGCUUUUGAAGUUGUAUGCCGGAUUCAUUUCUCGUGUUGCCUAUCAUAUCUUGGAGAAGAAGUUUUCUACUUUUUACAAGUAGCCUUUUUCUCAAAAUGUAUGACUUGUCAUUGCCUCUUUGUCAUGCUUUUGUCAAAUGCUUUAUCUUUUUCAAAUCUAACGGGCUCUUAUCCCGUUUUAAAAUCACAUAAAACUUUUCAUGAAAUAUCUUUUAUUGCCCCUAGUGUGGAGUGUGAUCCUAGUCCGGGUUUUUUAUAAAGAAGAAAUUCAUUCCGACUCACACAGGACCACCAACGAUAAAUUCUUUAGAGAGUGAAAGGAUAAUGAUUUUUUUCUCAUUUCAAAAUGCACAUUGUUAGGAUUGUUAAACUAUAUUUUUAUCUUGAAAGAAAUUUACAAGUGAUUUAUUAAUUCAUUAUGUUAUCCAAAGGUAUGGUUGUAUUUCAAGGGUAGCUUUUCUUAAAUUUCAUCUUUGAUCGAUUUAUGAUACUUUCUUUGUAACCACUCAACCUUGUUUAAAAAAGUGCAUAAUCUCAUCAUUUAUAGAAAAAAUGGGCUUAAAGACAAACAAAAAAUCUGGCUGACAUCAUGAGCCUUGAUUGUCAACUAGAGAAAAUAAAAGCAAUGACAAAAGCAAUGACAAAAACAUGCUAAGGCAAAUAAAGUUGUUUUACAUUUUGAAAACUACGGGAAGUUCUUGGGUCAACCCGUUCUGAAACUUCUCACCCUGAGCCAACUUGCACAUGAAGGUCUUGGCAGAGACUUCUUCUAGUGUGUAGAAAGUCAAUCGUGGCAAUGCUUCAUCUUCCUUCCCCACUUGCAUUUCCUUGUCUUCUCCUUCGAUCUCACCUUCUUCAUUAUUGACGAUUCUUGACCAAGGUUUUCCAACCCUUUAUCCCCUAUUACUUUCGUUAUGACCAGGCAAUGGAUUUGAAUUGAUAUUGGGUGUGUCUUCAAAUGACACCCAUCCUAUAUUGAUGAGCUUUAACAACCUUUUCUUGAAAGCGUAGCACAUUUCAAGACAAUGCCCGGGAAUACCAGCAUGGUACUCACAAGUCAACUCGGGCUUAUACCAGAUGGGGAAUGGUGGUUGUAGUGGUAAUGUAGGGAUAUGAGCUAUUUGUCCAAUGCUUAGUAGUUUGCAUACAUGUCCUUCAAAGGCAUGGGUAAUGGCGGUAGUUGUUCUGAAAUGGAUCUUGUGUUUGGUCUUUGGUGGUUGUUUUGGUUGUUUGACUGGUUAUUUGCUUGAUUAGGGGAAAAAGGUUUGUUAAAGUUUAUAUGGGCCAUGUCGCAAGUCGGAAAAUCCGCGCGGCAUCGGCUGGCGAUUUUUCUCGUUGUUGUGUUGGUUUGAUUGGUUUGGUUCGUUGGAGUCGCCACCUAGUAAUUUAUUGAAGGCUACUAGGAAACCGGAUGUACUGGUCUUGUUAGAGAUUGCAGGUAAGGGACUGGUUGUGGUUAGGGAAGGUAUUAGCACCCCUAACGCACCCUACCUGAAGUAAGUUGCUUCGCGAAUUUGAUGUGUUAAAGAAGUUUUAAUAAUUAUAUUUUCAUCGGAUAUUAGAAAUAUAACUUACGUAUAAGUUAAUAAUUCUUGACCAUGAUCCAAUUCAAAUAUUAAAUUCUUCCUUAAUCCUUGCAAUUUUAUCAUAAAUAAAAAAACAUCCAUAAAAAAAAACAUACAAACACACACAUAUAAUUUGACUAUAUUUUCUUUUCUUUUCUUUUCCUUUCCUUUCCUUGCUUCCAUAUUUACAAAAUACAAAAAAUAAUUCAAAACUAAACAAAAAAAUUACAUCAAGCAAUUUAUAAUUUACAAAAUAGUCCUUAAAACCCCAGAAAUUGCAUUGAAGACCGUCUGCCACCGCAGCAACAGUGGCGGCGCGUCUAACCACGCACCCUCGCCACUGGCGGCGAGUGGGUUCACGCGUCGCCACAAGAAAACCCAGCAACAGGGGGGGCUGGAUCGACUUCUUCCCCUCUUCUUUUCCUCACCGGCGGUGAGAAUCACGGUCACCUGCGAAAGGAGAAAAAAACACAAGCCAGACGAUUUUAAUUUAUGCUCAGGUCUAUUCAUUUUUUAGAUCUGUUUUUAUUUAUGCUUUGUCUCUGUCUUCUGGAAGCUGUUGUGUAUGCCUCGAGGUCGGGUGGAGAAACUGGGAGGCGGUGGCUUGCUUCUGUUCGGCCGCCACUGGGGGAGGAGCUGCUGCGAGGUCGGUCUGUGCAAAGGAGAGCUGGUGGAAGACGGCGGAGGUAGCGGCUUGCUUCUGUGGAGGAGACGCCGCUGCAAGGCUGGUGGGUCUGCGGGUCGUCGCUGCUGGUGAAGAUGGGAGCCGCUGUCGAAGGAAGUCGAUCUGUGGUUCUGUUGUUGUUUCUCUAUCACCGGCGAUGGAAUGAUUGAGGGAAGGAGACGUUGUGGGCGGCCUCUGUGGUUGCGGUGGAAGGGAAUUAUUGGGUCGUCCUGGCUACAAGGAGAGCGACGGCCAGUGGAGAGGCACAUCCGGCUGGCCUUGGGUCACAAAGCAAGGCCAGCGACCGGGAGAGGAAUGGUUUGGUUGAGAGGCGAAGUGGGCGAGGGCUGGCUUCGGUUUCUCUUUGGUAGAGAAGAGGUGGUCGGCGGGAGGAGAUGAAGGGACGGUGAAGAGUUUUGUUUUUGGCUUUGGCCGGGGAAGAGAGGUGGUUGUGAAUCGGUGGGGGCGGGGGCUGGGGUGGGUGUCGCUUUGGUGGAGAAGGGGGGGGCGGUGGGAGGGGGUGAGGGGAGGGUGGGGAGUUUUGUUUUUGGCUUUGGCCGGGGAAGAGAGGUGGUUGUGAAUCGGUGGGGGGAGAAAAAAUUAGCGUGGGGGGGCCGACGACUGUUUGGAGAAAUGGGGAGAAGAUAGGUUUAGGGUUAGGUUUUUUUUUAUAUCUUUUUCUGAUGUAUCAAAAUUGCCCCCAUGUAUCAAAAUUGCCCCGCCUUUUUGUGUGAGUUGAAAACCAGUAUUUAUAGGCAAAAUGUUGCUAGGUUUUUUAACUUGGUCCCUCAACUUCUUUCUUUUUGUAAAUUUGACUCUUUCUUAAUUUUUUUGUAUUUUUUUUAAAACAAGCAAUAUCAACGUCGACUCAAUGAGAAAAUCAAUGAUUUUAAAAAUGACGCGUGAAAAGUCGAACGCGUUUGAAAAUAUUUUUUGAAAAUUUAAAUUCUUUUUUUUAGACGACGCUGAAAAUGCUAAAAUGACGAGAAUAUAUUAAAAAACAUUUUUUUGGGAUUUUCAUUGUUUUUUCUCUAUUUUUGGAUUUUUCUGAAAAUUUAUCAAAACAUGGGUCAAAAAUUGGGUAGCAACAGGCCACAUGAGAGGUAGGUAUUUGUGGGUUAUAUGAAUCCGUUAUCUUGUCAUUGGACCCACCUUCAAAGUUGUUAACGAGACCUUCCAUUUUUCUUCCAAUAAAACCGUUUGUCUCUAAUGGCUCAAUUAUGCGUCCAGCUUUAAUCCCUUGCUCUAUUCUUUCCGCUAUGCGUACAACAUCAUAAAAAUGCUCAGCUGAGCUACCCAUUAAAUGCUCAUAAUAUGGUGCCUUGAAGGUAUUGGAAAACAAAUUCACCAUCUCUGUUUCUAUUAAAGGGGGUUGGACAUGUAUUGCCUCAUCCCUCCACCUUUGCGCAUUUGCCCUUAUUGACUCUUGGCUUCUUUUCUCCAUUAACAUUAGACUUGUUCGAUCCGGAGCGAUUUCCAGGUUAAACUUGUACUACUUAAGGAAAGCUUCCACCAAGUCUCUCCAGCUCCUGAUCCUGACACUAUCUAACCUCAUGUACCAGCUCAAAGCGGAUCCUACGAGGCUAUCUUGAAAGAAAUAAAUUAGCAGUUUAUCAUCGCGCAUUACUUCUGCCAUUUUAUUGCAGUAAGAUCGAAGGUAAGUGUUUGGGCAUUCCAAACUAGUGUACUUGAUGAAUUCUGGUAUCCUAAAAUCUUUUGGCACCACGAUGUUUGGUACCAGACAUACUUCAGCGACUCGCAUAGGGUCAAACCAGUCAUUACCCUCAAUUGCCCUUAAUCUUGCUUUCAAAGUAAACAACUUGUCCUGGUCCAUCAAAUUGGGAGACCUAUUAUCUAGGAUUCUCUCCAUUGUGAUUGGAGGAUGAGUUGGCUGGAUAGGGGUGGUAGGCACAAAAUGUUGUUCAUUGGCCGCGUUUGCCCCCUGGUUUUGAGAUGCUUGGGGGAUGUGAGCUGCUGGCGCUCCUUCAGGUGGUUGCGCUGAUGUUCCCUCCCCAUUCUUAGCUCUUAGUAGUUGCUCGAGUAGGUCGGUCAGCCGAGCAACUUUGUUUUUUACGGAUUCCAACUCGGUCUGAUAAUGUGACUCUAAGCGUGCUCUUUCUUCGUUCUCCAUCCUUGAUCUGGACCGGGUGUGGUGGACUUUAGAUGUGGGACCUAUGUUUCACGAUCUGGAAUGCAUAUGAUAAUUUAAAAACAAAAUGUGAUGCACAAGUGAUGUGUAUUUUUUAGAGCUGAUUCAUGACUUUUGUAAUCCUUUUGCCAAGUUCUUAACAUAACAGCUUACUAAAACCAAAAAUGAUUUCAUCUCAAACCUGUAUCGAUGAGUUUAACAUUAUUAAUCUUGAUGGAAAUGAAAGUAAGAUACACAUUAUAAGGACAAGCUCUAUUUAUUAAGUGAGAAUGGGUAGGUUUUCUAUCUAGUCUUGAAGGGUCUCAUAUCUGCCCAGUGACGUUCUUCGUAAAGACAGUAUGGGGGCGUUGCAAGGAACAGUUAAGGCACGUAUCUCACCAUUGCCAAGCAGGCACUCAGAUAUGAGUUGGGUGUUUCACGCAUUUCAACCCUGACCAAUAGUCUUAGGGCAAAUCGCUAAUUCCCCACUUAACUUAAGGCUUGUGUGUGCUUCUCAAAAUAAAAACGAGUGAUGCAUGAGACAAUUUUAUACAAUGCAUAAAUAAUACGCGUAAAAUAAAAAAACAAAUACGCAAAUAAAUAAAAGGAAAGGCAUAUUAACAAUAAACACACGAAAACACAAAAAAAUCAGACAAAAAUAAAGCUUAGUCUACGUGGUCCCCAGCGGAGUCGCCAUUCUGUCUCACGUGUGCGGCGUCGCGGCGAAAUCGGUUCCACUUUAUCAGGAUGUGUAUAUAUCUAUCUAAUCUCUGGCAAAUGUUGGGUAGACAAGAAAAUAUUGUCUUUUGUUGGUGGAAAAUGGAAUGGGAGUCGCCACCUAGUAUUUUGGUCACUAGGAACCUUAACUGGUCUUAGAGAUCGGGUACGGGGACUGGUUGCGUAAAGGGAAGGUAUUAGCACCCCAAAUACGCCCUACCUAAGGUAAGCUGCAUUGUUUUAUUGUCUGAUAAAAUCUAAGGUCUUUUCAUGUUUUCCUAGUUGUUGGUAUGGUUCAAGAAAAGUCCUCCUCGGUAAGGAGAUCCUUAUCUUAAUGGGUAAUUCUAACGUUAACAACAUAAUUUAAUAUUUGGAAAACGUCUUACGUAUAAGAUCAUAACCCCAAAUACUAAAAGAAAACACAAUAAUUUUUUUGAAUUUUUUGAAAUAUUGGCCUAAUUCUCAUGGCUUGAAUAAACUGGUUAUUAAAGCCAAAAUGCAUGCUAAUACAUAUAUUGUUUUGAAAUUUCCUUUGUUGUGUGAAAAUACGAUGUUAUAAUAUUUAUAUAUAUAUAUAUAUAUAUUGGAGAGACUAGGCCGUAUGCAUGAAAACAAAACAUCUUUUUUUAAUAAACAUUUUUUUUUCUUGACGAAAACCGGGUAUUUUAAUACCGGUUUUGAAUCUUUACAGUAUAAAAAUACAAACCGGUAUUGAUCAAAAUACAGUAAUAAAAUUACAGAAAAAUCAUAAAUUCUUUGAAAUAAUUUUUGAAUUUUUUUUUUUGGGCUGGGCCCACGUGGCUGGGUUGAACCCAGUAGGCCUUUCGCGAAUUAUAUUUCACGUGAACAGUGAAUAUAACAUUUCAUUGUUCAUGUGAAUGACAUUGGAGUGCAAGGAACAGCGACGAGAAGGGAGACAAACCUGGCGGCGGUGGAGAGGAAGUGCUAUGUUCCUGGUAGUGUUGGUGUCGCGGUUGUGAAACCCUAGAAAAUUUAUGAUUUAAAUAUGCGGAUGUAUAACCUGCCAUGUAAACGUAAGACUGAAAGUGAUAUAUAAUGGAGGGGAUGACCUCCAUAAAAUGAAUUUUGUUUUAGAAUUCAUAAAGACAAAGAAACUGAUAACGUGUUUUGAUGAAUAAAAUAAUAAGAGAAAUGACAAAAUGAAUAUAUUCCAAAAUAAUAAAAUGACCUUAAAGGUUUAGAAGGAUAAUUGAUAUUAUUUUAUGUGAAGAUUGAACAAGAAAAUUUGGAUAGUUGAUGAAAAGUCAUAAACUGACCAAUUUUACAUUAGAAAGCAGAGUUAUCAAUCCAAUCGUCGGAUUGAGAUGAAAUUUUGCAUGAAGUCUAUUAAUAUGUUUUCCUACAUUGGUGAAAGAUAUCAUCCCAAUAAGAGUUUGGUAAAGACUAAUGAUUUAAGCAGAAAAAAACCGGAUGGUUUCCAUGAAAAAAAAAAAGAAAUGAAAAGAAAACAAAUAAUAUAUAAAUACAUAAAUGAGGGACAUAAAGGUAAUUAGUAAAACAAUGGUGCCUUUAAAAACAGAAAAAGGCCACCAGAUUAAAAAAGAAAGAGAGAAAGAAAAACGAAAAGGGGUGAGAGACAAUAGAGAAUUCGGUUACAUAGAGGUGCAGGAUUUGGAUGAACCAAUAAUGCUUUGGUGACUAUAUCUCUUGAAUCCACCGUUGGAUCAUGUUGAUGUUUGGAUAUAUUGUUCUUCUCACACUCCUCUAUAAACUGACCGGAGGGAUGUGAAGGAACAUAAUCCAUUAAGCAUCCAUCAUCAUCGGAAGUAUCCUGGAAAAUAAAGGGAAUAUACCUGCAGGGCAGGUUUGGUCGCCGACCGAUUUCUCUCUCUUCCACCGUUGCAUCAUGUUGAUUGUUGGAUAUAUUGUUCUUCUCACACUCCUAUAUAAACUUACCGUAGGUAUUUGAAGGAACAUAAUCCAUUGAGCAGCCAUCAUCAUCGGAAGUGUCCUGGAAAACAUAAGGAAAUAUACCUGCAGGACAGUUUUGGUCGCCGGCUGAUUUCUCUCUCUUCCACCGUUGGAUCGUGCGUAGUUUUGGAUAUAUGGUGCGCCUAGAUGUGGCCUACAUUCUGGACGGUGGAGAUCGGAAACGCACUCUCCGGCAAGGUUUGGUUCAUGUGGAACAGUAGCUCGUCCAUUUUUAUGUUAGUUCGGUUUUAUUCAGAUCUAUGGAGAUCCAACCGUUGGAUUAUUCUGAUAUUGAGAUAUAUUGGACAAAACACAAUGAUAUAUAGUCUGACCGUUGGGUUCAAGGAAAUAAUCAAAGGUGGAUGAGUUGUUGCUGUUUGAAUCUAUUGCUAGUCUUAGUAAAACAUUUAGGAAGCUUGAUUUAAUUACAUGUUUUGAUGAAAUUAGAAUUGUGUGGGUGUAGGGUUUAUGUAAGAUAUAAUGGUAAAAUGUGCUCUUGAUAUUAGUGUUGUUAUAGAUUAAUUGUGUUGUAAAAUGUGUUAGGGAAGUUUUGAAAUUUGGAUGAAGGGACAUUGAGUUUGUUGAUUUAAUGGAUAUAUGUUUUUAAGCAUUAAAAAGGAUUGGGUCUAGUGGUAAUUGAAAGAAAACUUGAAGAAAACUUUAUCCUCCAUUUAAUGCAAAGAUUCGGCCUAGACAUAUAAAUGAGAGGAUGAGCUUAAUUGUUUUAAUUGCUAUGGAAUUUGAGUUGAAUGAGGUUAGAAUAGAUAUGAAAUGAAUUGGUAAAUGUUUAUAUGUAAUAAUUAAAAAAGGGAAUCAUCCCUCACCAUGAAUGAAGGCAUUCGGCCAAAUGAAGAAGAAAUAAGGAGAUAAGACUUUGAUUCAUUUUCUAUGAAAACUAGGUAUGGAUACAUGUAUUUGUAUAAAGAAAAUUAGGUAGAGUGUCAAUUGGAAGAAUUUUUAAAAAGAUUCAAAUUCUCAUCAUAAUAUGGAAUCCAACCAAAAAUGAAAAUCUUGAACUUGAGUUUAUUUGACCUAAUGUCAUGGGGAUUUUUAUGGGAUUGUGGUUUGUUGAAUGCCAAAUGAAUUGUGUUAUGUUUGAAAUAAUAGAUUAAUGUGAGGAAAAUGUCAUUUUGUGGAAUUUUAACGUUGUCCAAAUGGAUAAUAAAAGAGGAGGAAAAGGUUAAAUUAAGGCGUACAUGGAAUUAUGAUGAAAAUAUGUUGUUAAAUUUACUUAAGAUGAAGUAAAGUGAACUUAUGAAAAAGAAUUGGAAAACUCAUCAUGAAAAUAAAUAAAUAAAAAAUAAGGUCAUUCGGCCAAGAGUUGGUUUGAUAAGGAAAAUGAAUUAGUUUCAAUGGUAUGAAUAAAUGCAAGGAUGUGAUGUUACUAAGUCUAUACAUGAUGGAUUGAGUAGACAAAAAUAAAAUAAAAUAAAUUAAGAUUGUUAAGUCAUGUUUAAAGAUGCUCAGUCUGGAAAAAAAACAAGUCAUGAAAAGAAAGGAAAUAAAUAAAUAAAUAUGUGAAUGCAUGUGUCAUGCGAUUCUAAAUUUAAAUGAAUUUUAGAAUGGAAUUUUCAAUUAUGGUGGAGCCAUAUUUGAUAUGUAUCGUUAAUGAUACAGGAGAGAUUGCAAAAUCUGUUCAGUAGCAUGGGACUUUUGCGCGAGUUCAAGCAUUAGGUAGGUGACUUACUCCUUCCCUUUUCAUACGUUGAAUAAUGAAAUACUUUAACAUGAAUAUUACCAUGUUGUGUUAUAGCCGAUAUUAGCUUGUUGAACGCUUAAAUGUUGACAAAUGGUUGAUUAGCUUCGGCUAAUGGCAUCCGAAUGGAUGACCGGGAAGAAGGACUGAUUAGCUUAGGCUAAUGGCAUCCGGAUGGAUGGCCGGAACAAACAAAUGAUUAGCUUCGGCUAAUGGCAUCCGAAUGGAUGGCCGGGACAAAGAAUGAUUAGCUUCGGCUAAUGGCAUCCGAAUGGAUGGGCGGGAAAAAUGAAUCAUUAGCUUCGGCUAAUGGAUCUGAAAGGAUGACCGGGAUGAACGAUUGAUUGGCUUUGGCUAAUGACAUCUGAAGUGGAUGACCGGGGUGAGUGAACGGUUAACCUCAGCAAAUUAUGCCUUAAGAGGAUAGCCGGGUUUAAGAUUAUGGUUGAUUGUAAAACAAUUAGUGCAUCUAUAUGUACUGCAAAUUUAUUUGGUAAUUAGGAGAAUUAUCGGGUUUAUUGGUUAACAAGGAAGUUAACUUGAUAUGGGGUAAUUCGUAUGGAAUUACAGGAUUGAUUGACUAACAAAAGAAGUUAGCUGGAGGCUGGGUAAUUCGUAUGGAAUUACCAGAUGUACUGGUAAUCUAGGAAGGCUAACAAAAAAUAUGGGUAAUUAUAUGAACUUACCAGAAUUAUUGGCAAUCGAGAUGAGUAAGGUUUUGAAAAGAGUAUGUGAAUUAAUUGAUUGAAGUUAGAAAUAGUAAAUUCUAAAUGUUGUGAGCAAAAUAAUUAAUAUAGGACUAAGAUAUUGAGUAAAUUACAUAAUCACAAUUACUUGGAGAUUAGAAGGGAAUUGAUAGAUAAUUGGUUACCAUAGUGUUGGUGGCUAAGGAUACAUUAAAAUGAUACUUAACACCAUAAUGAUGGUGGCUAAGGGUAUAAAUUGAUACUUGGCACUAUGAUGAGAGUGACCAAGGUUAUGUGAAGGAUUCUUAGUGACCGUAGUGUCGAUAACUAAGAUUGUAUGCAAAUGAUACUUGGCAAUCGUGGUUACAAUGCAUACGAUGUUAAUAAGAAAAAUAAAAGGGGUUCGGUACGAAUGGAAGAAUCAAAUGACAUUGAUUAGCUAUCUAGGUGUGGAUUGCUAAUGGUAUCAAUGAGGUUUCAUCGGUGCUGGUAAUUCUUAAAUUGAUUAGUCUAGCCCAAUAUUGGAAAACAAAUGAUGCUAAUAAGAUUUAUUAGUUUCGGUGAUUACCUUCUAGCAACAGAUUCAGAAAAGGGAAAUAUUGAUUAGCUAUUCCAAAAGAAUGAGAUAAGCUAAUGAUACUAAGAAAGGAAUAUUUUGUUAUCAAGUGAAAAUUGAUUUAUAAGAAGAUGGUGUUCGCAAACGGUUGAGUUGUGUUGAGAUUUCCAAGAUGGAAUUAUUCUUGGCAAAUGAAAUAGGAUAUUAGAUGAAUAUUGGUAAUAGAUGGAAAAUAUAUGUUGUAAAAGAGGUUUAUGAUCAAUUUUAUAUAUCAAAAGAAAUUCCAUAGAGAUUAUUAUCUGCCAUUGUUAUUACUUGUUACUAUCUUUUAUAUUUAUGUGUACAUGUUAAUUUCUAUUUUCAGGUCCAUCAAGGUCGCUUCAAGAAUAAUACUAGUUUUAAUAUCUUUUGCUUUUGACCAUGUAAAUUAUUUGUAAAUUAAAAGACUGGUCUCCAAAAAACUUGAGAUGUAAUAUUAAUCUGUAAAUUUGAAUGUAUAUCCUUACUCUAAGGGUUGAAGCUCUUAGUACCUAUUUGACCAUGCAUGUUUCUAGAUGGAAUUGAAUCUUUCAUUUGAACUACAUUAUAUGAUGUUAUUGAAUAAGAUGUUUUGUGUUGUUGAUAAUGAGUUGGGUUGAGACCCAGGAUGAUUGGGUCGUGAUUUUUGAGUUAUGAGAUGUGAGUUAUUAGAAGUGUCAACAGGGUUUAUGUUGAUAACUUGGGACCUACCAGUAUAGAGGAGACUUUGCUGAAAUUUUGGUGGAACCUGUAUAUAUAUAUAUAAAACAAAAAAAAAAUUACCUGAAAAUUUCCAAUGUACCGCGAAAUUGGAUAUGGGAAAUCGGGGUUGUUACAGCGGUGGCUGGCUAUGAUGGUGGGCUUCUGGUGAUUGCAGCGGUGGAGGCCGGAUUUGGCUACGGAGGAAGAUGAAAAAGUUGCAGAGGAGAGAGAAACGUUGGAAGUAAAGGAAGAAAUCUGCAGAAAUUGGGGGAAAAUGCUGGUUUUUGUCCGACUUUGGACCCGAUUUUCUCCUCCCUCAGACCAUCAAAUCCGACUCUAUUUAUAGGCAGUGGAAGAGGGCAAUCUUAUCUACGUUGGGGAAAAAUUGCAGCCCUUGAUUCAGUUGGGAAGCAUCUCAAGUGUUGGCUCAAAGUGUGCACCUCGAGCUGCCAAAUUUGGCAACUCAAGGCUGUGAACUGCCCGAGGUGGCCACUUUGAGCCACUCAACGGAGCCGUUUCGGUGUUUAUAGGCUCGAGCGGACAAUUCUCGGGGAUAGAGGGGUUUUAGGUGGCCAUUAUUAUGCAUGAGUUGUCAAUUUUGGGGAACAAACGAGGCAUUAAACACGCCUGCAAAAGGGCUACCCAGACAACUUCACGGGGAAGAUGAUGAACAGUAACCACACGAUUUUUUUUUGUGGGGUGUACCCAAAAAUUGGUUACAAUACCAACCAUCUGUGUUAAGAAUAACAUCUUAGAUGAAGAUACUCUGUGUUAAGGUUCUUCUCCCUUGUCUCAUUUUCAUUUUUCUUUCCUGUCUUAACAUUUGGCUUAACCUUGAUGAAGAUACUCUGUUCGAUAAAAUGUCAAAGUUGAUAUUAGCGUUUUUUGAUUGAGUUUGAAAUUUACUGCUCAUUUUAGGAAGGCCUAUUACCAUAUUUUUCUCUUGCAAAGUCUUCAAGCCAUUGAAAUUGAGAUGUUCAUAACGAAAAUGCCAUAACUAUGUUGAGCCAUGCACUUUUGUAGAGAGACAUGUUUGAACGUUGUCCUGCAUGUAUAGUGGAAACAUGUGAUUGCUUGUCAUUCUUGCUUCAGCACUUAAGCCUUUCUUUGGAUGAUGAAUUUUACAAUAACCUGCUUGAAUGAUUAUUGUAUAUCCCUUCUCUUGUAAUUGACCCAUGCUAAUAAGCUUACUCUUCAGUUCUGGAAUAUAAAAGACGCUAGAAAUUGUUUGCAUUGUGUUGUCUUUCAUAUGAAAUUUGAUAUUCCCCUUCCCCAUGACAAAGAUGCAUGAAUUAUUUCCAAGCUUCAUAGUAAUUUUGUAAGUUUCAUCCAAGUCUGAAAAUAGUGUCUUAUUUGCACACAUGUGAUUGCUACAACUCGAAUCCAAAUACCACUUAUCUGAUUGGAGUUCAUCUUUGUCAAGAUAUGCCAUUAAAAGCAUUUCUUCUUCUGUCUCUAUAAGAUUUGUCUUCUCAUCCUUUUAUGUGCAUUCAUAUUGAUUGUCGCACCCUCGCGGCGAAGCGCGGCAUCGCGGUGACCAUUUAUUAAUUUCAGGGUCUUUUUUAUUUAAAGGAGUCGCCACCUAGUAUUUUGAUCACUACGAACUCUAAUUGGUCUUUCAGAGAUUCUAAGGCAAGGGACUGAUUGCGUAAAGGAAAGGUAUCAACACCCCUAGUACGCCCUACCUAAGGUAAGCUACUUGGUGUUUGGUUUGCUUUAAUAUUGUUAUGGUUUUAGUGUUUUCUAAUCCCAUCAGUUUUCCUACGUUUAAUUCAAACUAAAUUUAUUAGGAUAGAAAUUCAAGGAGAUUCCAUGUGCUUCGAAAGCUCAUUUUUCCCUUAGUAUUUCAAGAGUUCGCGACUCGUAAAUCGCAAGGAGGAGGGACAAAAAAUUAGAAAUUUGUGGCGCCUAAAUUUUUUAGUGUUUUAUAUUCGCACGGCUCGUAAACCGUGGAGUAAAAAAAAUUGAAAUGUCCUCGAUUAUAAUCAAGGCUUCAUUCAAGGAUGUGUGAGGAUUUAUUAUUCCCAAUAAUAUUUUGGAUAUUCGUCCUUUAAGGAUUUCUUUAUCCAAAUCUUACCGAUGAAUAAUAAAUGAAUUCCCCCACCCCCAAAAAAAUGAGAUUUUUAUAUUUUUUGGAAUAUUGGCCAAUACCCUUUGGAGUUUUACAAACAUGUCGUAAAAUCCAAAAAUGCAACAAAAUAAUUUUUGUUGUGUUUAAGAAAAAUUCAUGCGAAAACACAUUUUUUUUAAAAUUUCCAAUAUUUUUUGUAUAAAAAAAACAUUCAAAACAUGUUAGGGUAAUGGCCGUAUGCAACACACAAGAAAACUUUUUAAAAUCAGUUUUAUCGAAAACACAAGCAACGCAAUUAAACGCAAAAGAAAAAUCGCAAUAAAAAGCUGAAAGCCGUCAUAUAUAUUCUAAGAUUUAUAAUAUGCUUAAAGCAAUAAUAAAAAAAUUUUCAAAGCCAACUUAAUGCGCAUAUAGCCAGAAUAAAACAAAAACAAAUUGGGAGAAAUUACUAAAAAAAACAAAGACCGGCUGAUUUCUUCUCCAACGGGUGUAAGGAAACCAAAAGGAAAGUCCCUAAAUGUAAAAGUUCCUAAAUAGGAAAGACAAACCCUUUCUACAUGGGCAACAACUGAACUCAAAAAUCAUGAAAAAAAUAGUAGGCAAGCGUUGUUUUUUCUAAACAGAAACCAAUUAUUUCAGAAGGAAGAAAAGCUUUACAACCGAAUGCUUAAUAUAAAAAUAACAAAGGAGGAGAGAUUGGGGCUUAUACCUGCAACUCCUGUUUGCAGAAAAUGAAACCAGGGACCAAAAAAUCACAGCUCACACGUUCUUCCUAGAAUACCGUUGCCUGCCUCUCUUGUGUGUUCCUUCAAACAACAGCUCCUGUUUGCAGAAAAUAAAACCCAAGGUCGAAAGACACAGCUCACGCGUGCCUCCUUGGUUGCUGGUAAAUGACAAACGAAAAUAGAGAUGCUGAAACAAACGAAAUAUUUCAGCUAUGUGCUAGUAAAUGACUGGUUUCCCCGUCGCCUGCCUCUCUUACGUUUUCCUUCUCUUUCUUUUGAUGUAUUCUCUCUAUCCUCUCCUCUCUUUUCUGCUCUCUCUUUCUUAUUUAAAUUCUUUUUUUAGACGACGAUGAAAAUGCUAAAAUGACAAAAAUAUAUUAAAAAAACAUUUUUUUGGAUUUUCGUUGUUUUUCUCUAUUUUUGAAUUUUUCUGAAAAUUUAUCAAAACAUGGGUCAAAAAUUGGGUAGCAAUAGAUGCCCCCUCUUUACAAUGCUUACGAAGCAAAAAUCCUCAAUUGUUUGCAUAAUAAGCUUUGUAAAGAAAAACUUGUCUUUAUGUCUGCUUAACUUGCUCAAUAUCCACUUUAUCUAAAAACCUUACUCUUUUUCUUUUUCUAUUGUCUUUCUUUCUUUCUCUCUCUCUUUUUUUUUAUUAACCUGAGAUCCCAUCUGGCAAUUCCCUUUAACCAAAGCUACAUGAGAUUCCAUCUGGCGACCUCAUUCAACUAGAACUAAAAAAUAUGUGUAACUCGGUCAACCUAAAAUCCCAUAUGGCGAUUUCCUUUAACCAAAGCCAUCUGAGAUCCCAUCUGGCAAUCUCAUUCAACUGGAAUUAAAAACUGUGUGUAGCUCGAUCAACCUGAAAUCCCAUUUGGCGAUUCCCUUUAACCAAAGCUAUAUGAGAUCCCAUCUGGCGACCACAUUCAAUUGGAACUAAAAAAUAUGGGUAGCUCGGUCAACCUGAAAUCCCAUUUGGCGAUUUCCUUUAACCAAAGUUACAUGAGAUCCCAUCUGGCGACCUCAUUAAACCAAAACCAAAACAAUGUGUAAAAACGGUCUCAUUAUGAUGGGUGACCUACCCAGAUGGAAAUAAUAUGAAGCACAGUCUCAUUAUAAUGGGUGACCUACCCAGAUGGAAAAAAUAUGAAAAACAAUCUUAUUAUGAUGGGUGACCUACCCAGAUGGAAAGAAUGUGAAGUACGGUCUCAUUGUAAUGGGUGACCUACCCAAAGAAGAAUGGCCUCAUUGUAAUGGGUGACCUACCCAAAGAAGAAUGGCCUCAUUGUAAUGGGUGACCUACCCAAAGGAGAAUGGCCUCAUUGUAAUGGGUGACCUAUCUAGGUAAAAAACAUGGAGAAUUGGUUGCGUUGUAAUGGGUGACCUAUAUAGAUGGAAAAAAUAUGAAGAAAUGCGGUCUCAUUAUAAUGGGUGACCUACCCAAAUGGAAAAAAUAUGAAGUGUGGUCUCAUUGUAUAGGGGUGACCAACCCAAGUUGAAGAUGUGAUAUGACAAGUGUGAAAAAUAGGACUUACCUGGCGAAAUCCUGAGGGGAUGACAAAAGAAGGGCUGGAAAACUUGGUGCUUCCUGAUAAUUCCCAAUCAUAGGGUUUGAAAACUCGGUGUUUCCUGACUGCAAGGGUUGAAAACUCGAGGCUUCCCGAUUGCAGGGUUGAUCUUUCAAUUCUUUGGGAUUUUCCUAAUGGUAGGGUUCAUCCCAUGAUCAAAACCGAUUCUUUAUUAUCAUCACCACAAUGCUUCUUUCUUUUUCCACCAUCUUGCUGGACCUCAUUAAGGAUUUUCCUGUAACAAUUCAAAAAUAUGUGCAAAUGGUUUUUUUUUUUUAGGUUAGAUGAUAUGCAUGCAUCCUUACCUGAUUUGAAAUAUUUGUCCCCCCCCUCUUUGAUGCUCCAUCGUCAUGGGGUGCCCUUGUUUACAUCCUAAAGCUUUCUUUGUUCUUCUGAUGCAUUGGCUCAUUCAUGUGCUGGCCAUUAUUCAGCUGUAAAUACAAUGCCUAUCAUAGGAUGUCUUCGAUGAUUACUGCUAUCGUUGUUCAUCAAGCUUGACAAUGCCCCCAAGUGUGGUGUUGCUUGAUUCAUUAUGAAGGAUCUCUCUUGGAUUCUUCUAAGAAUUAUCCUCUGAUUGGUUGUGUGCAUCAUGCCAACACCUAUCAAGAUUGUUAACCAGUCUGAAACUGCCUCUAGUCGAAACAAUACUUUUCAAGUAUAUGUUAUCAUCAACCUUCUUAGAAACUACCAAGUCAUCCAGACAUGGAUCUCAUAGCUUGUAGUGAAAGCCUCAUCGUUGUAUGCUUAAUGUUGUUUCUCAAUAAGUUCUUCCGAGCUCGUCAAAUCAACUUAUACAAAGAAAUGAUUUGGCAUUAUCAAUGAUGUUCAUCACCCAUAUUCAUGCGAUGAAGUGCACCUUUGGGUUUCAAAACAAAUGGUACCACAAUCAGUCUUAAUGGGUGCAUCCUUCCGACAUUCAUUCAAAUGUAACUAUGCGAUAACAUCAAUGGCUGCUUGGAUUGUCUUUGAACAACAUUGGCCCCAACAAUGAUAUGAAUGCUCGUUCAUCAGUUUAUACUCAAGAAGGUUUUCCUUUAUCAUUGUCAGAUGCUAAACAUAACUUUCUAGGACUUUGAUGACUCAUCAUCUGAUUCUUUCCUUGCCCCCAGCUAAUCUGGAUACUGUUUGUUUUCCUUCUUAGUGUCCACUGUAUUGCCCCCAGGUGGUCAACAUUUCAAGGAGUUUUGAGAAGAGUUGAUGUAAUUUCAUGUCAAGGAUUCUACAAACUCAAUGAAUGUUCUUCUUUGUUUGACAAUCUUUCUUGUUCUAGAAUCAAAUCUCAUACUUCAAAGGUCAUGUCUAUCCAAGUCUAAUUGUUGAAAUGAAAUCAGAGAAAUAUCAGUUUUUUUUAAAAAAAGUAUUUUUGAAAUUCAAGCUUCUUUGGUUAAAGACCCAACACACGUCAUUCAAUGUAGUCUUUCGAUUGUCUUGUAUUUUGAAAACUGAAAUCGACCCAUUGUAAGAUUAAAAUGGUCUUUCCCAUUCUUUGUGUCCACUUUAAACUCUGAUUUUGGGUAUAUUUUUUUGAUGGUCUGUGAUGAGGUGAUAUUUUUGUAAAUUUCAAAUGACUAGAUGCUCAGGCUUGUUUCUUUUCUCAACAUGUAUAAUAACCAGUAAAUUAAUUCAUGAAGUCACGACCCUAAUAGAAAAAACUCUUCCAGUUUUGAGAGCGUCAUUUAUCGGUUCAGAUUGCUUACUUAAUCGAAAAGGGCUUUUAAAAGCACGUAAUGAAGGCAAUUGUUCAAGGCUAUGAAAGAAAGGAAAUGCAUAAGCUCAAAAAGGUGUUUGAGGGUUUCAAAGACUUAGGAUCAACAUUAACUAUUCAUCAACUCGUUUUCUAUUGUUGUCUUUGUAGAGGAAACGGCAUAGAACCUUGUUAACCUCAAAGAUCAAACUUCUAUUAACAUAAGUCAUAAUGCAAAUCCACAUUUCCAUGAUGAAUAAGCAACCUUAAUCAUCUGAUAACAUCAAAGGCUUUAUAAUGGAUACCAAAAGUCACGCUUAUAGCUUAGUCUCUUUUUUUUUAGUAUUGAUUGAAAUUUCUUUUGCUUUUCAUAGACUUGAUAGGCGUUCUCCUUCCUUUAUCUUUAACUUGUCUUUAAGUGAAGGCAAUUUCAACUUCUUUUUUUUCUUUUUUUCUUUUUUUUGUUUUCUCGUAGCCUUCCUCAAAAUUUUCUUAUAUGCCCCUAGUCUAUGUGUUUUCUUUUAGCUCUCUCUCAAUCAUUGGACUUUUGUUCUAAGCCUUCCCCUUUAUCCAUUAAUAACACCAAUGUCUUCAAAAUAUCUCCCAUUUGCCCCCAGUGUGGGGUGUGAUCCUAGUCGGGGUUUUUAUGAAAAAAAUAUUCUAUCCGGCUCAAAAUGGGACUACAAGGGAUAUAAUAUUUAGAAAGUGAAGGGAUAUCAAGGAUGACCUUUACUCAUUUCAAGCAAGGUCAGUUAGAACCGAUAAAUUUUGACCCCAUCUAGUAUAAUGAUUUGGACUUGUAAGAAUCAUGAUUCACGAGUCCAUAACUACCGAAUCCACUACAUGUCAUUAUGCAUACUGCUAAAACUUAGCUAUAUGAUGUGUGGUUCAAUUUUGUGUGUGAGCUCAAAAUUUGUUUGGUCACCUCAUGUCAUUUCAACAAGAAUCGAGUCAUUUCUGCAAUCAAAACACUUUUAAUCUUCAUUAUUGAUUAACCUUUAUCGCAUGUUGGAGUUUGAUCAAAAUAUUUUGUCAGAAAAAAAUAUUAAACAUCUGUUGAUUUCAAAACAACAAAGAGACAAAAGCCAUACAUGUUUCGGUAAAGAAUGAGAUGUGAUCCCAAAACAAAAAUGCAAAAUUCCAUAACAAUAUGAUUGGCAGUUCAUUGCCAUUCUUAAAUUAGCUGUUCUGGCUAUAUCUGUUUUUUGACAAGCACUUUCGAUCAACAUGUCAUUCUGAAGAUGUUCGGGGGACAAUAUAUCCAAUGACACCCUCUUUCUCAGACUCCACUUGUCUCUUGCUCACCGACUUCCGGACUCACUUCUUUAAAUUCUUGCAACUGUUCAAUUGAAAUAGCCGAGGACCCCACCAUGACAUCAAAUCUCUGGUCUGGAUUAUACCACCUAGAAAACAGUGGUUGCAUGGGAUUUUUUGGAGUCAGGUAAAAGUCUUGAAUCUGGAAGAUGCUGGUAAAUAAACUUUCAUCGCAACCGUUCAAUUGAAAUUCUUGCAACUAUUCCAUUGAAAUGGUAGAGGACCCCACCAUCACAUCACAUCUCUUGUCUGGAUUAUACCACAUGGCAAAGGAUCUAUCUUUGGCAAAGACAUUGGAGUAGUUGAUAAGACAACAAGACUUGGCUAGACCAUAUAAUUGCGGUUUCCCACCGUCAGAGUCUUCUGUUGAUUCAUCUCUCAUCAUUGCUCUGGAAUCCUUGGCAGAACCUUCAAUAUUUCUCAUCUUGAUAGCUUGUUCAAUUUUUGGCAAUCCACACAACUUCAUGCCAAUCUCCCAAUAUUGUUGUUGUUGUUUUAGGAUUGUUGGAAACCUCUCAAUAUCUAGGUAAUCCUGGCAGCGCACAAAAACAAAAGCGUGUGGAAUCACACAUUGUCCAAAUUGGAAGAGAACCCGAUGAAUCUACGACAUCUUUUAUUUCCUCUUUGAUUCCACACUGACAGUGCAGCAAACAACCACUUUUGCGUUUUAAUGCCGAUAUUGGAAGGAAACAAUUAUGGACAAUCUGAAACCACUGCAUCCCUUCUUGGAUUUCCCAUUUGCAUAUCCACACAUUUUCCUGCCGAUAGAUCUCUACUACAUUGAAGUUUGAUGUCUGCUAAUGUUUUUCAAACUAAGUCUGGCUCUUCAAUCUGCUACAGUUUCUUCGUGCUGGAACUGAUGAGAGAAAUAUUUAUAGCAUAUGCAAUUAGUAAAUCCCCUAUUGCACUCUUAACUUGCAGCAUCAUAAAUAGAUUUUUGUAGAGAGAGCUUUGCCACGUUGAAGUUCGACGACUACUCAUAUUCUCAGACCAGGCCUGACUCCUCUGCCUACUACAAUGUUUUGCUCGUGCCACUAGUGGGAAAAAGUUUCAAAGCAUAUGUAAUUAAUACAUCCCUUUUUGCAUUUCCCAUUUGGCAGAUCCACAAAUAAAUCUUUACAGAGAGAGCUUGCCACGUAGAAAUUCAGUGUUUACUCAUGGUUUUUCAGACCAACAUCUUGUGCUGCUAAAAUGGAAUUGAGCUCAUAAUUGGGGUAACUUCAAAGAAGCCUAAUGCACCAUGUACAAGAGGCUAGUAGUCGUUUGGUUCCAUUAGAUGAUGUGGAGGCGAUGAACACUUAACAGUGCAACUGGAUAAGAAUCAGAGUUGUCAUUAGUUGAUGACUGAAAAGGAGAGAUACAGCUUCAAUUGGACGUGAACAAGCAGUGUUCCCACAAAAGACUGUGAAGACACUCUCUUUCCAUUUAAUGCUCAACACUUGUUCGAGCAAAUUUGAGUCCAGCUACUUCACCUUUGAUGCUCUCAACCUUAAUCUGAUAAUGAGCCUCUAUCUGACACCUUUCUUCACUUGUGUUGCUACCCAAUUUUUGACCCAUGUUUUGAUAUAUUUUCACGCAUUCGACUUUUCACGUGUUAUUUUUAAAAUCAUUGAUUUUCCUCAUCGAGUCGACGUUGAUAUUGCUCGUUUUCAAAAAAUACAACAAAAUUAAGAAAGAAUCAAAUUUACAAAAAGAAAGAAGUUGAGGGACCAAGUUGAAAAACAUAGCAACAUUUCACUUAUAAAUACUAGUCUUCUCAAAACAAAAGAGGGGGGGCAAUUUUGACAAAUAAAAAGAGAAGAGAAACCCUAAGCAAAACUCUUCCUUCUCCUUAACCCAGCCGCCGCCACCCAUCGGAGAAAUAUUUCUUCUCUGCACACAGCCCCCGGUGGUCUUCAUUUUUCAGACCCGGCUGGUCUGAUUUUUUUUCUUCUUCUAUCCUUCACCGACAGCGCCCCCCAUCUCCUUGAUCGCUGCAUUUUCCCCUCUCACAAGACAACGCCCUCUUCCUCCGGUCUUCUCUGCCAAAACAAACAGAAAUCCUCCACUUCCUUGGCAAAACCAGUCGCUGCCCCCUCCCAGCUUGGAUCCGUGGGUUUAGUCUCCUUCCCCACCUACAACGGCUGCUUCCCCUUUGGUUUCCUUCCCCGGCGGUGGCCGAACAGUAGCGCCGGGGCAACACCUUCGUCACCUCCUUCAACUGGCCAGCAGCAGCACCGCCCACAACUCGAUCUUCUCUUUUUAGACCAGCCACCCGAACACUCCAUUUCUGAAGCUAACAGACCCAACCUUUUUUCUUUCAACCAGCGUCGCCGACCUUUCAGCUGCUCCCUUCUCCAGCCGCCAGCUCGCCAAGACCAAAAGGAGGGUAGAUCCGCUCCCCGUGCAGUGGUGCCUUCCUCCUCCAGCGCUACCCCCACGACCAUCGCCAGGUCUACCAAGAGGAAAGAAGACCCUCAACACCAGCAACCAGCAGAGCGACGCCCCCCCGCGCCUCUGUCAUCCGACCACAGAUGCCCUGAACUCAGAGCCAUCGACCACCUGUAAAGGAGGAGAUCUGCAGUGGAAACAGAUCUGAAUGGAAGGUAGAAGGGAGCUGAUCUGAAAACAAAAUUAAAAAAGAUUUGCUUGUUGCAUUUUUUGGGUGAUUUGCAGGUAACGGCGCUGCUUAAAGCCGACUGGAGGGUGAAGAGGGAAGGAAGCCAUCACAGAUCUCCCCAUGCCCUCUGGAUUUUGCAGGCAGCGCGUGAACCCACGAGCCACCGUCACUGGCGACUCGUGGGAAGACGCGCCGCCAAUGUUCCCACAGCCAGAAACCUUGCUCAACACUGUUCCGACUUGCAGAGAGGCAUUCAUGUAAUUUCAUAUGGUUUUGAGGCCCUUAUUUUAAUUUUAAUGUAGUUUUUGUUUUUUUUGUUUUGAAUUUGUAUUUUUGUAUAAAUGUGAUGUAAAAGAAAACAGAAAAGAAAAGAAAAAUAAAUAAUAAAAAGAAAGUCAUGUGUGUGUUUGUUUUUUUAUUUAUGUUAUUGAAUUAUAAAAAUAAAAAAGGACAAAAAGAAUUAUUUGUUUAAUUUGAAUAUGGUUAAAUAUCUAAGGACAAAUAAAAUUAUGUUAUAUUUUCCAUGAAAGUGUAAGAACAUGUUUCUACACAUAUUCGGGGAUUUAAUAACUGAUUUAUUAAAGCCUUAGAAUUUAAUUAGUAUUCUAAAUUUUCAAAUCACAUCAGACCGCAAAGCAGCUUACCUUAGGUAGGGUGCGCUAGGGGUGCUAAUACCUUCCCUAGCCACAACCAGUCCCUUACCCGUGAAUCUUUGACAAGACCAGUACAUUCGGUUUCCUAGUAGCCUUCAAUCAAUAACUAGGUGGCGACGCCUAACAAACCAAUUCAAGCGAUGCAACAACGAGAAAAAUCGCUAGCGAAUGCCGCGCGCGGAUUUUCCGAAGUGCGACAGAAUGGCGACUCCGCUAAGGAUGGUACUGUUUCUGACAUUAUUGGACUAAGUUUUGUGUAUUUGAUGUGUUUAAGUUUUUGCAUUUUUAUCUUUUUGUUAAUAUUUUUUUUCAUGCAUUUUAUAGAAUUGUCUCAUUCAUCACUUGUAUUUAUUUUUGAAAGCACACACAAGCUUCUAGGUUAGGUGGGGAACUAGCGAUCUGCCCUAAGACUUGUUGCUACCCAAUUUUUGACCCAUGUUUUGAUAAAUUUUCAGAAACAAUUCAAAAAUAGAGAAAAAAAUCAAAAAUCCAAAAAAAUACUUUUUUAAUAUAUUUGCAUCGUUUUUAGCAUUUUCAGCGUCGUCUAAAAGGAAUUUCAAUUUUCAAGGGUCUCUCGAACGCGUUUGACUUUUCACACGUCAUUUUUAAAACCAUUGAUUUUCCUCAUCGAUUCGACGUUGAUAUUGUUCGUUUUCAAAAAAUACAAAAAAAUUAAGAAAGAAUCAAAUUUACAAAAAGAAAGAAGUUGAGGGACCAAGUUGAAAAACCUAGCAACAUUUCACCUAUAAAUACUAGUCUUCUCAACACAUCAAAGGGAGGGGGGUCAAUUUUGACACAUUCAAAAAAACACACAAAACCCUAAAACCUAACUCUUUCUCCCCACUCAAAAAACUGGCCGGCGGCGCCUCCCCCUACUGAUUUUGAAUUUUUGUCCCCCAGGGUCCUUGGAUUUUGUUCUCCCAGAACCAGAGAGCCAAGGACCCCUCACCAUUUGAGAUCCCCACAUUUUACCCAGCCGCUCACCCGAGGACCACUUCCCCUUCGUCUACAACAAACUGAACCAGCCCCCCUCCCCUGGCUUGAAUUUUUUUUCCUUCGACAGACCUGGCCAAAGCUUCUUCUCCAUAGAGCAGCCGUCCCCCUCACGCAGCCCUCAUUUUCUCCUUUUUUCUUCCCCAGCUUGCGCCAGUUCCCUCUGCCCUCAUUUCCUUCUCCCAGCUGGCGACCCCAACCUUUACAAGGGAGGAAAGCCACGGUUGUUUCCCCCUCUCCAUUGUCAUCUCCCAUCUUCACCAGCAGCGACGACCCGCAGACCCACCAGCCUUGCCACGACGUCUCCUCCACAGAAGCAAGCCGCUACCUCCACCGUCUUCCACCAGCUCUCCUUUUCACAGACCGGCCUCGCAGCAGCUCCUUGACACGACCAAAAGCUUGAUGUCUUUUCCCAAGUGCAGGAGUGUCGAAAUAAUAAAUAACCCGGCAAGACCGGGGUCGAACCACAUAUAGGUUAAUUAUAUAAAUUAUAAAUAACAAGACAACAACAACAACAAUAAUAAUUAUUAUACUUAGUACGUGGCGUUGUUAUACCUGAGAAUGAUCUAAAAGACCAAGUGUUAUACAACAUAAAUCUAGAUUAACCAUUUAACAAGCAAAGUAUUAAAAGUGAAAAAGAUAACAAAUAUAAAACAUGUUAGUAUCCAACAUUAAGGUCCAUGUUAAGUUUAUAUUAUACUUAUUCUUACACCAUUAGUGUACCCUUUUCACCUUGACAUAAUUAACUUAGCUAAACAUAAUGAAAGAAAGAAACAUAAAUGAACAAGAUAAGAACAUAAAUGAGAAAAAAGUUAACUAAGUAAAGGAAAGGAAAUGAAGUGCAUAAACUUGAUAUUAUUGAAAGCAAGACAUAAGCAAUACCAAGAUGCCUCAAUACAUGGUAAGUGCCUCCUUUUAUAGGCCAAAAUUUGGAACUAUUGAUUUGUUGACUAAUUGAUGAGUGGGUGGCCACAUCUUGACUUUGUGACAAUCCUUAUCUUCUUGUCUGAACAAAACGUCAUUGCUAACAUCAUAAUUUGCCCAGAAUCCUCAGGAAUGUUCUAGGAAAUUGUCUCACCUUUCCAACAAAAAAAAAAUAUGAGGUCAUUUGGACUUCUAGAACUCAAGAUAUGGGCUGAACACUAAAUAGUGUUUGGGCUGCAGGACAACUUCGGACUUCUUCGUUCUUCCUUCAAUUUGCACUUCAAAACGACCUUUUUAAAUCUUGGGCUCCUCAUGAAAGUUGUAGGCCUUUGUCUUACCAGUUGGUCUUAGGGCAUUAGGUGUUGAGACACCCCUACGAGCUUAACAACUCGGGUUGCAGAUACUGAUACGUAGAUAGUGUAAUGUUUGAUUCCUUUAAGCUUUUCUCCUUAACCCAUGUAACAAGCUUUGGGCCAAUAGCUCCCAAGUCAGUUGACUUUAGGGUAUUAGGUGUUAAAAUACCCCUUCGGGCUUAAUUGCUUAGGUUAGGGAGGCUACGAAACCAAACUUAUCCACAUUUUAUUAUCAUCAAUACUAUCAUUUAUUUAUUAUUAUUAUUAUUAUUUUUUGCAAAUUAUAUACUAUCCCUUUCCCUUAGUUGUUACCUUCAACAAAAGAACAUAAUUAAUGUAAUAAUCCAAUGUGCAACCACAAUCAUAUGUUAAAGUGUGUGUGAAAAUGAAGGUUUAAUACACUACAAGAUUUCACAGUUUUACCGACGGAAAUAUUCCAUCGGUGUGUGAUAGAACGUUCGUCGGUAAAGUAUUUACCGACUAUAUUACCGACGGAAUACUCCCGUCGGAAUACCUUUUGUCGGUGAUUCCACAUUCCGUCGCUAUAUCGGUCGGAAAUACAAAAAAAACUUUUACCGACGGACCGUGCGCGCCAAAAAAAAAAGUUUCCCGCUUGGAAUAUACCGACGGAAUAUUUUCCGUCAGUGUUAUGCAAAUACCGAUGGCCUAACUCCGUCGGCAAAAGUGUCGGUGAUAUUUGAUACCGACCAAAUAUUUCCGUCGGUAAAUUCGUCGGUAAAUUUAUACCGACAGAUUAGUUCUGUCGGUGAUGGUCGGUGAUGGUGGCAGACACUGUCCAAUGCCGACGGAGUUGUUCCGUCGGUAAAUCCCUGUGUAAUUGUUUUUUUUUAAAAAAAUUUUAAUUAUUUAGAAAAAAUAAUAUAAAUUAAUGGUAAUACAAACCAAUUAUGCAAAUAAAAUUUAUAUUAAGCAACAAAAACUCAAAGUGAAAUAAUAUUCAUUACAAAAUGAAUGUGUUUCAAAAAAACAUUAAACAAAAUUUUAAAUGUAAAUAAUGUUUAUUAAAAAUUAAUAUAAAGGUGGAGGAGGAGGAGGAGGAUGGGGGUUAGGCGGCCAAAAAGGAUUAGGCGCACAUGUUCCACCUUGUGUCAUGUUCAUGACCAUUUGACGAAGCUCUUCAUAGGCCGCUCUUUGUUGUUCAGACUCUGCUCUGUGUUGUUCGUUCGCCAAUCUUUGCUCUUCUUUGAGUUGUGUGUAUGCCUCUGAUAGGUGGUCGCACCUUUGCUGCAAGGCCACAAACUCCUUAGAUUGGGAGCUCGAUACAGAUUGGGAGCUCCCAGCGGUUGAAGCAGUACCGGUCGACCGCAAGUUGGCCGCGGUAGUGUUGGAGAGCCCGUAAACCCGAUUUUUAUCGGGUCCACCUGACGAUCCAGCCUCCAUCCACAAAUCCGGAUCGAAUUCCGGAUGGGUCGAAGGAUCGUCCCCGUAUCUCUCCCUCAACCGAUUAUUAUAGGUCUCCUGAAAAAAAAAAUCAUCAUAUUCAAUUCAAUAAACAUAAUAAUAACUUACAAAAUAAAAUGGUUGAACAAACAUACCACAAAAUGUUGAGCACGGUUGUCAACGAACUGUUGCGUCCCCUUUUGGCGGUCAUGACUCGCACGUGCGUCUCCACAAACAGCUCCAUAGGGCUCGGCUCACGUCCAAGAGACGUAGCCUAUAAUGAAAAAAAUGUAUUAACAACAAAUUAAUUGAACGAUAUAUUUCAUUUAAAUUAAUCUUACCAUCCGUUUCGCAUGUGCAGAAAACGGAACGGAGCCGCCGGUGUGCGUUGUCACCGAGCCAUGAAUUGGCCGAUUCCGGUUGCCAGCACCGGACUGUGAGCGUCGAGUGAACCGCUCAGACGUCACGUGCUGAAGAUAGUGCGGCCAUAUAUCUUCCGGGAUGUAUAUUGGUUUGAAAUCCCUCCAAACCGCAACAUCGUUCCAGCCUUGGAACCCCUUAUCCCUCGCUGUUUUUUUUGCUUUUUUCUGGGUGUCAUACCAAAAAUCACGCAACCUAAUUCACGCACGAAAAAAUUACAUUUCGAAACAUAAAUAAUUAUGUAAAAAAAAGUCGUAUUGUUUUCGAUGUUACCUAAUUGCCGCGUGAUUUUCCCACACCCUCCUCACAACAGUGUCAUGUUCAUCGUCCCAGCAGAAUCGAUGCUGUAUAUAAAAAAAUAAUUUUUUAAAAUGUUAAUAAUUUAUUUACAAUUAUAACUAGAAUUUAUUAGAAAUAAGCUGAAAAUUAUAUAUUAACACGAACCUCAAAUCUCCGAAACCAUGCAUUGAUUUGAGGCAUCCAUUCAGGAUGCCUGGAUAUCUGACUCCAUUGAAACAAUGGAAUCUCCAUCGACGCUUUAAACGCCGAUGAUAUUACUCGGGCGGCCUCAAUGUUUGUGAACCUGAAAAGAAAUGAAAUUAAUUUGUGAUUACUUCAUAAAUUAUGUUUUAAAUUUGUUUUUUUGUAUAUAAAAAAAAAACUAAAACCAUAACAAACUUACAUUGAAAGAUCGUCCUUCCACUGUGCCUCGUAUUGGCGGGUAAAUUGAUUCCGCUGCGAAGGCACGCCGCUUCUACGAUGUGAAACAUCAUCAUCGUCGCUGAGACGAUGAAUAGGUGGUGUAGGUGCCUCUUCUUGAGAGGCACCUAAGGAAACAUCAUCAUCGCUGCUAGACGAACUUGAUUCGACUAGACGUGAACGACCAGCUCUGGUUUUCAUUUUGCGCAUCUAAACAAUUUUAUAUAAAUAAUUGUAUAAUAAAAUUCAAAAGUUAAAAAAAAAUCGGCAGCACCUCCCCUAUACUGGAUACUACCCAAAUCCACAAACCUGCAAAUAUUAACAAUAGCCACAACCAAUUGAACCAAUCUAUACUAAUUAUUCCAACAUAUUCAACUAUUAAUCCUAAGAUAAAUUCAACGUUAACAAUUACAAUUCACAAAUUAAUCAAUAAUUAUAUUCAAAACAAUAAAAAAUAUGACAAAAAAUAAAUUCAACAAAUUAUAAUUCAACAAAUUAAUCAUUAUAAUUCAACAUUAACAAUUAUAAUUCAACAAAUUAAUCAAUAAUUAUAUUCAAAACAAUAAAAAAUAUGACAAAAAAUAAAUUCAAAAAUUCAAAAAUUAUAAUUCAACAAAUUAAUCAUUAUAAUUCAACAUUAACAAUUAUAAUUCAACAAAUUAAUCAAUAAUUAUAUUCAAAACAAUAAAAAAUAUGACAAAAAAUAAAUUCAAUAAAUUCAACAAAUUAUACUUCAACAAAUUAAUCAUUAUAAUUCAACAUUAACAAUUAUAAUUCAACAAAUUAAUCAUUAUAAUUAUGACAACAAAACAAUAAAAAAUAUUCAAAAAAUUCAAAAAAAAAAACCUACAUCAAUAAAAGGAACGAAAUAUACAUACCUUAAUAAUGUGACAAAUUCAAAACUUUAUCUACAUUACCAAAAAAAACACCAAAACAACAAAAUAACAAAAAUAAAAACAACUAAAAAUAAAUUAAAAGUAAAUAAAUUAAAUUGGAAAAAAACACAUACCUUUUAAUUUGAGGAAGAUUCACCGACGAAGAAAAGAGAAGAGAAGAGAAGAGAAGUGCAGCGGCGCGGGGAGAAGAGAAGAGAAGAGAAGAGAAGCGGCACGGGGAGAAGAAGAAAAAAUGAGGCGAAGCGGCGGGGGCUGGAACUUAUAGGGCAGUUUUACCGAUGGACUCACCGACGGAACUAAUAUCCGUCGGUGAAAGGUCAACAAUUAUGUCGGUAAAAGGUCAAAAAUCCGUUGGUAAUUUUUGAAUUUCGCACUGAAUUUUUAAAAGCCCUCCAUAUUUUUCGACGUCCGUCGGUCAUUCCGUCGGUAAUAUGACAAGUUCAGAGGCGCCUUAAUUCACACACGUUGGAAAUCGCGCGGUCCGUCGGUAUUUCUUUCGGUAAUAUGUGUGACCGACAAAUUACCGACGGACCUAUUCCGUCGGUAUACCCGUCGCUGAUUGUGGCAUUUUGUUGUAAAUGUUUUCGAACUCUCUGUGACAAUAAAAGGAACGAAAUAUACAUACCUUAAUAAUGUGACAAAUUCAAAACUUUAUCUACAUUACCAAAAAAAACACCAAAACAACAAAAUAACAAAAAUAAAAACAACUAAAAAUAAAUUAAAAGUAAUUAAAUUAAAUUGGAAAAAAAACACAUACCUUUUAAUUUGAGGAAGAUUCACCGACGAAGAGAAGAGAAGAGAAGAGAAGAGAAGUGCAGCGGCGCGGGGAGAAGAGAAGAGAAGAGAAGAGAAGCGGCACGGAGAGAAGAAGAAAAAAUGAGGCGAAGCGGCGGGGGCUGGAACUUAUAGGGCAGUUUUACCGACGGAGUCACCGACGGAAUUAAUAUCCGUCGGUAAAAGGUCCACAAUUAUGUCGGUAAAAGGUCAAAAAUGCGUUGGUAAUUUUUGAAUUUCGCACCGAAUUUUUAAAAGCCCUCCAUAUUUUUCGACGUCCGUCGGUCAUUCCGUCGGUAAUAUGACAAGUUCAGAGGCGCCUUAAUUCACACACGUUGGAAAUCGCGCGGUCCGUCGGUAUUUCUUUCGGUAAUAUGUGUGACCGACAAAUUACCGACGGACCUAUUCCGUCGGUAUACCCGUCGCUGAUUGUGGCAUUUUGUUGUAAAUGUUUUCGAACUCUCUGUGACAAUAAAAGGAACGAAAUAUACAUACCUUAAUAAUGUGACAAAUUCAAAACUUUAUCUACAUUACCAAAAAAAACACCAAAACAACAAAAUAACAAAAAUAAAAACAACUAAAAAUAAAUUAAAAGUAAUUAAAUUAAAUUGGAAAAAAAACACAUACCUUUUAAUUUGAGGAAGAUUCACCGACGAAGAGAAGAGAAGAGAAGAGAAGAGAAGUGCAGCGGCGCGGGGAGAAGAGAAGAGAAGAGAAGAGAAGCGGCACGGAGAGAAGAAGAAAAAAUGAGGCGAAGCGGCGGGGGCUGGAACUUAUAGGGCAGUUUUACCGACGGAGUCACCGACGGAAUUAAUAUCCGUCGGUAAAAGGUCCACAAUUAUGUCGGUAAAAGGUCAAAAAUGCGUUGGUAAUUUUUGAAUUUCGCACCGAAUUUUUAAAAGCCCUCCAUAUUUUUCGACGUCCGUCGGUCAUUCCGUCGGUAAUAUGACAAGUUCAGAGGCGCCUUAAUUCACACACGUUGGAAAUCGCGCGGUCCGUCGGUAUUUCUUUCGGUAAUAUGUGUGACCGAUAAAUUACCGACGGACCUAUUCCGUCGGUAUUAGUGUCGACAAAUCUGUCGGUGAAUCCGUCGGUGAUUGUGGCAUUUUGUUGUAAAUAUUUUCGAACUCUCUGUGAGAUACCGACGAACUAGAAUCCGUCGGUAUACCCGUCGCUGAUUGUGGCAUUUUGUUGUAAAUGUUUUUCGAAACUCUCUGUGACAAUAAAAGGAACGAAAUAUACAUACCUUAAUAAUGUGACAAAUUCAAAACUUUAUCUACAUUACCAAAAAAAACACCAAAACAACAAAAUAACAAAAUAAAACAACUAAAAAUAAAUUAAAAGUAAUUAAAAUUAAAUUGGAAAAAAACACAUACCUUUUAAUUUGGGAAGAUUCACCGACGAAGAGAGAGAAGGAAGUGCAGCGGCGUGGGGAGAAGAGAAGGAAGAGAAGCGGCACGGGGAGAAGAAGAAAAUGAGGCGAAGCGGCGGGGCUGGAACUUAUAGGGCAGUUUUACCGACGGACUCACAGACGGAAUUAAUAUCCGUCGGUAAAAGGUCAACAAUUAUGUCGGUAAAGGUCAAAAAUUCGUUGGAAUUUUUGAAUUUCGCACUGAAUUUUUAAAAGCCCUCCAUAUUUUUCGACGUCCGUCGGUCAUUCCGUCGGUAAUAUGACAAGUUCAGAGGCGCCUUAAUUCACACACGUUGGAAAUCGCGCGGUCCGUCGGUAUUUCUUUCGGUAAUAUGUGUGACCGACAAAUUACCGACGGACCUAUUCCGUCGGUAUUAGGGUCGACAAAUCUGUCGGUGAAUCCAUCGGUGAUUGUGGCAUUUUGUUGUAAAUAUUUUCGAACUCUCUGUGAUAUACCGACGCACUAGAAUCCGUCGGUUAUACCCGUCGCUGAUUGUGGCAUUUUGUUGUAAUGUUUUCGAACUCUCUGUGACAAUAAAAGGAACGAAAUAUACAUACCUUAAUAAUGUGACAAAUUCAAAACUUUAUCUACAUUUACCAAAAAACACCAAAACAACAAAAAUAACAAAAAUAAAACAACUAAAAAUAAAUUAAAAGUAAUUAAAUUAAAUUGGAGAAAAAAUACAUACCUUUUAAUUUGAGGAAGAUUCACCGACGAAGAGAAGAGAAGAGAAGUGCAGCGGCGCGGGGAGAAGAGAAGAGAAGAGAAGAGAAGCGGCACGGGGAGAAGAAGAAAAAAUGAGGCGAAGCGGUGGGGGCUGGAACUUAUAGGGCAGUUUUACCGACGGACUCACCGACGGAAUUAAUAUCCGUCGGUAAAAGGUCAACAAUUAUGUCGGUAAAAGGUCAAAAAUUCGUUGGUAAUUUUUGAAUUUCGCACCGAAUUUUUAAAAGCCCUCCAUAUUUUUCGACGUCCGUCGGUAAUAUGACAAGUUCAGAGGCGCCUUAAUUCACACAUGUUGGAAAUCGCGCGGUCCGUCGGUAUUUCUGUCGGUAAUAUGUGUGACCGACAAAUUACCGACGGACCUAUUCUGUCGGUAUUAGCGUCGACAAAUCUGUCGGUGAAUCCGUCGGUGAUUGUGGCAUUUUGUUGUAAAUAUUUUCGAACUCUCUGUGAGAUACCGACGAACUAGAAUCCGUCGGUAUACCCGUCGCUGAUUGUGGCAUUUUGUUGUAAAUGUUUUCGAACUCUCUGUGACAAUAAAAGGAACGAAAUAUACAUACCUUAAUAAUGUGACAAAUUCAAAACUUUAUCUACAUUACCAAAAAAAACACCAAAACAACAAAAUAACAAAAAUAAAAACAACUAAAAAUAAAUUAAAAGUAAAUAAAUUAAAUUGGAAAAAAAACACAUACCUUUUAAUUUGAGGAAGAUUCACCGACGAAGAGAAGAGAAGAGAAGUGCAGCGGCGCGGGGAGAAGAGAAGAGAAGAGAAGAGAAGAGAAGCGCACGGGGAGAAGAAGAAAAAAUGAGGCGAAGCGGCGGGGGCUGAACUUAUAGGGCAGUUUUACCGACGGACUCACCGACGGAAUUAAUAUCCGUCGGUAAAAGGUCAACAAUUCUGUCGGUAAAAGGUCAAAAAUUCGUUGGUAAUUUUUGAAUUUCGCACCGAAUUUUUAAAAGCCCUCCAUAUUUUUCGACGUCCGUCGGUAAUUCCGUCGGUAAUAUGACAAGUUCAGAGGCGCCUUAAUUCACACAUGUUGGAAAUCGCGCGGUCCGUCGGUAUUUCUGUCGGUAAUAUGUGUGACCGACAAAUUACCGACGGACCUAUUCCGUCGGUAUUAGCGUCGACAAAUCUGUCGGUGAAUCCGUCGGUGAUUGUGGCAUUUUGUUGUAAAUAUUUUCGAACUCUCUGUGAGAUACCGACGGACUAGAAUCCGUCGGUAUACCCGUCGCUGAUUGUGGCAUUUUGUUGUAAAUGUUUUCGAACUCUCUGUGACAAUAAAAGGAACGAAAUAUACAUACCUUAAUAAUGUGACAAAUUCAAAACUUUAUCUACAUUACCAAAAAAAACACCAAAACAACAAAAUAACAAAAAUAAAAACAACUAAAAAUAAAUUAAAAGUAAUUAAAUUAAAUUGGAAAAAAAACACAUACCUUUUAAUUUGAGGAAGAUUCACCGACGAAGAGAAGAGAAGAGAAGUGCAGCGGCGCGGGGAGACGAGAAGAGAAGAGAAGAGAAGAGAAGCGGCACGGGGAGAAGAAGAAAAAAUGAGGCGAAGCGGCGGGGGCUGGAACUUAUAGGGCAGUUUUACCGACGGACUCACCGACGGAAUUAAUAUCCGUCGGUAAAAGGUCAACAAUUCUGUCGGUAAAAGGUCAAAAAUUCGUUGGUAAUUUUUGAAUUUCGCACCGAAUUUUUAAAAGCCCUCCAUAUUUUUCGACGUCCGUCGGUAAUUCCGUCGGUAAUAUGACAAGUUCAGAGGCGCCUUAAUUCACACACGUUGGAAAUCGCGCGGUCCGUCGGUAUUUCUUUCGGUAAUAUGUGUGACCGACAAAUUACCGACGGACCUAUUCCGUCGGUAUUAGUGUCGACAAAUCUAUCGGUGAAUCCGUCGGUGAUUGUGGCAUUUUGUUGUAAAUAUUUUCGAACUCUCUGUGAGAUACCGACGCACUAGAAUCCGUCGGUAUACCCGUCGCUGAUUGUGGCAUUUUGUUGUAAAUGUUUUCGAACUCUCUGUGACAAUAAAAGGAACGAAAUAUACAUACCUUAAUAAUGUGACAAAUUCAAAAUUUUAUCUACAUUACCAAAAAAAACACCAAAACAACAAAAUAACAAAAAUAAAAACAACUAAAAAUAAAUUAAAAGUAAUUAAAUUAAAUUGGAAAAAAAACACAUACCUUUUAAUUUGAGGAAGAUUCACCGACGAAGAGAAGAGAAGAGAAGUGCAGCGGCGCGGGGAGAAGAGAAGAGAAGAGAAGAGAAGCGGCACGGGGAGAAGAAGAAAAAAUGAGGCGAAGCGGCGGGGGCUGGAACUUAUAGGGCAGUUUUACCGAUGGACUUACCGACGGAAUUAAUAUCCGUCGGUAAAAGGUCAACAAUUAUGUCGGUAAAAGGUCAAAAAUCCGUCGGUAAUUUUUGAAUUUCGCACCCAAUUUUUAAAAGCCCUCUAAAUUUUUCGAUGUCCGUCGGUAAUAUGACAAGUUCAGAGGCGCCUUAAUUCACACAUGUUGGAAAUCGCACGGUCCGUCGGUAUUUCUGUCGGUAAUAUGUGUGACCGACAAAUUACCGACGGACCUAUUCCGUCGGUAUUAGCGUCGACAAAUCUGUCGGGGAAUCCGUCGGUGAUUGUGGCAUUUUGUUGUAAAUAUUUUUGAACUUCUGUGAGAUACCGGCGGACUAGAAUCCGUCGGUAUACCCGUCGCUGAUUGUCGCAUUUUGUUGUAAAUGUUUUCGAACUCUCUGUGACAAUAAAAGGAACGAAAUAUACAUACCUUAAUAAUGUGACAAAUUCAAAACUUUAUCUACAUUACCAAAAAAAACACCAAAACAACAAAAUAACAAAAAUAAAAACAACUAAAAAUAAAUUAAAAGUAAAUAAAUUAAAUUGGAAAAAAAACGCAUACCUUUUAAUUUGAGGACGAUUCACCGACGAAGAGAAGAGAAGAGAAGUGCAGCGGCGCGGGGAGAAGAGAAGAGAAGAGAAGAGAAGCGGCAUGGGGAGAAGAAGAAAAAAUGAGGUGAAGCGGCGGGGGCUGUAACUUAUAGGGUAGUUUUACCGACGGACUCACCGACGGAAUUAAUAUCCGUCGAUAAAAGGUCAACAAUUUUGUCGGUAAAAGGUCAAAAAUCCGUCUGUAAUUUUUGAAUUUCGCACCAAAUUUUUAAAAGCCCUCCAAAUUUUUCGACGUCCGUCGGUAAUUCCGUCGGUAAUAUGACAAGUUCAGAGGCGCCUUAAUUCACACAUGUUGGAAAUCGGGCGGUCCGUCGGUAUUUCUGUCGGUAAUAUGUGUGACCGACAAAUUACCGACGGACCUAUUCCGUCGGUAUUAGCGUCGACAAAUCUGUCGGUGAAUCCGUCGGUGAUUGUGGCAUUUUGUUGUAAAUAUUUUCGAACUUCUGUGAGAUACCGGCGGACUAGAAUCCGUCGGUAUACCCGUCGCUGAUUGUCGCAUUUUGUUGUAAAUGUUUUCGAACUCUCUGUGACAAUAAAAGGAACGAAAUAUACAUACCUUAAUAAUGUGACAAAUUCAAAACUUUAUCUACAUUACCAAAAAAAACACCAAAAUAACAAAAAUAAAAACAACUAAAAAUAAAUUAAAUUGGAGAAAAAGCACAUACCUUUUAAUUUGAGGAAGAUUCACCGACGAAGAGAAGAGAAGAGAAGUGCAGCGGCGCGGGGAGAAGAGAAGAGAAGAGAAGAGAAGCGGCAUGGGGAGAAGAAGAAAAAAUGAGGCGAAGCGGUGGGGACUGGAACUUAUAGGGCACUUUUACCGACGGACUCACCGACGGAAUUAAUAUCCGUCAGUAAAAGGUCAACAAUUCUGUCGGUAAAAGGUCAAAAAUCCGUUGGUAAUUUUUGAAUUUCGCACUGAAUUUUUAAAAGCCCUCCAUAUUUUUCGACGUCCGUCGGUAAUAUGACAAGUUCAGAGGCGCUUUAAUUCACACACGUUGGAAAUCACGCGGUCCGUUGGUAUUUCUGUCGGUAAUAUGUGUGACCGACAAAUUACCGACGGACCUAUUCCGUCGGUAUUAGUGUCGACAAAUCUGUCGGUGAAUCCGUCGGUGAUUGUGGCAUUUUGUUGUAAAUAUUUUCGAACUCUCUGUGAGAUACCGACGAACUAGAAUCCGUCGGUAUACCCGUCGCUGAUUGUGGCAUUUUGUUGUAAAUGUUUUCGAACUCUCUGUGACAAUAAAAGGAACGAAAUAUACAUACCUUAAUAAUGUGACAAAUUCAAAACUUUAUCUACAUUACCAAAAAAAACACCAAAACAACAAAAUAACAAAAAUAAAAACAACUAAAAAUAAAUUAAAAGUAAUUAAAUUAAAUUGGAAAAAAAACACAUACCUUUUAAUUUGAGGAAGAUUCACCGACGAAGAGAAGAGAAGAGAAGUGCAGCGGCGCGGGGAGAAGAGAAGAGAAGAGAAGAGAAGCGGCACGGGGAAAAGAAGAAAAAAUGAGGCGAAGCGGCGGGGGCUGUAACUUAUAGGGCAGUUUUACCGACGGACUCACCGACGGAAUUAAUAUCCGUUGGUAAAAGGUCAACAAUUCUGUCUGUAAAAGGUCAAAAAUUCGUCGGUAAUUUUUGAAUUUCGCACCAAAUUUUUAAAAGCCCUCCAAAUUUUUCGACGUCCGUCGGUAAUUCCGUCGGUAAUAUGACAAGUUCAGAGGCGCCUUAAUUCACACACGUUGGAAAUCGCGCGGUCCGUCGGUAUUUCUGUCGGUAAUAUGUGUGACCGAAAAAUUACCGACGGACCUAUUCCGUCGGAAUUAGCGUCGACAAAUUUGUCGGUGAAUCCGUCGGUGAUUGUGGCAUUUUGUUGUAAAUAUUUUCAAUCUCUCUGUGAGAUACCGGCGGACUAGAAGCCGUUGGUAUACCCGUCGCUGAUUGUGGCAUUUUGUUGUAAAUGUUUUCGAACUCUCUGUGAGAUACCGACGGAUUUAAUUCCCUCAGUAUACCCGUCGGUGAAGGUGGCAUUUUGUUGUAAUUCUUUUCGAACUCUUUGUGAGAUACCGACGGACUAGAAUCCGUCGGUGUAUGUGUUGGUGAAUCCGUCGGUAAUGUCGUCGGUGUGGUGGCAUUUCGCGUAAUUAAUUUCGAACUCUCUGUGAGAUACCGACGGAUGGUUAUCCGUCGGUAUGGACGUCGGUAAGUUUGCAUUAUGCAGGAAAGGUUGUCUUUGUAUUGCCUGUUUACCUUCCUGCAAAAACUUAACUGAUAAACUGUCCAUCACAUAAAACAAUAACCACAUUUCUUAAACAAUAAAUAUUUUGUUUUAUAAAAUACAUCAUCCAUAAUCUAAAUUACAUGAGACAAAUGUUUUUACAUGGGGCUUUAUUUUCAUAAUUAGUCAGAAUUUUCUUCUUCUUCCUCAUCAAUUGAAUUGUCAUCAUCUUCAUCGCAAUCUUCAAUAUGGAUAUCAUCUUCUUCAUUGACAUUUGCUUGCCCGCUAGAGCUGAGAACAACAUUCAACUCCUCUCCGUCAAUAUCAACAAGACUAUCAUCGAGAACUCGAAAAUUUGAAUUUUCUUCCAAUUCAAUCGAAGGAGCAACUUGAUAUGGUUCAACCAACUCACGAACUUGAAAGACUUCAUCUCGCACACUUGUGUCUUCGUUCUCAUCCUGAACAACCUCGACACGACCCCGUGGUUUCGUUUUUAAAACGGACAACCAAUCAACUCUUGAUCGAUCCUUUCUAAAUGAAGGGGUGUAUGUGUAAUAAACUUGUUGACAUUGCUUUGCGAAAACAAAGACAUCGUUUAUGUUGCGGAGUCUAGCUUUUGAGUUGAUUUCGACCAGACCAUGGUGCGGAUCAACUCUGAUUCCUCUGUCCGUCGUGUCAUACCAAUAGCAUUUGAAUAAAAACACUUUAUUCUGCUCGCUAUGAUAUUGCAAUUCGACGACCUCUUCUAAUCUACCAUAGUAGUCAACUUCUAACUGGCUACUUGUGGAUCCCUUAACACAAACACCGCAGUUGUAUGUCUUUCUUCCUUGCCCGUAUUCUUCAUUAUGGAAAACAAAUCCAUUGACAAAAUACCCGUUGUAGCACUUAACUUUUCUUUCAGGGCCGAGGCUUAGUGAAGACAAUGACUUGGGCGCACUCCUUCCCAUUUGAUAAACCUUGUAAAUAUAUGUAAUUAAAUGUACAUCAAUACACGGUAAAUGAACGAGAAUCUCGUAAUGACAUACAUACGUUAGAAUGAGUUUGUGAUAGUGCUUACAUGUGUUCUGAACCAUGUGGCAAAUUGUUCAUCUUGUAAUUGAAAGAUCUGGGAUUCGGUCAGCUGCAAGUGAUAAUGAGUGUAUGAUAUUACAAUAUAUAAUUAACAGUAUAUUACUGACAAAGUUUAAUUAGUAUUACACAUAUAUAGACUUACUGAAUAAAUGGCCUCAGCUCAUCACAGUUAAAUAGAACAUAGUUGUGUGCUUGUUUGAAUUCUAUUUCCGACAAAUAUCUUCCUCUUACGGCAUUUUUAGGUGUGGGUCGUCCAGUAUUGGAGAAUAUUGACAAGUUCCCACUGGAAGGCACUUCACUGCCAUCGUCAUGCCGUGGAACGCGAUUGAUUCUUGUUCUCAGAUGAGGUUCGAAAUAGUACGAGAUAAAUGUUGAUAUCUCUUCAACAAUAUAGGCCUCAGAUAUCGAAGCCUCAACAUGCCCUUGUUCUUAACCUUUUUUUUUAGAUUAAAUAAGUACCUGCAUUGAAGUACAAUUCAAGUAUUUUCAAAUAAGAAAAACAUAGAAAAUACUUUAAGAUAUGAAUUCCAUUGCAACUGUAAUAUCUCACCGUUCGAAUGGGUACAUCCAUCUAUACUGGACCGGUCCUCCAGCUUUUGCCUCGAACGGUAGAUGUAUAGGGAGAUGCUCCAUUGAGUCAAAAAAUGAAGGAGGGAAUAUCAUCUCAAGUUUGCAUAGUGUCUCGAUGAUAUUCGUUUGAAGCAUCUCAAUGUGCUCAACAUUCAUCUUGCUGGAGCAUAUAUCUCUGAAGAAAUGACUGAUCUCCGUUAGUGCAUCCCAUAUUCCCUUUGGCAACAAAUCACGAAAAGCUAAUGGGAUGAGUGUUUGCAUAAACACGUGGCAGUCAUGGCUCUUCAUUCCAUACAAUCUGCAGUCCUCUAUGUUAACAAGCCUUGAUAUGUUCGAUGCAUGUCCAUCCGGGAAACGCAGACUCUUAAGCCAUUUGUAGACUAGCAGUUGUGCGUUUUUCUCUAACACGAAGCUUGCCCUUGGUUUUGCAACCCGUGACUCGUCAUAAACCAACUCCAUAUUUUUACGGUUACAGUAUAAAGCUAUAUCCAAUCUAGCCUUCAUGUUGUCCUUUGUCUUCCCCUUCACAUCCAUGACGGUGUUGAAAAUAUUCUCAAACACGUUCUUUUCGAUGUGCAUGACGUCAAGGUUAUGGCGGAGAAGAUUAGUCUUCCAAUACGGAAGCUCCCAAAAGAUACUUCGCUUUACCCAAUUAUGGGUCAAACCAAAACCAGGAAACUUUUGCUUACCUGAUUGAAGGCCAAACACAAUGUCACCGUACUCUGAUAUAACAUGAUGCAAUUCUUCACCAGAAAGACGCGGGGAUGCAACAUCUUUUUCAACUCUGCCAACAAAUAAAUCUUUUAUGUUCUUUCUGUACCUGUGAUUAAUUGGCAAGAAGCGAUGAAGCAGUCAAAAAAAGAAGUUUUACCUCCGUUUGCUAGCGUGAAUGCCUUGUUGUUUUCUAUGCAGUAUGGACAUGCGAGUUUCCCAUGCGUGCUCCAACUAGAAAGCAUUUCAUAAGCUGGAAAAUCAUUGAUAGUCCACAUCAAAGCCGCCAUCAUAAGGAAAUUUUGUUUCCUCGAUAUAUCAUAAGUCAGAGAUCCGGAGGACCACAACUGCGCCAGCUCAUCUAUCAACGGUCGAAGACAAACAUCUAUAUUCCGCCCCGGGCUGCUUGGACCGGGUAUGACAGUAGAUAGAAACAUGAACUCCGGCCUCAUACACAUUCCCGGUGGCAAGUUAUAAACUGUGAGAAUGACCGGCCAACAAGAAUAGGGAGCAGCAAAUGACCCAAAUGGGUUGAACCCGUCUGUACACAACCCAAGUCGAACAUUCCUUGAUUCAGCAGAAAAGUCAGGAUGAACACUGUUAAAGCGUUUCCACGCUUCGCCGUCAGAAGGAUGCACCAUCACACCAUCAACGACAUCGUGUGUUUGGUGCCAUGUCAUGUGCUCAGCAGUCCUUGGUGACAUAAAUAACCUCUGCAGUCUAGGUGUGAUCGGGAAAUAUCUAAGUUUUUUAUAUGCCACUAGAGUCUUCCCCCUGCCAGUUCUGGGUUUGUAACGGGAAUGCCCGCAUGUCAUGCACUCGGUCAUCUCAGCAUUUUCAAGGUAGUAUAACAUGCAGAAGUUAGGGCACAUGUCAAUUUUCUGGUAUCCUAAACCGAGGGGUUUCAUCAUGGACUUCGCAGCAUAGAAGUUCUCUUUGAGCCUGUUCCCUUCUGGUAAAAUGCUUCUUGCCCAAUCAAUAAUUUUGUCAUACCCGGCCUCACUCAACCCGUGAUCUGACUUGAUGGUGAACACCUGUGCCACAGCCGAUAAUUUACUGUGGUUUGUGCAGCCAUCCCAUAAUGGUUCGUCAGAAUCUUUCAACAAAUCAAAAAACCUAGCUGCCUCUGCAUUAGGUUCUUCUUCUACGAUUGGACAUUGAUUGACAUUAUCUUGAUUCAUUCUCAUUGCAUCCAUAACCAUGUUUCUGUAAGGAUUAGUGUUGUCAUUUGCCGCUUCAUGCACGUUGCUAGCACUAGAAGUUGACCCAACCACCGUUUCUCCCAUUCUCCUAUUACUAACAAAUACCUCUCCAUGUGCAUACCAACACUCGUAAUCCUCCACAAACCCUUUGUGUAGAAGAUGCAUCAUUACAACAUCUGGAUGCAGAUACUUUUUAUUUUGACACUUCCUGCAUGGACACCUAAUACCGCCUCCAGUAAAAUUUCUGGGAAUAGAUGUUGCGAAAUUAAUAAAACCCUGAACCCCGUUACAAUAAUCCAUCCUCCGCAAUCCUUGGGGUGAAUCUAGAUACAUCCAUGAACGAUCAUCCAUGACUUCUAUCGAACCUCUAUAAAAAGGACCCAUUAAGCAAGCUCUUAAUUAUUUCAAAACAAACAUGUAAUUCGGUAAUUCUACAAAUUAAGUUUUAACAAUUUUCAAACAAAUACAAUCUUACAAAAUCUAAAACAAACCAUAACAAGUAUAAAAUUAUACAUUCAUAUACUACAAGUUUGUUUGAGAAAUAACAAUAAAACAUGUACAUCUACUAAAAAAAAAUACAUAUACUAAAAAAACAAUAAAAUUGACAUUUAAAUGUUAAAAUUUUAAAAGAUAGAAUUACUUACAAAAAAUGAUAAAAUCCGUCGGUAAAUCAGAACACGGAUGCUGUGACCACAAAACUUCAAGAAAUACAACUUGUUGUGCUGAGAUGAGGAAGAUUUUUGUUUUGGGGCGGGGGGCUGGUUAUUUUGCAGAUGGGGAGGGUUAGGAUUAGGAAGAAGAAGGAGAAAUGGGGAGGAGAGUGUCGGCAGAGUGGCCAUAUAUUCACUUUUGCCGACGGACUUACCGACGGUUUAUUCCGUCGGUGAAUCCGUCGAAACCGUCGGUAAUUCUGACGGGCAAUCGACACGUCACCGCACGGACCUGCUAUUCAAAUCCCUCGGUGAUUCCGUCGGUAUUUUUAACGGUGCACCGUCACGUCACCGGUACGGAUCUGGCAUUUCAAAUCCGUCGUCGGUAUUUUUGACGGUGAACAGGUCCCAUCACGCGUACGGGCCCCAGUUUUUAAUUCCGUCGGAAAAAUCACCCGCCAAAACCUGCGCCACUACCCGCCCUUUUUUCAUUAAUUCUGAAUUUUCGGUCGGUAAUUCGGUCGGUAAUUACGACGACUAUUCGUCGGUAAUUACCGACGAAAAUUGUCCGUCGGUGAUUUCGGCCGAAAAAUACCGACAGAAAAAAUUCCGUCGGUGAGUCCGUUGGUAUUUAGCGAAUUUCUGGUAGUGAUAAUACUUGUUAAAUGAGUAUAUGAGCAGAAUCAAAUGAUAACAAUGUGAGAGUUUGUAAACCUGAAUAUUUCAAGAAGUAUUAUGAUAGACCUUGGUAAUGAAACUUACUAAGAUGCGUCUCUAGAGUCAAUAAAAUUGAUUUCAUACUCUGCCAUCCUAAUAACAAUUUUGUCAAAUGGUUUUAAUAAUAGCAAAAACAGUUAGCAAGUUAGUUUUUUUUAUUUUUUUUGAUUUUUUUUUGAAGUACUACCCUCUCCCACCAACCAAAACAAGACAUUGUCCUCAAUGUCCUAAGGUAGAAAGAUAGAGUAUAGAAGACAUCACCUGAAACAACGAAAAAUGACAAACCUGAAAUACACUUAAACAAACAUAAGAAGUAACAAAACAAAAUAAUAUGCUAUUAAUAAAACCAAACGACAUAAGGUUUCACAGAUGAAGGCUCAAAUCUAAUCUAAGCUUUUUACGGCUUUCCUUAGUUGACCAAUCUAGGCGACUCAUGCAGGGAUCAAUGACAGGGAUGAAAGAUUGUAGUUGGUCAAUCAAUUGUUCAGUAGUAGCAGCAGAGAUUAUGAUUUGUCGUGCCGAAGAUGUUAGAAAUUCCUGUUCCACAGCUUGAUCAAGGAAAGACAACAACUUAUCAUAAAAACCAUUAACAUUUAACAAACCUAUAGGUUUAUGGUGAAUGUGCAGUUGGGCCCAAGAUGAAAUAUGAAAGAUUUCUUCCAAUGUGCCCAGACCACCUGGUAAGGCAAUGAAGGCAUCAGCAUGGUUAAACAUGGUAUUCAGUCGGUCGGACAUUGUUGGGACCUGUAGUUCCUCUCCAAUUGUUUUUCCAAUGAUAUCGCUAUUUGCUAAAGCUUUGGGGACAACCCCCAAAACUUGACUGCCUCCUAAAAAUGCAGCCAUUGACACACCUCCCAUUAACCCAAGGCUGCCUCCCCCAUACACUAAAUGAAUCUUUCUCUCAGCUAAUACCCGACCAAGAUGAUUUGCUGAUUCUAAAAACUCUUUUUCUUUCCCAGAACUAGAUCCACCGAAAACACAAAUAUUUCUUAUAUGAUGACUUGAGGAACCUGCCAUUUCUACACACUUCUAUAUUUGAUGAAUGUAUGGGAUGAGUAGAAAUGAAGGGAAGGAAGAGAAGAAUUUAUAGAUGAAAAAGUGAAAAUGCAAUCAUACCACCUAUAUGUAGGGGAGCUGUAGUCUCACAAACUCUCUCUCUCUCUCUCUCUCUUUAUUAAUUAUUUAUUUUGAAAAAGCAUGUAUGUACAGGUAGUUGUGAUUGUGGCUCACAUCUUCCCUUGGUUUUACGUCCAAGAACGGCUUAAACACCCUCUAUGGGUCGGGGAUAGGCUUCCCAUCCAGUUUUCUUAAAAACUAGCAAACAGGGUCUUUUUUAGUCAGAUUCCCAAGACUAAGUCGAUCAUGUUCUUUAUGUAAUUGUGGCCAUAAAUCAUGAAUUACACGAUGCACAUCUCCACUAGGAUGCGUCUCCAGGGUCAACAAAAGAUUAUCUAAAGACCCCUUACUCAGGCCAUCCUUAAUGAAUUGUAUCUUAUCUUCACGAUUUACAGAUACCAUUCCUAAAGAACGACAUAUCGCGUUACAAGUCCAUCUGGCACAUCUGUGACAAACUUUCAGUCAUUUUGCACGACGUUUCUUUGCAAAAGUGCUUUUACCUGUUCCAGGCAUGUGUGAAAUGAAAGAAUUGGAGGACUCACCUGAUAAGCAAACCUUUGCUUCAAUUAGCCAGCGAAUAUCUUCAGGAAUUUCAUGAUUCAUUAAUAACCUCAAUCUUGCACACCUAGCAUGGUAAAUUUUAUUAAUCGCAUUUGGAGGCAAAGCGGGAAAAUACCUUUUCAACUUUUCAAGAGUGGUGUCCAUUUUCAAAAGAGAAUUAGAGAAGAGAUUCAAAGAAGGGAGAAAGAGCUAAGAAUUGUACAAAUAUAUACAUAUAUCAGUUAUUUGGGAAACUGAAAGAACCGACUUAAGUCACGGAGUACCGUUAUCCACCAUUUGACCGGGGUGAAAGAGAGACUAGCAAAACAAUAGAUACAACAAAACACAAAACAAUGUGAGAAAAAGAAUCAAUCUUUAUAUACAGGAUCACUCAAUUUGCAACCGAAAACAUUGCCAUUCUUUGGAUUCUCAAUAUCACGGGCCCCAUAUGGAUACACAUGUUUCACAAUAAAAGGACCGCUCCAUCUUGAUCUUUUUUUUCCAGGAAAUAAAUGGAGUCGAGAAUUAUAAAGCAAGACUUUUUGACCAACAUUGAAUGUUUUUCUCAGUAUUUUCUUGUCAUGAAACUCUUUAAUUCUUGCUUUAUGAAUUUUCGAAUUGUCAUAUGCAUCAUUUCUUAUUUCCUCAAGCUCAUUUAUUUGCAAUUUUCGCAACUGACUAGCAUCAUCAAGGUUUGAAUUGAAAGCUUUAAUAGCCCAAUAAGCUUUAUGUUCAAUUUCCACAGGCAAGUGACAGGGUUUUCCAUAGACUAGUCUAUAAGGUGACAUACCUAAGGAUGUUUUAUAAGCAGUUCGAUAAGCCCAAAGUGCAUCAUUAAGUCUUAAAGACCAGUCUUUCCUAUUAUAGUUCACUGUUUUCUCCAAGAUUUAUUUGAUCUCCCUAUUAGCAAGCUCUACUUGUCCACUUGUCUGAGGGUGAUAAGGGGUGGCAACUUUGUGUGUGAUUCCAUAUUUCUUCAUUAAAGACUCAAAUGGCUUGUUGCAGAAAUGUGUUCCACCAUCACUUAUCAUGGCUCGAGGGAUUCCAAAUCGACUCAAAAUAUUGUCUUUCAAAAACUUUAUCACUGUUUUGUGAUCAUUGUUUCGACUUGGAAUUGCCUCUAUCCAUUUUGAAACAUAAUCUACUGCGACUAAUAUGUACAUGAAACCAAAUGAUGGAGGAAAUGGACCCAUAAAAUCUAUACCCCAACAGUCAAAGAUCUCAAUGACAAGAACAUGAUUUAAAGGCAUCAUAUGAUGUUUUGAAAUAGAUCCCAAUUUUCACAAGUCUUGCAGAAUGCAUGUGAGUCCUUGAACAUGGUGGGCCAGUAAAAUCCACUUUGUAAGAUUUUUGUAAUUGUCUUUCUCGACGAAAAAUGACCCCCACAUGCCUUAGAAUGACAAAAUUUAAUAACACUACUUACCUCAUUGUCAGGAAUGCAUCUUCGAAAUAUUUGAUCAGGACAAUAUUUGAACAAAUACCGGUCAUCCCAAUAAAAGUUCUUCACUUCGUUCAAGAACUUUCUUUUGUCUUGGGUACUCCAAUGAGCUGGCAAUUGUCCUGAAACAAGAAAAUUAACAAUAUUAGCAAACCAAGGCAUCGUAGAAACGGAAAGUAAAGAUUCAUCGGGAAAGUAGUCAUCGAUUGGUGUGAUGUCAGAUUUCGAAUCUAUUGUCAAUCUUGACAAAUGAUCUGCAACAACAUUUUCGGUGUCUUUCUUGUCUUUGAUUGUGAUAUCAAAUUCUUGAAGUAAUAAAAUCCACCGCACCAAUCUAGCCUUAGAAUCUUUCUUAGAAAGAAGAUAUUUCAAUGCUGCAUGAUCACUAAAAACAACAACAGGUGAGCCAACAAGAUAAGAUCUGAAUUUAUCACAAGCAAAUACUACUGCAAGUAAUUCUUUUUCAGUGGUGGUGUAAUUCAUUUGAGCACUAUUUAAAGUUUUACUUGCAUAGUAAAUCACAUAAGGUUUCAUAUCUUUUCUUUGUCCCAAGACAGCACCCACGACAUAAUCACUAGCAUCACACAUUAUUUCAAAAGGUAAUGACCAAUCAGGAGGUUGAAUGACAGGAGCAGAAGUAAACAAGUUUUUAAGUUUAACAAAGGCUUCCUCACAAUGUUCAGUCCAUUCAAAAAUAUUAUCCUUUGUUAGAAGGUUACUCAAGGGCUUAGAUAUUACACUAAAAUCUUUGAUGAACCUUUUGUAAAGACCAGCAUGUCCUAAGAAUGAUCUAACAUCCUUAACAGAUUUUGGUGUUGGUAAGUUGGCAAUUAACUCGAUUUUAGAUUUAUCAACCUCAAUUCCUUUCGAUGAAACAAUGUGACCAAGUACAAUGUCGUUUGUUACCAUAAAGUGACAUUUUUCCCAAUUCAGUACAAGAUUCUUCUCUUCACACCUGCUCAAAACCUUUUCCAAGUUAGUCAAACAAUCAUCAAAUGAAUCACCAAAAACAGAAAAAUCAUCCAUAAAAAUCUCAAGAAAACGUUCAACCAUAUCACUGAAUAUGCUAAGCAUGCAUCUUUGAAACGUGGCUGGUGCAUUACAUAAUCCAAAAGGCAUCCUUCGAUAUGCAAAAGUACCAAAUGGACAUGUGAAAGUAGUCUUCUCUUGAUCUUCCAAUGCAAUUUCAAUUUGAUUGUAACCUGAAUAGCCAUCUAGGAAACAAUAAAAUUCAUGACCUGCAACUCUUUUCUAGGAUUUGAUCCAUGAAAGGUAAAGGGAAAUGAUCUUUUCUAGUCAUUGAAUUAAGUUUCCUAUAGUCAAUGCACAUGCGCCAACCAGUAACAGUCCUCGUCCAUCCUAAUGCAUUUUUGUGCAUUUUCAGAGUCUGUAAUAACUUACCUUCUUGAUGUGCAUUCAGUUUGGAAGAGAUUAUUACCGAAAAAGUUUCAUUCUCUCCCAAAAAUGAGUAUUUGAGAUUAAAUGGUAACGACUUCAAAUCAGGUUUUGGUGGUUGAACACUUGAAGGUAUGGGCUCAAUUGAUCGUGGUGGCAAUUCUUCAAUUUGUGGUCUCCAAUUGCAUGCCUUUGAUUCUUCCUGAAAAUAGACCAUUUGCAAAUCAUCAGAUUCAUCAAUCUCAGUUUCAAUAGAAGUGGUUUGAAAUUGAUCAUGAACUAAUUUUUCAAUAAAGUCCACUUCCUGUAAAUCAUUAUCAUCUCCAGGUUGCUUGUAAAUGUUGAAAAUAUUCAUCUCCAAUGUCAUGUUUCCAAAUGAUAGCUUCAUCAGUCCAUUCCUACAAUUAAUCAAUGCAUUAGAAGUGGCAAGAAAUGGACGUCCUAAAAUGACAGGAAUUGAAUUACAUGCUUCAACAGGUUGUGUCCAAGACAACAAAAUCCACAGGUAAAUGAAUUUAUCAACUUGUACUAACACAUCUCAAUUAUUCCUCUAGGCACUUUUACAGAUCUAUCGGAGUAAAAGAGUUACAGAGGUUGGUUUUAACUCACCUAGAUUGAGACUUGAAAAACUGAAUAUGGAAGUAAAUUCACACUAGCUCCAAGAUCAAGUAAGGCUCUUUCAAUUUUAUGUUCUCCAAUAAAGCAAGAAAUUGUAGGACAACCAGGGUCUUUAUAUUUCAAAGCAUUAUUGUUCUGAAGAAUGGCACUUACUUGUUCGGCUAAAAAGGCUUUCUUUUUCACAUUCAGUUUUCUCUUCACAGUGCACAGAUCUUUCAAAAAUUUAGCAUAGGAAGGAACCUGUUUAAUAGCAUCCAACAAAGGUAUAUUGAUCCUUACCUGUUUGAAAAUUUCAAAGAUUUCAGAGUUGUGACUGACUUUCCUUUGUUUGGUCAUGGCAUGAGGAAAUGGAAGUGCUGGCGGGGAAUCAGCCUUUUCUUUGCAAUGUUCAGGUUCAACCCCUUCCUUACCCUCAGAGAUAGACUCAUCAUCUUUCUCACAAGGUUCAAGAAUGGGUUUUUCAAUAACCUUACCACUACGAAGAGUGAUGACUGAUUUGACUUGAUCCAUGUGUUGGCUUCCAGAACUACUUGCAUUUGCAUUGUAUUGCCCCUUUGGAUUUUGCUGUGGUUGAGAAGGAAACUUACCUUUCUCUUGGAAACUGAGAGCAGAUGUUAAUUUUGCAAGAGCAUCUUUAAAAUCGGUCAUGCUUUGAGCAAGUUGAGUGUUGAUUGUCUCCUGCUUUUCAAUGAAUGCAUGCAAUGUUUCCUCAAAAUUUCUUCUAGGAGGUGGAGCAUAAGGAGGUGCAUAUCCAUGAGAAUUUUGGAAAUUAUGGUGUGCUUGAAACGGUGGCUGUGAAGUUUGUGCAUUGUUGCUAUCACUCUUCCAACUAAAAUUUGGGUGAUUUCUCCAACCAGGGUUAUAGUUUGUGAGUAUGGGUUAUGGUUGGGUCUUUGGAAACUGUUUAAAGCAUGGGCUUGUUCAUGGAGGCAUUCCUUGAAAGAAGGCAAAGUUGGACAAUCAUUGUUGAUGCCUUGUUUCACAGAUUUGACACACAAUGUCUUGAACAGAUUUUAAUUGACCACUCUUUUUCAAUUCUAGUGCCUCGACUUUUCUAGCUAAAGAUGCAAACUUGGCUUGGAGGUCAUGAUCUUCCCUAAGGUUGUGCAUACCUCCACUAGAUGUAUGAGGUUGAGUUUUACCUGGUGCCUCAUAAGUACCUGUGGUGUCCCAAUUUUGAGCAUUUUCGCUAGCAAGUCUAGGUACUCCAUUGCUUCAUUAGGGUCUUUAUCUUCAAAGUUCCAUUGCACAUCAAUUCAACCAUUUGCCUAUCUCUAGGUGUUAAACCUUCAUAAAAAUGUGAAACCAAUCUCCAUGUUUCAAAACCAUGAUGUGGGCAAGUAUUAAGCAAAUCUCGAUACCUAUCCCAACAUUGGUAAAAUGUUUCUCCUGGCUUUUGAGUGAAAGUGAUGAUUUGUCUUUUGAAAGAGUUUGUUCUGUGAGAUGGAAAAAACUUCUUUAAAAAUUGUUGUUGCAUAUCAUCCCAAGCACGAAUGGAUCCUGGUCUCAAAUUUUGUAGCCAUGUUUUAGCUUUAUCUUUUAAUGAAAAAGGAAAAAGCUUUAAUCGAAUGGUGUUCAUGCUACAAUUUGAGUCAUUAUAGGUAUUACAGACCUCCUCAAAUUCCCUUAAAUGCAAGUAUGGAUUUUCUAAGUCUAAGCCAUGAAAAGAUGGUAAAAGUUGAAUAAUGCCUGGCUUAAAAUUAAAAUGAGAUGCAUCAGGAGGGAAAACUAUGCAUGAGGGUGCACUUGUUCUUGUGGGAUUCAUGUGGUCUCUAAGUGUUCUCAUACGGUUAUUCUCAUUAUUCUCAUUAUGAAGUGAUUGAUUAUCUUCUUCGGCCAUAUUUUCUGAAAAUGAUGAGGAUACCCUACAAAGUCUACCACUUAAUGUACGUGACCAAACUCUCAUGCACGUGUAAGAAGAGAAUAAAAGAAGAAAAUAGAAGAAAAGAAAAAAAAACAAAAAGUUAGAUAAAAAUGAAAAAGAAAAUAAAAUUAAAUAUUAUAAUUUAUACAAGAAUUUACCUCCCCGGCAACGGCGCCAAAAACUUGACACGACCAAAAGCUUGAUGUCUUUCCCAAGUGCAGGAGUGUCGAAGUAAUAAAUAACCCGGCAAGACCGGGGUCGAACCACAGAGAGGUUAAUUGUAUAAAUUAUAAAUAACAAGAACAACAACAACAACAACAAUAAUAAUACUCAGUACGUGGCGUUGUUAUACCUGAGAAUGAUCUAAAGAUCGGGUCACAGGUUUCCAGCCUAUAUACUGACUUUAUGAAAAGAUCAAAGAUAUAUAUUAUAUAAUAUAAACAGAAUGUAAUAAUAAUAAUAAUAAUAAUAAUAAUAAUAAUAAUAAUAUAACAGAAGAUGAAGAAAUUAAUGAGAACUUUGAGAUAAAAGAUUAACGUAAGGAUUAAACAAUGAUAAAAACAAAUGUCAAGGUUAGAGGAUCCACUAAUGGUACUUCAAACAAGUAUAAUAUAAACUCUUAUUACUCAAUUGGAAACCACACAUAAAGGAGGUUCCAAUCAGAUUAUAAAUUGUUAACAUGAUUACAUUAAUUAUCUUAUUCGAAUAAAGCUAAUACUUGUAAAUGUUGGCAGGCAUUCAUGAUUAUAACUUAUGUUAACAACAAAUCAAGUUCCUUUCAUAGCUCAGGUGUCGGUUAACCAUACAGUAUGGGCUAUGAAAGUGCCAAGUAUUUGUUGUACCAAGUGUUACACAACAUAAAUCUAGAUUAACCAUUUAACAAGCAAAGUAUUAAAGUGAACAAGAUAACAAAUAUAAAACAUGUUAGUAUCCAACGUUAAGGUCCAUGUUAAGUUUAUAUUAUACUUGUUCUUACACCAUUAGUGUACCCUUUUCACCUUGACAUAAUUAACUUAGCUAGACAUAAUAAAAGAAAGAAACAUAAAUGAGCAAGACAAGAACAUAAAUGAGAAGUUAACUAGAAAGGAAAGGAAAUGAAGUGCAUAAACUUGAUAUUAAUGAAAGCAAGACAUAAGCAAUACAAAGAGAGAAAGCAAGAGCAUGAUCUUGAUCUGAACACCAAGAUGCCUCAAUACAUGGUAAGUGCCUCCUUUUAUAGGCCAAAAUUUGGAACUAUUGAUUUGUUGACUAAUUGAUGAGUGGGUGGCCACAUCUUGACUAGAUAACAAUCCUUAUCUUCUUGUCUGAUCAAGACGUCAUUGCUAACAUCAUAAUUUGCCCAGAAUCCUCAAGAAUGUUCUAGGAAAUUGUCUCAGCUUUCCAACAAAAAAAAGAUGAGGUCAUUUGGACUUCUAGAACUCAAGAUAUGGGCUGAACACUAAAUAGUGUUUGGGCUGCAGGACAGCUUCGGACUUCUUCGUUGUUCCUUCAAUUUGGACUUCAAAACGACCUUUUCAAAUCUUGGGCUCCUCAUGAAAGUUGUAGGCUUUGUCUUACCUUUCCAUCCAUAUAAAAUGGACCUAAAUCCGAGAUCUAGAGCUCCAGAUAUGAUCCAAUUACCGAGCAAUGUUCCGGUUUGGACUGCACCGACAUCUCUUUUCUAAGUUUGGCCAUCUCUUUGUCCUUUCACUUUCAAUACUUAAACUCAUCAAUCAAUCCUUUUAUUUAUGUGAUAGGUCUGCAUAUAAGAUGAGCAUUUACCAUAAAUUAAGGUAUCUUAUAGUAUCAAACUUGUUCUUAUAAAACAUGCUUUAGUUAAGGAGUUAUUGAUACUUCAAGUGCAAAAUGAUGAUAUAAAACCUUGAUAAACAUGCACUUUUAAGUACUAAUCACUCCUCCCCCAGCGGCGGCCGGACAGAAGCAAGCCACCGCCUCCCAGUUUCUCCACCCGACCCCGAGGCAUACACAACAACUUCCAAAAGACAGGGACAAAGCAUAAAUAAAAACAUAUCUAAAAAAUGAAGAACUUGAGAAUAGAUCAAGGAAGGAGAAAGAAAUUAAAAUCGACUGGCUUGUGUUUUUUCUCCUUUCGCAGGUGAUCGUGAUUCUCACCGCCGGUGAGGAAAAGAAGAGGGGAAGAAGUCGAUCCAGCCCCCCCUGUUUCUGGGUUUUCUUGUGGCGGCACGUGAACCCAUGCGUUGCCAGUGGCGGUGGAGCGUGGGUAGACACGCCGCCACUGUUGCUGCUGUGGCAGAAGGUCUUCAAUGCAAUUUCUAGAGUUUUAGGGACUAUUUUGUAAAUUUUAAAUUGCUUGAUGUAAUUUUUUUGUUUAGUUUUGAAUUUUUUAUUUGUAUAAUGUAAAUGUGGAUGUAACAAAAAAAAAGGAAAAAGAAAAGAAAAGAAACAAAAAUAUAGUGAAAGCGUAUGUGUGUGUUUGUAUUUGUUUUAUUUUAUAUAUAUAUAUAUAUAUUAUGAUAAAAUUGUAAGGAUUAAAGAAGAAUUUAAUAUUUUGAUUGGAUCACGGUCAAGAAUUAUUAACUUAUACGUAAGUUGUAUUUCUAGUAUCUGAUAAAAAGACAAUUGAUUAAAACUUCUUUAACACAUCAAAAUCACGAAGUAGCUAACCUCAGGUAGGGUGCGUUAAAGGUGCUAAUACCUUCCCUAACCACAACCAGUCCCUUACCCGUGAAUCUCUGACAAGACCAGUACAUCCGGUUUCCUAGUAGCCCGCAAUCAAUUACUAGGUGGCGACUCCAACGAACCAAUUCAAGCAAACCAUACAACGAGAAAAAUCGUCAGCCGAUGCCGCGUGGAUUUUCCGACGUGCGAUAAGACUAUUGGUCAGGGUUCAGAUGCGUGAAACACCCAACUCAUAUCUGAGUGCCUGCUUGGUAAUGGUGGGUAUACGUGCCUUAACUAUGCCAUGCAACGCCCCAUACUGCAUUUACGAAGAACGUCACUAGGCAGAUAUGAGACCUUUUUGAGACCAGAUAGAAAACCUACCCAUGUUCACAUAAUGAAUAAAACAUAUACUUAGGUUGUAUGUGCUAUCAUUAUUUGCAUAAGGGAAAACCCUUCUUGAAGCAUCUUGAACUCAAGACUUGUGGGUGACACAAUGGUCAUCACUCCGAAAAUUUUCAUUGUAGAGUUUGGGCAAAAAUCACGAUUCUUGUUCCAUCAUAUAAGAGGUACGACCAUAUUGUCACCCCUCGAAGGGCGAGUUCAUCAUAUAGAUUACAUGUUCAUACAUUUAUCAUGCAUGUACCGCAUGUACCGGGUUGAAAGGUAGGUCCCUUGUACAAGCUGUGUUGUACGUGAUUGAAGAAAGAUGAAGGAAGUGAACAAAUGAGUCAGAUAGAGGCUCAUUAUCAUAUUAAGGUUGAGAGCAUCAAAGGUGAAGUAGCUAGACUCAGAUCUACUCGAACAAGUGUUGAGCAUCAAAUGGAAAGAGAAUGUCUGCAUAGUCUUUUGUGGGAACACUGCUUGUUCACGUCCAACUGAAGUUGUACCUCUCCUUUUCAGUCAUGAACAACAGCAACAAUGCCUUCAUUCAUCAACUAAUGACAACUCUGGUUUUUGUCUAGUUGCAAUGUUAAGUGUUCAUCGCCUCCACAUCAUCUAAUGGAACCAAACGACUACUAGUCUCUUGUACAUGGUGCAUUAGGCUUCUUUGAAGUUACCCCAAUUAUGAGCUCAAUUCCAUUUUAGCAGCACAAGAUGUUGGUCUGAAAAACCAUGAUUAAACACUGAACUUCUACGUGGUAGAGCUCUCUUUGUAGAGAUUUAUUUGUGGAUCUGCCAAUGAGAAAUGCAAAAGGAGGAUGUAUUAAUUACUUAUGCUUUGAAACUUUUUCCCACCAGUGGCACGAGCAAAACAUUGUAGUAGGAAGAGGAGUCAGGCCUGGUCUAAGAAUAUGAGUAGUUGUCGAACUUCAACGUGGCUGAGCUCUCUCUACAAAAAUCUGUUUAUGAUGCCGCAAGUUGAGAGUGCAAGAGGGGAUUUACUAAUUGCAUAUGCUACAAAUAUUUCUCUCAUCAGUUUUAGCACGAAGACACUGUAGCAGGUUAAAGAUGCUAGACUUGGUUUGAAAAACAUGAGCAGACAUCAAACUUCAACAUAAUAGAGAUCUCUCUACAGGAAUCUGUUUGUGGAUAUGCAUGUGGGAAAUCCAAGAAGGGAUGCAGUGGCUUCAGAUUGUCCAUAAUUGUUUCCUUCCAGUAUCGACAUUAAAAUGCAAAAGUGGUGGUUUGCUACACUGUCAGUGAGGAAUCAAAGAGGAAAUAAAAGAGUUAAGAUUCAUUAGGUUCUCUUCCAGUUUUGACAACAUGGGAGUCCACACGCUUUUUUUUUAUGCGCUGCCAAGAUUUACCUAGCUAUCAGGGGGUUUCCAACAAUCCUAAAACAACAACAUUGGAAGAUUGACAUGAUGUUGUGAGGAUUGUUGAGGGAAUUGAACAAGUUAUGAAGAGGGGAAAGAUUGAAGGUUCUGCCAAGGAUUCCAGAACAAUGAUGAGAGAUGAAUCAAAAGAAGAGUCUGACGGUGGGAAACCUUAAUUAUGUGGUCUAGCCAAAGUCUCGAUGUAUCCUUGACUACUCCAAUGUCUUUGCCAAAGAUAGACGUUCAUUUGCCAUGUGGUAUAAUCUAGACAAUAGAUGUGAUGUGAUGGUGGGGUCCUCGACCAUUUCAAUGGAAUAGUUGCAAGAAUUUCAAUUGAACAGUUUUCAUGUGAGUUUAUUUACCAGCAACUGCCAGAUUCCAGACUUUUACUUGACUUCGACAAAUCCCAUGCAACCACCAUUUUCUAGGUGGUAUAAUCCAUACAAGAGAUGUGAUGUCAUGGUAGGGUCCUCAACCAUUUCAAUUCAACAGUUCAAGAAUUUCAAGAAGCGAGUCCUGAAGUUGGAGAGCAAGAAACAAGUAGAGUUUGUGAAGGAGGGUGUCAUUGGCUAUAUUGUCCCUCGAAAUCUUCAGAAUGACAUGUGAUCAAAGGUGCUUGGCAAAACGCAAAUAUUUCCAGAAAAGCUGAUUCAAGAAUGGUGAUGAAAUGUCAAUCAUAUUAUUACGGAAUUCUGCAUUUUAUUUUGGGAUCACAUCUCAUCCUUUACCGAAACAUGUCUUGCUUUUGUCUCUUUGUUGUUUUGAAAUCAACAUAGGUUUAACAUUUUAUUCUGACAAAAUAUUUUGAUCAAACUCCAACAUGCGAUACAUGUUAAUCAGUCCUAAAGAUUAAAAGUGUUUUGAUUACAGAAAUGACUUGAUGCUUGUUGAAAUGACAUGAGGUCACCAAACAAAUUUUGAGCUCACAUACAAAAUUGAACCACACAUCAUAUAGCUAAGUUUUAUCAGUAUGCAUAAUGACAUGUAUUGGAUUCGGUAGUUAUGGACUCGUGAAUCAUGAUUCUUACAAGUCCAAAUCAUUACAAUGGAUGGGGUCAAAAUUUAUGAGUUCUAACCGACCUUGCUUGAAAUGAGAAAAGGACAUCUUUGAUAUCCCUUCACUUUCUAAAAAUUAUAUCCCUUGUAGUCCCAUUUUGAGCUGGAUAGAAUAUUUUUUUCAUAAAAACCCUGACUAGGAUCACACCCCACACUGGGGGCAAAUGAGAGAUAUUUUGAAGGCAUUAAUAUAAUUAACGGAUAAAGGGGAAGGCUUAGAACAAAAGUCCAAUGAUUGAGAGAGGGCUAAAAGAAAACACAUAGACUGGGGGCAUAUAAGAAAAUUUUGAGGAAGGCUAUAAGUUGAAAUUGCCUUCACUUAAAGACAAGUUAAAGAUAAAGGAAGGAGAACGCCUAUCAAGUCUAUGAAAAGCAAAAGAAAUUUCAAUCAAUACCAAAAAAAAAAAACUAAGCUAUAAACUUGACUUUUGGUAUCUAUUAUAAAGCCUUUGAUGUUAUCAGAUGAUUAAGGUUGGUUAUUCAUCAUCGAAAUAUGGAUUUGCAUUAUGACUUAUGUUAAUAGAAGUCUGAUCUUUGAGGUUAACAAGGUUCUAUGUCGUUUCCUCUACAAAGACAACAAUAGAAAACGAGUUGAUGAAUAAUUGAUGUUGAUCCUAGGUUUUUGAAACCCUCAAACACCUUUUGAGCCUUUGAAAUUCUUUUCUUUCAUAGCCAUGAACCAUAGCAUGCAUUACGUGCUUUUAAAAGCCUUUUUUAAUCAAGCAAGCAACUUGAACUGAUAAAUAGCGCUCUCAAAACUUGAAGAGCUUUUUCCAUAAGGGUCGUGACUUCAUGAAUUAAGCUACUGGUUAUGAUGCAUGCUGAUAAAAUAAAUAAUGAGAAAAGAAACAACCUUUCUUGAUCAAGCCUGAGCAUCUAGUCAUUUGAAAUUCACAAAAAUAUCACCUCAUCACAAACCAUAAAAAAAGAUAUACCCAAAAUCAGAGUUUAAAGUGGACAGAAAGAACCAUGGGAAAGACCAUUUUAAUCUUACAACGAGUCGAUUUCUAUUUUCAAAAUACAAGACAAUCAAAGGACUACAUUGAAUGACGUGUGUUGGGUCUUUGACCAAAGAAGCUUGAAUUUAAAAAAUACUUUUCAAAAACUGAUAUCUCUCUGAUUUCAUUUCAACAAUUAGACUUGAAUAGACAUGACCUUUGAAGUAUGAGAUUUGAUUCUAGAACAAGAAAGAUUGUCAAACAAAGAAAAACACUCAUUGAGUUUGCGGAAUCCUUGACAUGAAAUGACAUCAACUCUUCUCAAAACUCCUUGAAAGGUUCACCACCUGGGGGCAAUUCAGUGGACCUUAAGAAGGAAAACAUACAGUAUAGGAAAGUUAUGUUUAGUAUCUCACAAUGACAAAGGAAAACCUUCUUGAGUAUAAACUGAUGAACGAGCAUUCAUAUCAUUGCUAGGGCCAAUGUUGUUCAAUGACAAUCCAAGCAGCCAUUGAUGUUAUCGCAUAGUUGCGUUUGAAUGAAUGUCAGAAGGAUGCACCCAUUAAAACUGACUGUGGUACCAUCUGUUUUGAAACCCAAAGGUGCACUUCACCGCAUGAAUAUGGGUGAUGAACAUCAUUGAUAAUGCCAAAUCAUUUCUUUGUAUAAGCUGAUUUGACAAGCUCAGAAGAACUUAUUGAGAAAGAACAUUAAGCAUACAACGAUGAGGCUUUCACUACAAGCUGUGAGAUCCAUGUCUGGAUGAUUUGGUAGUUUCUGAGAAGGUUGAUGAUAACAUAUACUUGAAAAGUAUUGUUUUGACUGGAGGCAGUUUCAGACUGGUUAACAAUCUUGAUAGGUGUUGGCAUGAUGCACACAACCAAUCAGAGGAUAAUUCUCAGAAGAAUCCAAGAGAGAACAUCCUUCAUAAUGAAUCAAGCAACACCACACUUGGGGGUAUUGUCAAGCUUGAUGAACAACAAGAGCAGUAAUCGUCAAAGACAUCCUAAGAUAGGCAUUGUAUUUACAACUGAAUAAUGGCCAGCACAUGAAUGAGCCAAUACAUCGAAAGAACAAGGAAAGCUUUGGAAUGCAAACAAAGGCACUUUAUGACGAUGGAGCAUCAAAGAGGGGGGACCUAUAUUUCAAAUCAGGUAAGGAUGCAUGCAUAUCAUCUAACCUAAAAAAAAAACAUUUGCAUAUAUUUUUGAAUUGUUACAGGAAAAUCCUUAAUGAGGUCCAGCAAGAUGGUGGAAAAAGAAAGAAGCAUUGUGGUGAUGAUAAUAAAGAAUCAGUUUUGAUCAUGGAAUAAAAGGACGAUGGGAUGAACCCUACCAUUAGGAAAAUCCUAAAGAAAUGAAAAGAUCAACCUUGCAAUCGGGAAGCCUCGACUUUUCAACCCUUGCAGUCAGGAAACACCGAGUUUUCAAACCCUAUGAUCGGGAAUUAUCAGGUAGCACCAAGUUUUCCAGCCCUUCUUCUGUCAUCCACUCAAGACUUCGCCAGGUAAGUCCUAUUUUUCACACUUGUCAUAUCACAUCUUCCACUUGGGUUGGUCACCCCUUUACAAUGAGACCACACUUCAUAUUGUUUCCAUCUAGGUAGGUCACCCAUAACAAUGAGACCGCACUUCUUCAUAUUUUUUCCAUCUGGGUAGGUCACCCAUUAUAAUGAGACCACACUUCAUAUUUUUUCCAUUUUGGGUAGGUCACCCAUUACAAUGAGACCGCACUUCACAUAUUUCCAUUUAGGUAGGUCACCCAUCACAACGAGACUGCUUUUCAUAUUCUUUCCACAUGGGUAGGUCACCCAUUAUAAUGAGACCACACUUCAUAUUCUUUCCACCUGGGUAGGUCACCCAUCACAACGAGACCGCUUUUCAUAUUCUUUCCACAUGGGUAGGUCACCCAUUAUAAUGAGACCACACUUCAUAUUCUUUCCACUUGGGUAGGUCACCCAUUACAAUGAGACCAUUUUUUUUUUACACAUUCUUUUGUUUUGGUUAAAUGAGGUCGCCAGAUGGGAUCUCAUGUAGCUUUGGUUAAAGGGAAUCGCCAGAUUGGAUUUCAGGUUGACCGAGCUACACAUAUUUUUUAGUUCCAGUUGAAUGAGGUCGCCAGAUGGGAUCUCAUGUAGCUUUGGUUAAAGGGAAUCGCUAGAUGGGAUUUCAGGUUAACCGAGCUAUACACAGUUUUUAGUUCCAGUAAUGAGGUCGUCAGAUGGGAUCUCAUGUAGCUUUGGUUAAAGGGAAUCGCCAGAUGGGAUUUUAGGUAACCGAGCUACACACAGUUUUUAGUUCCAGUAAUGACGUCGCCAGAUGUGAUCUCAUGUAGCUUUGGUUAAAGGGAAUCGCCAGAUUGGAUUUCAGGUUGACCGAGCUACACAUAUUUUUUAGUUCCAAUUGAAUGAGGUCGCUAGAUGGGAUUUUAGGUAACCGAGCUACACAUAGUUUUUAGUUCCAGUAAUGAGGUCGCCAGAUGGGAUCUCAUGUAGCUUUGGUUAAAGGGAAUCGCCAGAUUGGAUUUCAGGUUGACCGAGCUACACAUAUUUUUUAGUUCCAAUUGAAUGAGGUCGCUAGAUGGGAUCUCAUGUAGCUUUGGUUAAAGGGAAUCGCCAGAUGGGAUUUCAGGUUAACCGAGCUACACACUGUUUUUAGUUCCAGUAAUGAGGUCGCUAGAUGGGAUCUCAUGUAGCUUUCGUUAAAGGGAAUUGCCAAAUGGGAUUUCAGGUUAACCGAGGUACACAUAUUUUCGUUCCAAUUAAAUGAGGUCACUAGAUGGGAUCUCAUGUAGCUUUAGUUAAAGGGAAUCACCAGAUGGGAUUUCAAGUUGACCGAGCUACACACAGUUUGUAGUUCCAGUAAUGAGAUUGCCAGAUGGGAUCUCAUGUAGCUUUAGUUAAAGGGAAUCGCCAGAUGGGAUUUCAGGUUAACUGAGUUACACAUAUUUUUUUCUCAUGUAGCUUUGGUUAAAGGGAAUCGCCAUAUGGGAUUUCAAGUUAACCGAGUUACACAUAUUUUUUUGUUGUUUUUUGGUUUAAUGAGGUCGCCAGAUGGGAUCUCAGGUUAAUGAAAAAAAAAGAGAGAGAAAGAGAGAAAGACAAGAAAAAAAAAAUAAGGUCUUUAAAUAAGUGGAUAUUGAGCAAGUUAGGAAGAUAAGAAGACAAUUUUUUCUUUACAAAGCUUACUAUGCAAAACAUUGAGGAGUUUUGCUUCGUAAGCAUUGUAAAGAGGGGGCAUUUGUUGCUACCCAAUUUUGACCCAUGUUUUGAUAUAUUUUCAAAAAAAAUUCAAAAAUAGAGAAAACAAUGAAAAUCCAAAAAAAUACAUUUUUUUAAUAUAUUCUCGUCAUUUUAGCAUUUUCAACGUCAUCUAAAAAAGAAUUUAAAUUUUUAAGGGUCUUUCGAACGCGUUCGACUUUUCACUCGUCAUUUUUAAAAUCAUUGAUUUUCCUCAUCGAGUUGACGUUGAUAUUGCUCGUUUUCAAAAAAUACAACAAAAUUAAGAAAGAAUCAAAUUUACAAAAACAAAGAAGUUGAGGGACCAAGUUGAAAAACAUAGCAACAUUUCACCUAUAAAUACUAGUCUUCUCAACACAAAAGAGGGGGGGCAAUUUUGACAAAUAAAAAGAGAAGAGAAACCCUAAGCAAAACUCUUCCUUCUCCUUAACCCAACUGUCGCCACCCAUCGAAGAAAUUUUUCUUCUCUGCACACAGCCCUCGGUGGUCUUCAUUUUUCAGACCCGGCUGGUCUGAUUUUUUUUCUUCUUCUCUCCUUCACCGACAGCGCCCCUCAUCUCCUUGACCGCUGCAUUUUCCCCUCUCACAAGACAACGCCCUCUUCCUCCGGUCUUCUCUACCAAAACAAACAGAAAUCCUCCCCUUUCUUGGCCAAACCAGUCGCUGCCCCCUCCCAGCUUGGAUUUGUGGGUUUAUUCUCCUUCCCCACCAGCAACGACUGCUUCCCCUUUGGUUUCCUUCCCCAGCGGCGGCCGAACAGCAGCGCCGGGGCAACACCUUUGUCACCUCCUUCAACCGGUCAGCAGCAGCGCCGCCCACAACUCGGUCUUCUCCUUUUAGACCAGCCAUCCGAACACUCCAUUUCUGAAGCUAAUAGACCUAGCCUUUUAUCCUUUAACCAGCGUGGCCGACCUCUUAGUUGCUCCUUCUCCAGCCGCCAGCUCGCCAAGACCAAAAGGAGGGCAAAUCUGCUCCCCGUGCAGCGGCGCCUUCCUCAAUGCCAGGUCUACCUAGAGGAACGAAGACCCUCAACGCCAGCAACCAGCAGAGCCAUGCCCCCCUGCGCCUCUGUCAUCCGAGCACAGAUGCCCUGAACUCCGAGCCAUCGACCACCUGUAAAUGAGGAGAUCUGCAGUUAAAAUAGAUCUGAAUGGAAGGUAGAAGGGAGCCGAUCUGAAAAUAAAAUUAAAAUAGAUUUGCUUGUUGCGUUUUUUGGGUGAUUUGCAGGUAACGACGCUGCUCAAACCUAAUUGGAGGGUGAAGAGGGAAGGAAGCCAUCACGGAUCUCCCCAUGCCCUCUGGAUUUCACGGGCGGCGUGUGAACCCACGCGCCCCCGUCACUGGCAGCGCGUGGGAAGACGUGCCACCACUGUUCCCACUGCCAGAAACCUUGCUCAACACUAUUCUGGCUUGUAGAGAGGCAUUCAUGUAAUUUCAGAUGGUUUUGAGGCCCUUAUUGUAAUUUUAAUGUAGUUUUUGUUUUUUUUGUUUUGAAUUUGUAUUUUUGUAUAAAUGUGAUGUAAAACAAAACAGAAAAGAAAAGAAAAAUAAAUAAUAAAAAGAAAGUUGUGUGUGUGUUUGUUUUUUUUUAUUUAUGUUAUUGAAUUAUAAAAAUAAAUAAGGGCAAAAAGAAUUAUUUGUUUAAUUUGAAUAUGGUUAAAUAUCUAAGGACAAAUCAAAUUAUGUUAUAUUUUCCAUGAAAGUGUAAGAACAUGUUUCUACACAUAUUCGGGGAUUUAAUAACUGAUUUAUUAAAGCCUUAGAAUUUAAUUAGUAUUUUAAAUUUUCAAAUCACAUUAGACCGCAAAGUAGCUUACCUUAGGUAGGGUGCGCUAGGGUGCUAAUACCUUCCCUAGCCACAACUAGUCCCUUACCCGUGAAUCUCUGACAAGACCAGUACAUCCGGUUUCCUAGUAGCCUUCAAUAAAUUACUAGGUGGCAACUCCUAACGAACCAAUUCAAGCGAUGCAACAACGACAAAAAUCGCCAGCCGAUGCCGCGUGCGGAUUUUCCCACGUGCGACAACUUCCAUUAUCUUUCUUCAAUCACAUGCAGCACAACGAACCUCCCUUUCAACCCGAUACAUGCAUGUAAUCUAUAUGACGAACUCGGCCUUUGAGGGGUGACAAUAUGGUUGUAACUCUUAUAUGAUGGAACAAGAAUCAUGAUUUUUGCCCAAACUUUACAAUGAAACUUUUCUGAGUGACGUUCAUUGGGUCACCCACAAGUCUUGAGUUCAAGAUGCUUCAAGAAGGGUUUGCCCUAAUGCAAAUAACAAUAGCACAUACAUCCUAAGGAUAGGUUCUACUUAUUAUGUGAACAUGGGCAAGUUUUCUACCUGGUCUCAAAAGGGUCUCAUAUCUGCCCAGUGACGUUCUUCGUAAAGACAGUAUGGGGGCAUUGCAAGGAAUGGUUAAGGCACGUAUACCCACCAUUACCAAGUAAGCACUCAGAUAUGAGUUGGGUGUUUCAUGCAUCUAAACCCUGACCAAUAGUCUUAGGGAAGAUCGCUAGUUCCCCACCUAACCUAGAAGCUUGUGUGUGCUUUCAAAAAUAAAUACAGGUGAUGCAUGAGACAAUUCUAUAAAAUGCAUGGAAAAAAAAUAUUAACAAAAAGAUAAAAAUGCAAAAAACUUCAACACAUCAAAUACGCAAAGCUUAGUCCAAUAAUGUUAGAAACAAUACCUUCCCCAGCGGAGUCGCCAUUCUAUCGCACGUCGGAAAAUCCACCUAGUUGCUUUGAUUCUGGCAGGGCUGGUGAUUUUUAUCAUUGUUGUGUUUGCUUUGAUUGGUUCGUUGGAGUCGCCACCUAGUAAUUUAUUGAAGGCUACUAGGAAACCAGGUAUGCUAGUCUUGUCAGAGAUUCCUGGAUAAGGGACUGGUUGUGGUUAGGGAAGGUAUUAGCACCCCUAACGCACCCUACCUGAGGUAAGCUGCUUCACAAAUUUGAUGCGUUAAAGAAGUUUUAAUAAUUGUCUUUUCAUCGGAUAUUAGAAAUACAACUUACGUAUAAGUUAAUACUUCUUGACUGUGAUCCAAUCAAAAUAUUAAAUUCUUUAAUCCUUGCAAUUUUAUCGUAAAAAUAUAUAUAUAUAUAAAAAUGAAAUAAAUACAAACACACACAUUCACUUUUACUAUGUUUUUUCCUUUCUUUUCUUUUCUUUUCCUUGUUACAUCCACAUUUACAAUAUACAAAUAAAAAAUUCAAAACUAAGCAAAUAUUACAUUAAAUAAUUGAAAUUACAAAAUAACCCCUAAAAAAUAGAAUCAGGAACAAUGCAGCAGCACGAGAACAGUGCUCACAGGCUUAUGAGGUAGAAAACAGUGCCGGCGUGUCUCCUCCACGCGCCCCCGCAACUAGCGGCGCGUGGAUUCACGCGCCGCUGCGAGAAUCGCCGGAAACAUAGGUUGGCCCGGCUAUAUUUCUUCUCCCUUUCCUCUCCCUACAAACUACGAGGAGCUACAUCAUCUGCAACAACAACAACAAAAAAUGCACAAAUAGUCGAUUUUAGAUUUUGGAUUUCUUCGGUUUUCAUAUAUGAUUCGUUCGGGUCUUUUGGAUCUGCUUCAUUGCAUAUCGGUCUCCGGAUGUGGACGACACUGUUUGGCUGAAGAAGGGGACCAUAGGUUUGAGGCGAUGGGGAACAGCCCUGCCCGUUCUCUAGUCGGUAGAGGCGAGGCUGUUCUGUGGCACUGCUCGUGGUCGAUUGCUCUGACCGCUGCUGCUGGAGGCCGUGGGUUUCUGGCAAAGAGGAGGAAGGCUUGUCCGGCUAAAGGUAGAAGGAAAUCAAAAGGGAGGGGUUCGGGGCUGUGUUUGGCUCUGGUUUACUUCUGGCAAAGGGAAGGGGAGAUUCUGAAAUGGUGUGGGGGAAAAACAAUCAGGUGGCCAGGGGGAAAGGAGGCUUGAGUGGCAGGCUGAGAGAGAAAAAUGGAGCUGCGGUGUCUUGGAAGGAAGAAAUCUCUGGUGAACGGCGGCUUGGAAGAAAAAAUCAAAACCAGGGGAAGGGGGGACGAAAUGGCUGCUCUGGUUUCUCUUUUGGCAGAUAGCAAGGGAGGGGGAGAUGGUGGAAGGCUGGAGGUUUCGGGCAGCUGUUGUGGGGAAGGAAAAAAUCAAAAGCCCUGUAGGGGGCCGGCCUAUCUUGGCUUCAGGAGAAGAAGACUCGGGGAGAAAAAUUCAAAACCAGCCGGGGGAAGGGGGGCGACAAGCUUGGUAGAGAUAGGUUUAGGGUUAGGUUCUUUUUUUGUAUUUUUCUGAUGUUUCCCAAAUUAACCCCCCCUUAAGUGUGUGUUGAAGGCUGCUAUUUAUAGGCAAAAUGUUGCUUGUGCCUCAAAAGUGGUCCCUCAAUUUCUUUCUUUUUGUAAAAUUUGAUUUUUCUUAAUUUUUUUGUAUUUUUUGAAAACGAGCAAUAUCAACGUCGACUCGAUGAGAAAAAUCAAUGGUUUUAAAAAUGACGCGUGAAAAGUCAAACGCGUUCGAAAGAUCCUUAAAAAUUUAAAUUCUUUUUUUAGACGAUGAAAUGCUAAAAUGACAAAAAUAUAUUAAAAAACAUAUUUUUUUGGAUUUUCGUUGUUUUUCUCUAUUUUUGAUUUUUUCUGAAAAUUUAUCAAAACAUGGGUCAAAAAUUGGGUAGCAACAGUGGUCAUGUUGUAAUGGGUGACCUACCUAUGUGAAAUAAUGGUUUUAUUAUAAUGGGUGACCUACCCAGCUAAAAAACAUGGAGAAUUGGUCACGUUGUAAUGGGUGACCUACCCAGAAAUGGGAAAAAGAAAGAGUGGUCGUGUUGUAAUGGGUGACCUACCCAAAUGGAGGAAUGGUCUCAUUGUAAUGGGUGACCUACCCAAAUAAAAAAACAUGAAGAAUGGUCGAGUUGUAAUGGGUGACCUAUCCAUAAAUGGAAAAAAGGGAGUGGUCUUGUUUUAAUGGGUGACCUACCCAAAUGGAGGAAUGGUCUCAUUGUAAUGGGUGACCUACCCAAAUAAAAAAAACAUGAAGAAUGGUCGAGUUGUAAUGGGUAACCUACCCAGAAAUGGAAAAAAGGAAGAGUGGUCAUGUUGUAAUGGGUGACCUACCCAAAUAGAGGAAUGGUCUCAUUGUAAUGGGUGACCUACCCAAAUAAAAAAAAAACAUGGAGAAUGGUCGAGUUGUAAUGGGUGACCUACCCAAAUAAAAAAAAACAUGGAGAAUGGUCGAGUUGUAAUGGGUGACCUACCCAAAAAAUAUGGCGAGGGCCCAAAGGCGCACUCGAAAGGAGGUAGGAUUAUAAAAUGCACUACCUGGGGAAGUGAGGGCUCAAAGACGCACUCAAAAAAAGAAAGAGGUAGGGUUAGAAAACGCACUACCUGAGAAGUGAAGGCUCAAAGGCGCACUCGAAAUGUGGUGUAACAUUGAUCUGUUAAUGAUGAAAGUAAUGCAUUAUGAUUGAUAUGCAUGUAUACUUAUCUAAGAAAUAUAGGUCCCCAUUUCUUCAUGGUGUCUUUCCUUUCUCAAAAGGUGGAGUGUUGGCAGUAAACUUUGAUGGCUUUUUCUCUCUUGCUUACUUGAGUCAUCUUUUGUGAUCUUGACCUCUGGGAAGGGCUUGAUAUCAUCAUACUUCUUUGUCCCCCAUCAUUUAUCUCAAGGGUUGCCAAUUUUGCCCGACAUUGUUUUCUAGAAAGGGAAUCAUGGAGCCAGCCCUACCAUGUUUUAUUUAUUUAUUCCCCCCCAACUUGAUCAUGCCCCCAAGUAUUCAAAUGGUGUUUUCUUUAGGGAUGAGGCUAUAUGAAAAAAAGGGUUUGACAAAGAAUUGUUUUCAUGCAGAAUUUUUGGAAUUUCAAAGCUAUUCCAGACACAAAAAUCAUUUUAACAUCGAUUCAAAGCAAACUUAUUUUGAUGAAAUUCAAGUGAUUCCUAUGGAGAGGUUUUCAGAAGUGAUGAAAACUUUUUGUUUGCUUUUGGUGAAAAAUAUGAAGUGACAUCUGGUUUGUCAAAAAAAAGGUAUAAAUUUCAAUUUGAGGGUUAUUGAGAACCGAUGUUCAAAGCAUUCAUUUUAUUUGAAUGAAUAAUGACUUGGUUCGCAUGAGAAAGCACUGCCUACAUGAUCCAGAUUGUUUGCCUUUGAUCAGAAAGGGCUUGAUUAGGCACGUAAUGUAGGCUUGGGCUAUUGGUUAUGAAGAAAAAGGAUAUUUGCAAGCUCAAAAGGUGUUUUAGGGAUUUCAAAACUAAGGAUCACUUGUGCUUGUUUCUUGACCUUUUUGUCAUUUGAAUGUCUUUCCAAAAUUGUCCAUCGUGCCCCCCAGUGUUGGGCUUGGGUUUUUCAUUCAUUUUUUUCUUCACUUGGUUGAGCAUCAUCAUAUCAGUUAUUUUUGCGAGAAGCUCAAUUCUUUUAUAUCUUUUGGAUUUUUUUUUCAUGCCCCCUAGUUUUGUUUGGGCGUCUUUGAUCAUUUCAAUGCCCCCUAGUGUUAUUUGAGGCACUUUUUAGUAUUGAGGGUUUUGGUAUAUCUCUUGCACUUGCCCCCAGUGUAGGGUGUGAUCAUAGCCAAGGUUAUUUUCAAAAACUUUACUAGGCUCAAAAGGGACUGCAAAUGAUAUAUUUUUAGCUUCGUAAAAUGAUUAUCAAAGAUGGACUUUCUUCAUCUCAAAUGCAUACAUUUAAGAUCGGUAAGCCUUGCUUUCAUGCGAGUAUGCAAAGUGAUUUCUCAUUAUUCAUUCAAAUAAAACUCAGCCUUAGAGUCACUUCAUGGUGUUUUUUUUUUUUUAGUUUGAGUUUUCUCGAAGUAUGGUUACCUUUCUAAGGAAUCACUUGAAUUUCCAGAACUUGUUUGUUUGAACAAACACUAAAAUGAGUUUUGUUUUUUGUACUACACUUUAAAUUCCAGAAAAUUCUUUGGAAGAAAAGGGAAACACACUAAAGGAUUCUUGGUGCAAUGGUUUUGUGAGUAAAUAUUGUGCUCAAAGUGUUAUUUUCAUGAAACAACAAAAAUGAAGACAUGUCAUGAACACAAGAAAACACUUGAUCUUAUUAACAAGAAGGCUCUUUUGACAAAGAAAGUCUUGUUGUAUUAUAAGCCAAGUUACCAACAAGACUGAAACAAGUUAAAACAGAUAUGAUCAAACAAAAGGAAAUAAUAGGGUCGGCUUCAUUCUUCCAAUUUGGUAAAUCUUCUCUUAGGCUAGCCUCCCCACGACGGCUCUUGUAGAUGUCUCCUUGACGACAAGGACGAAAGAACUGUGCUCAAAAUUUAAGUCCUUUAAAAUUUAUAUUGUCUUUUUCGCACCAUACCUUGACCAUCGGUGUUUUCUGAGCAUUCUGCCUCUAGUGCUUUUACUGAUCCACCUCUUCAAACAUGAUUAGGUUGAGGGUUCGUGUUCACAUUAGGAGCGUCUUCCAACUCUAUCCACCCUGCCUUUAUUAAUUGCAAAAUUUUUCUCUUGAAGGCGUUGCAAGUAUGGAUACUAUGUCCAAUGACACCAGCAUGGUAUUCGCAAGUGAGAUACCAGUUAGGGUAAGGUGGCUGUACAAGCGUCAGAGGUUCAGGAGCUACCUGCCCAAUGCUUAAUAGCUUAUGGCACAUCUCAUUCAAAGGUAGCAAUAAUGGAAGUAGGUGUUCUUGGACCCUUUGGUAAUUUCUAAUUUGGCUUUUGGAUUGAAUUUUUUCGGGACAACCACAUUUAGGACCAGACACAUUUCUGCUGCCUGUAUUGGAUCAUAUAAGUCUACCCCUUCAAUGACUUUGAUUCUGGCUUCUAGCGCCGCUAUCUUUUCUUGAUCAAGGCUAUCAGAUGACUUGGCCUGGUGGGACUCGUUAGCAAAUGCAUCCAUGACUGUCAGGGCUGGUGCAGGUGUCGUUGACUGCACAAAUGCUGGAUUAUGUUGAGGCUCUUGACCAUGUUCACUCAUUCUUUCUUCAGGCUAAGCUGUUAUUGGAGUCUGAUUAAAGGUGAUUGGUCGAUUAGAAGGACCUUCACCAAAGGCAUUUCUCAGUGUUUGCUCGAGUAAGCUAGUAAGGCGAGCCACGCUUGUCUUUAGAGACUCCAACUCUUCUUGAAAAUGGGCAUCACGGUGAGCGCGUUCUUCAUCUUCCAUGUUUCUCGCUCGAAGUCGGGUGUUGUAGACUCUUUGGGGACCUAUAUUUCAACCUGAUGCAUGUAUGUAUGUUAUUUACAAUGAAUGGGUGUAUAUGUAUGAUGCAAAUGUAUGUACAUGCGUAUUAGGGAGUUCAUACUCUAAGGAUAGGUAUGGGCCAUUACAUGAUGGGUGGUUUUCUACCUGGUCUCAAAAUGCUCUUGUUGUCCCAGUGAUCGCCCUCGUGAAGGCAAUAUGGGGGCUUAGUAGAUAAUGGAAUGGCACGUGCACCAAUCAUUACCAGUCUAAGCUCUCAGCGAAGAGUUGAGGUUUACACAAACUUAAACCUUGACUAAAAGUCGUAAGGUAAGCUGCUAGUCCCUCACCUAACUUAAAGUUUCUCGGUAUAAAUUCCCUUAAAAUGUGAAUGAUGCAUGAAGCAAGUUUACAAUGCAAACAAAUUUGUAUAAAAUUAAAGUGUAUGAGGAAAUGAAUAACACCCAAACCAAACAAUAAAACAUGAUAAUCAGAAAAAAACAAAGCUUAGUUCACAAGGUUCCCAGUGGAGUCGCCAUUCUGUCGCACGUGUGCGGCGUCGCGGCGAUCGUCCUCCACACUCAAAUGACAUGUUUCUGGAAAAUAUGGGGAGACAAGGAAUUCUUGUCUCUUAUCAGUGUAAAAAAUGAAAUGGGAGUCGCCACCUACUAUUAUGGUCACUAGGAACCCUAACUGGUUUCAGAGAUCGGGUACGGAGACUGGUUGCGUAAAGGGAAGGUAUUAGCACCCCAAAUACGCCCUACCUAUGGUAAACUGCAUUAUUUUAUUUGUCUGAUCAAAAUCUAAGGUUUGGUCGUGUUUCCUAAUUGUUGGUCCUAUCUAUCUAAGAUUCAAGAAAAGCCCUCCUCAAUAAAGAGGUUCUUAUCUUACUAGGGUAGAACCUACCGUUUUAACGUUGAAAAAAAAAAAAUUUAAUAUCCGAAAUACAUAUUACAUGUAAUAUCGUAUCCUGGAUACUAAAGGACAAACGAAAUAAAUUUUUUGUUGUUUUUGAAAUUUUAGUCAAUGUUCUCUUAACUUUAAUAAACUGAUUAUUAAAGCCAAAAUGCAUGCUUAAACAUUGUUUUUUGGUGUAUAAAAAAACAUUAUGAUUUUUUAGCUUUGAGACACUUGGCCGUAUGCAAAAAAAAAAAUUUCUUUUUUUUUCAAAGUUUUUUUUGUAUUUUGAAAGUUUUGACGAAAACUGGGUAUUUUAAUAUUGAAUUUUGUAUUUUUAGCAACAUAAAAAUAUUGCUUGCUAUUAAUCAAAAUCACAUAAAAAAUACACGAGAAAAAUCUAAAAUUCCAAAAAAUAUUUUUGAAUUUUCUUUUUUUUAAAAAAACUAGGCCGGACUUGGCCCAACCAUUCUGGGUUGGGCCUGACCUGGCCCCUAUAUUGUGGGCUGGACUUAGCCCAGCCGCGUGGGCUGGGCUGAUGAUCCAACCCAUGAAAAAUAAUUAGCUGGUUACUGUGUUCAUGCACAGUAACCAGUUAACUAUUUUGCUUGCUUGCUUGCAUAAACGUGCACAGUGCACGUUCUGCAUGCAAGCAAAGAAACGACGAAAAAAGAAAAAUGAGGGGAGGGUGUUACCUGCAACAUAAGACUUUGGGUAGAUGAGCUGGCGGUGGAGAGGUGACAGUGGUGGCAGACAGUGGCUGAAGCGGCGGUCUUUCUUCUUCACCCCCCUGCUUCGCUGUGCUGUUCUCUGUUUUUCGUUCUCUCUGUCAACAAGGUUUCUUCCUUCUCUGCAGUGGAUGUGUGGCCUCCCUCCUGUUCGCAGUGGAUCACAAUGGUGGGGGAGAGGCACGGCGGCAGCUGCGGCGAUUUUUUUCUUCUUCCCCGUGUGUUGCCUCUAUCAACAACGUCUUCUUCUCUCUGUUUUAUUCCUUCUCCCACUCUCUGGCUCUGCCGGCGUUGGCAGCACUGAUGGUGGUGGAAUGGAGGUGCUGGAUGGUGGUAGCCAAAGGCCACGGUGAAGGGAGAGGAGCAGCUGCUGGGAACCCGGGUGGUGAGGAACGGUCCUUCUUCUCCUCGAUCUGUGUGGUGACCUUACAAUCUGUUCUUCUCUUUUUCUGAAAGUUUUCCCCCUCUGUUUUGUUCUUUUGGCUUCAGUUUUUCUGUUCCUUCACUCUGCUCGGUCUCCCCUCUCAAACCGUCCUCUCUCGCUCCUUUUCUCUGUUUCUUUUAACUCACAAAACCUCCUUGUUGUUUUGUUCUCUCUUCUAUUUUCUAUUCCUCCCUCCUUCUCUGUCUUUCGCUCAUUUUCUUCUGUUUUGCCCGAGCUUCACCCCCCUCCCCCCCUUUUCUUCUUCAUUUCCCCUGUAUUUAUAGGCAGCCGGGGGAGAGGAUCACCUUACCCCUGCCAUGGCGUAGGGUAAGGUGGGUGAUGGGAGCUGCUGGCAGGGCAUGGUUUCCGUCUCAUUUUUCUUCCAUAAUACUUGCAGGGUAUGGUUGUGUGGGUGUCCCAGUAAAUUCUUUAAAAUCAUAAGAGCUUCAUAUUUUAAAUUCAAGGAAAUGUCAAAUAAAUUCUGUUUGUUAAGAAACAAUUCCAAGCCACAACAAGCAUUUCAAGGAAUAAGCAUUUCCAUAAAGCACUCACCUCUUAGAGAGCACUUGAUCACAGAUUGGACAGGCUGCAUCAUUAUUAAGGAUCUUGUUUGCAUCUUCAGUUCCUGUUUAUUCUGUUAAGGGACAAUAUGCGAAAGCAACAGUAAUCCAGAAAGCAUAGAACUAAAAAAGCUUAAUCAUAAUCUUUAUCUUGGAUACAUAAGAGGUGACCACAAGUAGUAGAAACAGCACGCCCUUCCAACUCUCGCCAGCAUGAAUUGCAUCUCAUUUUCACCUUCAUACUAUAAGACUUUUAUCCAAAUAUUAUCCACUCAUCUGAACCUAAUAAAAGGAGUUUCAUAGCAUUAGCAUUAGCUACAACAUCACAUGCAGACACAUAGAUUCAAACUAAUCUGCAUCACUGUUACAUGCAGCCACAUGGUUUUAAAAAUUGAAGUUUUGGAUGACACUGGCGAAAAUCAUCAGCUGUAAAUACUGAAAAUAUAUUGAAUUUUUUAGUCCCAGUAAAUUCUUGAAAAUCAUAGAGCUUCAUAUUUUGUAAAAUAAAGAGUGAUAUUGAUCAUGCACAGAAAAAUAGAAAAUGGAGAUUUUAUACAGAGCGAUAUCGAUCAUGAAGAAUGACAAUCCACGCAACUUCUUUCACAACAUUCGUUUUUUUUUUUUUUUUUACGAAAUUGGCCCAUCUUUAUGUAGUCAUUUAUUUUCUCAACAUCAAAAUGUGAUCUGCGAAUUCACUACAAUCCCUUUCCAUUAUGCACGGUCAAAACAGAAUUUGUGCAAAUAUUUAUAUUUUUUUUACAAAAGUAUUCCUCAUAAGAUAAAACGACUGUCACAAUCUCAAAAGAAUUGCUAAAAUUUUGUCAAAUAUACAGCUGCAAAGUGCCAAUCCUCAUCACUGAGUAUCAAAUUACAAAGAUUUUCUAGUGUCUAAAUAUUGAUCAAGGUAGCGGUUACUCAGUAAUCAAGAAAAAUUAGUCAAGGUCAUGAAAAUGACCAGAGUACCCUCAGUUUGGUACUAAGCCAAAAAGUCCACGCAGACACAAAAUUUGCAUGAAAACCACCAAUUUUCUCGAGUUCCAAAAGUGAAAUCUUAUUAUUCAAAUUCCUGAAACUCCUUUCCAAUUCUCAAAUUUUCUCAGCAUCCAAACGGAAAACGAGAAAAAAGAAGACGCAUAAACAAAGCUUGUAAAAAAGAAGACGCGUAAACAAACGGAAUCGACUUGAUAAAUUUUCCUGAAAAUUACACUCCUCCGCGUUCUCCUUAAUGAAAAUCACAAAUCAACGCCUAAAAUCGUAAAUACACUACAGAUUAUAAACAUAAAUAAAUCAUAUGGAGAUCUAAAACGCGAGCAGAGUGACUAUUUGAAAUUGAUAAGUAGCAGCAAUUGCUAAUGUGAAAUCAAAUUUAUACGUUACUUCGGAAACAGUGAAAUGUGAUUUGAAGAGACACGAAUCCCUAACCUGAAAGAGUUCUGGCUCGAAACGUUUCUUCUCUUCUCUUCUUUCUUGGCUUGUGGCGUGGGGAUUUUGAAGGAGAGAAAUGGCGGCAACUUGAUUUUUGUAUUUAUUUCAAAUUAUCACACUUCUCUCUCUCUCAAGCAAGGAAUUUAUAAUUUGACUCUUCUCCUUUAUUUCAAAAUCUGGAUUCAGAACGGUGUCGUUCUUCAAGCAACUCUUUUAAUUUUUUAACCUUAAAUAGUGUUAAAAAAUUCUAAAUUAAAAAAAAAAAAUUUGUUGUUCUGUUUUUUUUUCUUUAAUAAAUUUUGUUUUUUUAAUAAUUUAUGUAUAGAAAAAAGUAUAUAGUUGUGCAAAGAGCCAAGAUAGAGAUUACAGAAUAUCUAAAUUAUGAUUUUUUCUAUGGUGCUGAAUAAUAAAUUCAGGAUCAAUAUCUAAUUAACAUAUAAUUGUCCUAUAUCAAUUAAACCUACCUAUUAUAACAGGUUAAUGUUAAUAGUUUAAAUCAUACUAGAAAUAAUAGAAAACUUUGAAUAAUUAAUUUAACAAUUUACACGAGUAACUUUUUGAUUUCAAAAUGAUAAUUCAUUUGUUUCAAUCUAAAGGAUUUCCUAUUAUUCAUCAACUAGGUUUUCUUAGAAUCAUAAUUUUUUUUAUCCAUCUUAAUAUUGUUUCUUAUUUUAACUAUAUAUUUGUUGUAACCUGUUUUCGGGUCCCCACAAAAAUAAAAUAAUAGUCAAAAAGAUUAGAAAAAAUAAUAGCAGGCAGAAGCGCUCAGAAGAUGGUCGGAAAAAUUGGUCAAGGAAGUUUAAAAUACAUAGAUCGGAUUUUUGGCAGUACAUUCUUGUAUGAUGAGACCCCCGUUGGAAGAGAAAUUUUGUUUUUUUAGGAGAAAAGUCCAAAAUUAGAGGUUUAUGGACUUAAUUGGAUUUUAAUUGAAUUUUAGAGGAUUUGAUUGCAAAAUUUAAUUUUUUAAGUCAAUUUGGGCUUUAUUAGAAGAAAUUUAGUUCUGGGGCCAAAAUAUUUUUUUUGGAAUUUAUUAGGUCAAAUCAGGGGCUUAAUUGCAUAAUAUUGAAUUUUAAUGGCCAUUAGGGACUUAAUUGAGAAAAUCCAAACCAGGGACCAAUUGGAAGAGACGCGUAAUAGGGGGGCUGUAUUGGAUUGAUCCGGGGGCUAAUUGAAGAAAUUGAAGUUUAUUGAUCAAUUGGGGCUAAUUGCAUAAAUCAGAGGCCAAGGACCAAAGUGAAAAACGCGGCCAACUAUGGGGGUGAGGACCGAAAUUGGCAAGGACGCAAUUGAAAUGAACAAAGGAUAAUUGAGGGCUGAUUUGAAACUUGGCGCGUUCUGGCGCCACAUUUAAAUGAAACGGUGCGUUUUCUCCAAAACGACGUCUUUUCACAACAAAAAAGGAUCGAACGAUGCCGUUUUGAACGGCACUGUUCCCCUUUCUUCUUCCUCCCCGCACCUGCAACCGGAAGGAGAAAAUGGUUUUCUUCUUCAGACCAGCUUCCCUUUUGACAGCCUCAAGCCCGCUGAAUGACCCGAAGCCCCUACGCCUUGGGACCACCGAAACCGAAGCUACUGGCCGACCGGCCGCUCGCCCUGCCGAAAGCAAGGAGCGGCGCCUUGCUGUCGCGGGUGGUGGCUGACCAGCCUUGUUGUCUGGGCCGGGCCGGGCCGAGACUAAAGAGGGAUCUCUUUUCGAGCCGAGAUCGGCCCAGUUUUUUAUUGUUGUUUGGGCUGAAGCCCGGCCCAGCCCGAAUAAUUUUUUAUAUUAUAUUAUAAAUUAUAAUAUAUUGUUAUUAUUAUAUAUAUGUGUGUAUAUAUAUCCUAAACUAAAAAAUUAAUUCUGAAAAAUCUUUCAAAAUAUUGUUGAUUUUCCUACAUAUUUUGGUCAAAAAUGGCUUAAUGUUGGUUUGUAUUUUUAUACCGUAAAGAUACCAAACCAGUAUUAAAAUACCUGGUUUUCGUCAAAACAUUAAAGAUUUUGAGAAAAAAAAAUGUUCUUGCUUCACAAAAAAUAUUCUGAAAAAUCCUAAAAAAUAUUAUUGAUUUUCCUGCAUAUUUUUAUUAAAAGGGAUUAAUAUUGGAUACAAAACCAGUGUUGGAAAUACCCGAUUUUCGUUAAAAAAAUGUUUUUUUGUUUUAAUGCAUACGGCCUAGUCUCUCCAAAAUAAAGAAAAAUCAUCGCAUCAUAUUUUCAUAUAACAAAAGGAAUUUCGAAAACCAUAUAUGUAUUAACAUGCAUUUUUGGCUUUAAUAACCAGUUUAUUCAAGCCAUGAGAAUUAGGCCAAUAUUUCAAAAACAACAAAAAAAUUAUUUUGGUUUCUUGUAACAUUUGGGAUUACGAAUUUAUACGUAAAAUGUAUCCCUAAUAUUAAUAAAGUUUUUGUAUAUACAUUAGAACGGUUAGGAUUUUACCCAAUAAGAUAAAGACCUCCUUACCGAGGAGGAUUUUUCUUGAACCAUAGACAUACCUACAACUAGAAGUACAAUAACACAUUAGCUUUUAUCAGACAAUCAAAUGAUGCAGCUUACCUUAGGUAAGGACGUAUUUGGGGUGCUAAUACCUUCCCUUUACGCAACCAGUCCCCUUACUAGAUCUUUGAGACCAGUUAGGGUUCCUAGUGACCAAAAUACUAGGUGGCGACUCCCAUUCAUUUUUUUACCAAUAAACGACGAGAAUUUCUUGUCUCCCAGAUAUCUGCCAUAUAGAAAUAGAUUUAUUUACCUUUUUUAGAUUUAAAAAUGGAAAAAACUAUGUUUUUUUUCGCCGUGAUGCCGCACACGUGCGACAGAAUGGCGACUCCACUGGGGAGCUUGUAGACUAAGCUUUGUUUUUGUUGAUUUAUUUGUGUUUUCCUGUGCUUAUUUUUAAUAUAUGUCUUUCCUUUUAUUUAUUUGAGUAUUUGUUUUUAUUUUACGCGUAUUUAUUCAUGCAUUGUACACAAUUGUCUCAUGCAUCACUUGCUUUAAUUUUGAAAAGCACACAUAAUCUUUAAGUUAAGUGGGGAAUUAGCGAUUUACCCUAAGACUAUUGGUCAGGGUUUAAAUGCGUGAAACACCCAACUCAUAUCUAAGUGCCUGCUUGGUAAUGGUGGGCAUACGUGUCUUAGUUGUUCCUUGCAACGCCCCCAUACCGUCUUUACGAAGAACGUCACUAGGCAGAUAUGAGACCCUUCAAGACCAGAUAGAAAAACUACCCACUCUCACUUAAUAAAUAGAGCUUGUCCUUAGGUUAUGUAUCUCACUUUCAUUUGCAUCACGAUUAAUAAUGUUAAAUUCAUCAACCCAGGUUUUCAGCUGAAAUCAUGACUAAGUACCUCUCUUUCCAAGAAUUUGGACAAGAGUCUGAGUUGGCUCAGAUCGCCGAAGGAAAAUGCCCAAGAAUUGAUGCUAGUGGGUUACCAUGCAUUACCAAGGUAAAUCACAUGGUAAACGACUUAGGGAAGUUAUUGUCUAUCAUGAAAUACGUUGACGAGACUCUGUUUGAAAGGCGAUAUGGGAGAAUUGCAUAAAUAAUGAGGUUGCCUAUACAAGCAGCGGCGAUCAAAGCCCUUCUGAAUUUUUGGGAUCCCAGUUAUCGGUGUUUUACCUUUGGAAACAUCGAUAUGACACCAACCUUGGAAGAAUAUGAGAGAAUUCUGGAUUUUCCAAAUGACAGCCACAUAAUCUACCACCGACGCAGAUUUGAGGACACAGCUUCGGAGGUAGUCAGUUUAUUAGGCUUAGGAAAGAUCAGCCAAUGUAGAGUCGCCGAAGGGGGUUUUAAAUGGAAGGUCAUUGAAACCCGAAUGAAGAAAAAUGCCGAAGAAGGCAAGUUGGGAGAUGAACGAUAUAAGUUGGUGGCCUUCGCCAUCUAUGGACUAGUAUUGUUCCCUUCUAAAACUAUGAGCGUGACCGGAUCAAUCCUUCCUCAACCAUCUUGGGGGAAACUUUGUUAUCUCUCAAUCACUAUCGAACGCAUGGAAAAGGAGCUAUGAGAUGCUGCAUCCCUAUGUUGUACUUAUGGAUAAUCAGCCAUAUCAAAACACCAAGAGACAUCUUCAACAACUUUUGGUGGUUUGACUUGCGGCCGUUAAAGAUUACAAUAGAUGAGACUUGGAAGAAUUGGGAUGAGAAGACAUGGAGGGAUAAGUAUGCAGCAUUGCCAAGGAGCAACUUCAAGUGGAAAGCGUCGUGGAUGAACAACGUUAUUUGCACAAUGAGCUGUGGAAGCAAGAUAUGGGUUCCUUUGAUUGGUGUAACCCGUUACAUCAACUAUGUGCCCGCCCUUGUAACAAGGCAGUUAGGCGGAAUGCAAUAUACACCAAGAACUUUGGGUUUAGCUGAUUUCGUUGGUUUAUUCAAGCACCAACCAUUCAUCGAAGAAAUGGAGCUUAUCCGACAGGAUUGGGAAAGACCCUUAAAGGUGAAAAGGGAAUAAGGAAACAGUUUUGAAACCUCAUUCAGCCAUAAUUAUACAGUUUGGAGGAAAGAAGAGUUUUCUGAAGUGAAGGGUCUCUCUACACAAGAACAGUCGGAAUCAACGAUAGAACCACAGAAAAGAAAAAGAAUGGAUGAGGAGGAAGAUCUAAAAAAGCAGCUAGAGCAGUGUAGAAUAGAUCUCAGCAAAAGUAAGGGGCAGCAACAACUAUUAGAGAACUAGCUAGAGGAAGAAAAUACGAUGAGGGUUUUCUUGAAUCAACGGUUAGAAAAACAGGAGAAGCAGUUAAUAUCUCUAAAGGAAUGGCAGAAAAGGGUCGAGGUAGCUGAAGAGAUAACAACAGGGGUCCAGGCUGAGUUAAGGAAUCGAAUAGCUGAUUAUGAUGAGUUGGUCAAGAAGAAUGGGCUAACAAAAAAAGAGUUGGUUAAGGUUAAGAGAUCAAUAAAAGGCACGAAUGUGGAUAAGGAGAUGAUGGAUUAUUUGAAGAAGGGAAGGAACCUUCUUUUAAAGAAAGUAGAAGUUGAAAAGGAGAAGAAUUGUCUAGCCAAGCUCGACAUAGAAGAAGAAAGGAAGGUCAGAGCUCAAUACAUGGUGCAACUGGAGGAAGAGAGAAGUGCGAGAAAGGUCGCUGAGUCUGACAUGAGAGAUUACCAGAAGAGAGCUGAGUCUUCAAAAGGAAAGAUGAUGGCUUUACAGUCGGAGGUCGAGGUACGAGAAGAAGAGUUAAGGGAGUUGAGAAGCCAUUACUUCGAGAUGGAAGAGGAGAUGAGUAAGGCUAAGCAAGAGCGUCAAGAAUGCCAAUACUACAUGGACAGCUUUGCAGUUCAAAUCAAUUCCAAAAUAGCCGAGCUGGAUAUCGAAAAGGAAGAGCUACAAAGGAUAAGAGAUAAGCCAGCACGGUCAGAAGAUAUGGUCCGGGUGUUGGAAAGAAGUAACGAAGCCUUAGGAGCCAGCAAUGAAACGAUAAUCGUAGAUAACACCGUAUUCCAUGAUAGGAUAAGACAUAUGUCAAAACAGGUUGAGCACGUAGCCCGUUAUGCGGAUAGGUUGCUACAGCAAGCCACCCAAGUUGGAAAUGACGCUUCAAAGUAUCGAGAAUACAUGGGGGUCAUAGCCUGUUUUAUUGGGGAUUUAGCUAAUAGGGGAAAUGCCUUCUAGAGGUAGCAAUGUAUAAGAUUCUCUUUAUUAUUAUUAUUAUUAUUAUCGUUUUGUAUGAGCCACUUUUUAUUUAUAAGAAGUCCGUGAGGUAUUUCCCUUCUUAAUGUGUUUUGGUAAGCCACUAUGAUAAGAACUUGGCGAACCCUCCUUUAUAGUAAUCAGGUCAACUCAGAAAUCUUGCUUAAAGGAUUACGAAAGUCAUGAAUCAGCUCAUAAAAAUAUACACACAUUACAUGUGCAUCGCAUUUUCAUCACACAUUUUGUUUUUUAAUUUAUCACAUGCACGCCAGAUCGUGAAACAUAGGUCCUACGUCCAGAGUCCACCAAACCCGGUCCAGAUCAAGAAUGAAGAACGAAGAAAGAGCUCAUUUGGAGACACACUAUCAGACCGAGUUAGAAGCCGUAAAAGGUGAAGUUGCUAGGUUAACCAACCUACUCGAGCAACUUCUAAGAACUAGGAAUGGGGAGGGAACGUCAGCACAACCACUCGAAGGAGCCCCAGCAGCUCAUAUCCCUCAAGCAUCCCAAAACCAGGGGGCAAACUCGGCCAACGAACAACAUUUUGUGCCUUUUACCCCUAUCCAACCAACUCAGGCUCCAGUCACUGUUGACUUAACAACGGAGGGAAUCCCGGGUAAUAGGUCUCCCAAUUUAAUGGACUAGGAUAAAUUGUUUGCCUUGGAAGAAAGAUUAAGGGCAGUUGAGGGUAAUGACUGGUUUGAUCCCAUGCGAGCAGCCGAGGUGUGUUUGGUACCAAACAUCGUGGUGCCAAAGGAUUUUAGGAUACCAGAGUUCAUAUUGUACACUAGUUUGGAAUGCCCAAACACUCACCUUCGAUCCUAUUGCAAUAAAAUGGCGGAAGUAAUCCGUGAUGAUAAGCUGCUAAUUUAUUUCUUUCAAGAUAGCCUCGCAGGGUCCACUUUGAGUUGGUACAUGAGGUUAGAUAGUGUCAGGAUCAGGAGCUGGAGGGACUUGGUGGAGGCUUUCCUUAAACAGUACAAGUUUAACAUGGAAAUCGCUCCCGAUCGAACAAGUCUAAUGGCAAUGGAGAAAAGGAGCCAGGAGUCAGUCAAGGCUUAUGCACAAAGAUAGAGGGACGAGGCAAUGCAUGUCCAACCCCCUUUGAUAGAAACAAAGAUGGUGAGCUUGUUUGCCAAUACCUUCAAGGCACCUUACUAUGAGCACCUAAUGGGUAGCUCCUCUCAACAUUUCUAUGAUGCGGUAUGCAUAGCUGAGAGGAUGGAACAAGGGAUUAAGGCUGGGCGAAUAACAAUGACAGUUGAAAAGAAGGGUUUUAUUGGAAGAAAGAGAGAAGGUGACAAUAACAAUUUGGAAGGUGGGUAUAAGGGAAAGAGAGUAGAUUUCCAUAAUCCACAAGUACCUACAUCUCAAUUCUCACGCAUAAGCUUUAACCAACAUUUCUCCCCUAAUCGGACAAAUAACCAAACAAACUACCAAAAUCACUACCAAAGACCCCAUACAAGAUACACUUCAGAACAGCUGCCACUGUUACCCAUGCCUUUGAAGGACAUGUACGCCAAACUGUUGAGCAUUGGACAGAUAGCUCCUAUCCCUACACUACCACUACAACCACAAUUCCCAAUUUGGUACAAGCCCGAGUUGACUUGCGAGUACCAUGGGGGUAAUCCUGGGCAUGAGAUUGAAAUCUGUUACGCUUUCAAGAAGAGGUUAUUGGAGCUUAUUAAGAUGGGAUGGGUAUUCUUUGAAGACAAGCCCAAUGUUAAUUCAAACCCAUUGCCUAAGCAUGCCCCAAAUAGUAGUGGAAUAAACAUGAUCGAAGUGGGAAAUCAAUGCAAGGUGUUGAAAGUGCCUAUGAAAAAGUUGUAUGACAUGUUAGUACAAUCAGGAUUCCUAGAGGCAAAUAGGGAAAGCCAUUUGGAGGGAGGUGAUUACUGUGAGUUCCAUGGAAGAGAUGGACACCGUAUUGAGGAUUGCGUCGAGUUUUGUGACAAGAGUGCAAAAAUGUUGAGAAUGGGACAAUUGAGGAUUGAACCCAUGGAGAGCAGGUAUGAGGUGAGUAUGAUGGAAGGUCAAGAUGAGAUGGCAGGAGUAUGCAGGGUCCAACAGACUGCUAAUGGGCCCCUAAGGCUGAUCUUGGUUAAACCGUCCUGCAUAAAAGAGAAUCACAAUGCCAUGCCGUAUAAUUACGGGUAUGCCUCCAACGUUUGAGCUCCUCUUCCUUUGUUCCAGACGGAGAUAAGUGGUCUGACCAGGAGUGGUCGUUGCUUUACGCCUGAAGAAUGGAGGAAGGAAAAGGGUAAAGAAGUGGUAGAUCUGGACAAAGCACCAGAAGUUAAUAAGCCGGUAACGGAAGAGGAGUUGAAUGAAUUUUUGAAGUUGAUCAAGCAUAGCGAAUAUUGCAUAGUGGAUCAACUAAAAAAGACUCCAGCUCGGAUCUCCCUUAUGUCUUUGAUACUCAGCUCUAAGCCACAUCGAAAUGUCUUGCAAAAGGUAUUGAAUGAGGCAUAUGUACCCCAAGACAUUGAACAUAAAACCAUGGAGCAUCUAGUGGGGAGGAUCCAUGCAACCAAUUACCUCUACUUCACGGCUGAUGAGCUUGAUGCUGAAGGUACCAGACAUAACAAGCCCCUAUACAUUACAGUUAGGUGCAAGGACUGCCUCAUAGGGAAAUGUCGAUUGAUGAAUCUCAUAUGAAGCCGAGUACUAUGAUGGCCAGAGCAUAUGAUGGCUCACCUAGGCCAAUAAUUAGGACUUUAAAAGUGGAGCUAUAUGUGGGACCGCAAAUGUUCCUAGUGACACUUCAGGUUAUGGAUAUCCACCCUUCUUAUAGUACGUUGUUGGGAAGACCUUGGAUUCAUGCAGCGGGGGCGGUAGCUUUAUCAUUGCACCAAUGCCUGAAGUAUAUCAUGAAUGGGAUGUUGGUAACUGUCAAAGCUGAGGAGACUGUAUCCAUGAUAAAGAAUGUGGUUGUGCCUUUUAUCGAAGCAGAUGAUUGCAAGGAUAACAAUAUCCAUGCUUUUGAGAUUGUGAACACCGACUGGGUGUCGGAGAACACAGUGCUGAGAAGGCCAAGGAUCUCAGAAGCAGCAAGGAUGGCAAGUCAAUGUUUCUUGGACCGUGGGAUCCCACGUCAAUAUAACCUUAUUUGCGGGAUACCAGAAGGGGUUGAUCCGACAAGGAAGAGAAAAGGUGAUCAAAGAUUUGGGCUAGGAUAUCAACCUAACCAAAAGGAUUAUCGUUGGGCUGCUGGUCGAAGAAGGGCAAGAAGGAUGGCUAGAAUUAAAGGAAGAGAUCUUGAAGAAGAACAACUAGAAAUCCCUCCCCUUAGCGUAUCAUUCCCAAGAGCUGCAUACAUAGUGCAACAUGAUAAGGGAGCUGAAAGCCUGGGUCUAGAGUUGACAAGUAUGAGCAUAAACACCUUGGAGGAAAAUGAGAAGGAAGGAGGUGACGUGAAAGUAGUAGCGGGAAAAGAAGAUGAAGUGCUGCCACAAUUGACGAUCCAUACACUAGAAGAAGUCCCCGCCAAGACCUUUGUGUGCAAGUUGACUCAGGGUGAAAAGUUUCAGAACUGGGUGACCCAAGAAGCUCCAGUGGUUUUCAAAAUGUAAACCAACUUUGUUUGCCUUAACAUGUUUUUGUCAUUGCUUAUGUUUGCUUUUGUUUUCUCUAGUUGACAAUCAAGGCUCAUGAUGUCAGCUAGAUUCUAUGUUUGUCAUGGAGCCCACCUUUUUCUUUGAAUAAAUUAUGAGAUCAUGCACUUUCAAAAUUGUUGUUUUAUAUACAUUUAAACCAAGCACUUCCCGCUUUCAGGAAUCCUGAAAGCGGAUCUCCUACAACAUCACAUACAUUUAGCAUCAAGAAUAAAUGGCCAAACUUGAACGAGCAUGUAAUAGUUAUGGAAGAGUGGGAUGAAAGCAAUAUUAGUGAAUUCACCAGGCUAGUAACAGGAACAGAUGUGGAAGCCUACCGUCAAGGAACUCGAAACCAUCAAUGUGGGCAGUGGUCAACUCAAGAAAGAGUUAAAAAUAGGUACCUUAAUUACUUCUGAACAAAGGGUAAAAAUGAUCACCCUGUUACAAGAAUAUUCAGAUGUCUUCGCUUGGUCCUAUAAAGAUAUGCCCGGUUUGGAUACAAGUAUUGUAGAACAUAAGAUACCGUUGGAAGAAGGUUAUAAGCCAGUCAAGCAGAAACUGAGGAGGGCCCACUCGGACGUCUGGAUCAAGGUCAAGGCAGAACUCGAGAAGCAAUGGGAUGCUGGCUUUCUAGAAGUAGUUAGAUAUCCACAAUGGGUAUCUAACAUUGUUGUGGUACCUAAGAAGGAAGGGAAGAUUAGAGUUUGUGUGGAUUUUUGGAAUUUGAAUAAAGCUAGCCCCAAGGAUGAUUUUCCUCUACCACACAUAGAUGUUUUAGUGGAUAAUGUUGCACGAAGUUCCACUUAUUCAUUUAUGGAUGGUUUUUCAGGAUAUAACCAGAUAAAAAUGGCUCCAGAGGAUAAGGUGAAAACAACUUUUGUCACACCUUGGGGGACCUACUGCUACAAGGUCAUGCCAUUUGGGUUGAAGAACGUCGGUGCCACAUAUCAAAGAGCAAUGGUGACUCUAUUCCACAACAUGAUGCUCAAAGAAAUUGAGGUGUAUGUAGAUGAUAUGAUUGCCAAGUCUAAAAAGGGAGAGGAUCAUGUGGAAGUUUUGAGGAAGUUAUUUGAAGGCUUAAUCCUGCAAAAUGUUCAUUCGGAGUUAAAUCGGGUAAGCUGUUAGGAUUUGUGGUAAGUGAUAGAGGUAUAGAGGUUGAUCCGGAUAAAGUAAGGGCCAUCCAGGCUAUGUCGUCCCCAAAGACAGAGAAAGAAGUAAGAGGAUUCUUGGGAAGGUUGAACUACAUUGCUCGGUUUAUAGCUCAGCUAACAACAACAUGCGAGCCUAUAUUCCGACUAAAAAGAAUCCUGGAACCUGGAAUGAGGAGUGUGAGGAGGCAUUCAAUAAAAUCAAGCAUUAUUUACAAAAUCCACCUUUACUGGUUCCUCCUGUAUCAGGAAAACCUCUAGUAUUAUAUCUAACAGUAACUGAAGCAGCCAUAGGAUGUGUAUUGGGCCAGCAUGAUGAAACCGGGAGAAAGGAAAGAGCUAUUUAUUACUUAAGUAAGAAAUUCACGGAAUGUGAGUCUAGAUACACUGAGAUACAAAGGCUUUGUUGUGCGUUGGUGUGGGCGGCAAAGAGGUUGCGACAUUACAUGUUAUACUAUACCACUUGGUUGAUUUCAAAAGUGGAUCCUCUGAGGUAUAUUUGUAAUAAGCCUUUUCUCUCAAGUAGAAUUGCAAGGUGGCAAGUUUUAUUAGCAGAAUAUGACAUAGUGUAUAUGACAAGGAAAGCCGUAAAAGGGAGUGCAAUCGCAGACCAUCUGGCCGAUAAUGCUGUUGAAGAUUACGAACCUUUGGAUUUUGAUUUCCCUGAUGAAGAUAUAUUGUCAAUAGAAAAGGAAGAAGAGAAGACAGAUUGGUGGACCAUGUUUUUUGACGGGGCAGUAAAUGUAUAUGGUAACGGGGCAGGGGCGUAAUAAUCUCUCCUAAUAAGAAACAAUACCCAGUUUCGGUCAAACUACAUUUAGUGCACCAACAAUACAGCUGAGUAUGAAGCUUGUAUCCUCGGUUUAGAAGCGGCAUUGGAGCUGAAGAUAAAGAAGAUAGAUGUAUAUGGGGAUUCAAUGUUGAUCAUCUGCCAGGUAAAGGGGAAUGGCAAACCAAAGAGGAAAAGUUGAGGCCGUACCAGGAAUACCUAUCCACGCUAGCAAAGGAAUUUGAAGAAAUUAGAUUCACCCAUCUGGGAAGGGAGGGGAACCAUUUUGCGGAUGCUUUGGCCACACUAGCUGCUAUGACUACCAUUGAUCUCAAGUGCAAGGUACAACCGGUACACAUUGAUAUUAGAAAUGAUCCAGCUCACUGUUGUUUAGUUGAAGGGAGAUGACGGACAACCUUGGUAUUACGAUAUCAAGAAUCUUGUGCAGAAUCAGGAAUAUCCGGUGGGAGCUUCUAAACGGAUAAGAAAACCUUGAGAAGGUUGGCUAUAGACUUCUAUUUAGAUGGAGAGAUUUUAUAUAAAAGAUCAUUUGAUGGAACCCUGUUAAGGUGUUUGGAUGAGGCAGAUGCUAGAAGGCAUUAAGAGAGGUCCAUGAGGGGAUUUGCUCAACCCAUGCUAGCGGGCAUAUGAUGGCAAGGAAAAUCCAAAGGGCUGGUUAUUUUUGGAUGACACUAGAAAAAGAUUGUAUCGACUAUGUCAGAAAAUGUCACAAAUGUCAAAUUUACAGUGACAAGGUCAAUAUGCCACCAGCUCCUCUGUUUAACUUAACAUCUCCAUGGCCCUUCGCGAUGUGGGGAAUUGAUGUGAUUGGACCUGUAAACCCAAAAGCGAGCAAUGGUCAUAGAUUUAUCCUCGUGGCUAUUGACUACUUCACAAAAUGGGUAGAAGCCGGGUCAUUUGCUCAUGUGACGCAAAAAGUGGUGAAGAAAUUUAUUGAGAGAGAUUUGAUAUGUCGGUAUGGUCCACCAGAAAAGAUUAUAACUGAUAAUGCCCAGAAUUUCAACGGCAAGAUGAUAAUAGAGCUCUGCACUAAAUGGAAAAUCAAGCAUUCCAAUUCUUCGCCAUAUAGACCAAAGAUGAAUGGGGCGGUAGAAGCUGCUAACAAGAAUGUCAAAAAGAUUAUUCAGAAGAUGGUAGUCACCUAUAAGGAUUGGCAUGAGAUGUUGCCAUUUGCCCUUCAUGCAUAUCGCACCGCAGUUCGAACCUCGACAGGGACUACCCCAUAUUCUUUGGUGUACGGUAUGGAGGCAGUGAUGCCUUUGGAAGUGGAAAUCCCGUCGUUAAGAGUGUUAAUAGAUUCCGAGUUAGAAGAGGCCGAGUGGGCCAAAGUGAGACACGAGCAACUGAACCUGAUCAGUGAAAAGAGGAUGGCCGCAAUAUGUCAUCACCAACUUUACCAGAAGCGAAUGGCCAAGGCAUAUGAUAAGAAGGUUAGACCGUGGUUGUUUCGAGAAGGGGAUCUAGUAUUGAAGAAAAUAUUGUCAUUACCUGGAGACGAUCAAAGCAAAUGGGCACCAAAUUACGAGGGUCCUUAUGUAGUAACGAAUGCAUUCUCAGGAGGAGCGCUGAAGUUAGCUAGAAUGGAUGGAGAAGACCUAGCUCGACCUGUGAAUUCUGACUCUGUAAAAUGAUAUUAUGCUUGAUGUAGGCUCCUAAAUCAAUAAAGCAAAGUUUGGCCAUUGAUUUCUUUCUUUUUGCAUCGAUCUCACAACAAUUAUUUUUGCAUUAAUCCCAACAACGCAUGUCUUGUUGUUAUCACAUCACUCACUAAAAAGUUUAGCGUUGGCUGAACAAAUUUCUUCUCUAUAUAAAAGCCUAGACUAGGAUCACACCCCUACACUGGGGGCAAUACGAGAUGUUUUCAUGAAAAGCCUAUAGAUUUGAAAACCAAGCUAAAGCAUUUGACAAAAGCAUGACAAAAAGGCAAUAACAAGUCAUACAUUUUGAGAAAAGGACUACUUGAAGAAAGUCAAGACUUCUUCUCCAAGAAUACGAUAAGUAAAAAAGAGGCAACACGAGAGAGGGAUCCAGCAUAUGACUUCAAAAGCAAGCUCAUGUUAAGAGGAAGUCUCAUGAACUAGAAGAAGAGGAUGGGGCCUAUGUUUCAAAACCAGGUACAAAUGCAUGCAUGGCAUUUAAUCAUAAAUCAUUGCAUGUAUGUUUUUUGGAUCGUUAUAGGAGGAGUCCUUAGUGCGUUCCAACAAGAUUGUGGACGAAGAAAGAAUCUUUGAGUGGAUGAUAGCAAAGAAUCACAGUUUUGAUUCUAGAACAACGAGAAAGUGUAUAUACAAAAAAAAUAUAUAUGUAUAUAUAUAAUAAUAAUAAUAAUUUUCAAACGACAUCAGGAAGAACGACACCGAUAUCAGCUUUGGUAAUAAGGAAUCGCCAGAUGGGAUUCCAAGUUGAUGGAGAUCGCCAUAAGGGAUCUCGUGUUUCGCUAUUUGGAGGUCGCCAUAUGGGACCUCAUAUUUCAUGUUUAUUAAAAGGAAUCGCCAGAUGGGAUUCCAAGAUGAUUAAGGGAGAUUGCCAGAAGGGAUCUCGUAUUUUGUUAUUUGGAGGUCGCCAGAUGGGACCUCAUAUUUCAUGUUUGGUAAAAGGAAUCGCCAGAUGGGAUUCCAAGUUGAUUAAAGGAGAUCGCCAGAAGGAUCUCGUAUUUUGCUAUUUGGAGGUCGCCAGAUGGGACCUCAUAUUUCAUGUUGGUUAAAAGGAAUCGCCAGAUGGGAUUCCAAGUUGAUUAAAGGAGAUCGCCAGAAGGGGUCUCGUAUUUCGAUAUUCAUCAAAGGAGGUCGCCAGAAGGGGCCUCGUAUUUCAGUUUUGUUAAACGGAAUCGCCAGAUGGGAUUCCAAGUUGAUUGGUUAAAGGAGAUCGCCAGAAGGGACCUCAUAUUUCAUUUUCGUUAAAGGGAAUUGCCAGAUGGGAUUCCAAGUUGAGUAAGCUACAAUUAUAGAUUUUGGUUUAAGGAGGUUGCCCGGUGGGACUCCAAGUUAAGAGAAAUCGCCGGAAGGGAUCUCAGAUGGACUAAAUUUUGAUCAUAGUUUCAGCCAGAUCAGCUUUGGGAGUUCAGUUUGGUUUAUCUUUAUAAAACUUACUGCGCAAAACCCCUGCUCUGUAAGCAUUAUAAAGAGGGGGCAUCUGUUGUAACCCAUUUUCGGGUCCCCACAAAAAUAAAUAAAAUAAAUAGCCAAAAAGAUUAGAAAAAAUAAUAGCAGGCAGAAGCGCUUAGAAGAUGGUUGGAAAAAUUGGUCAAGGAAGUUUAAAAUACAUAGAUCGGAUUUUUGGCAGUACAUUCUUGUAUGAUGAGACCCCCGUUGGAAGAGAAAUUUUGAUUUUUUAGGAGAAAAGUCCAAAAUUGGAGGUUUAUGGACUUAAUUGGAUUUUUAAUUGAAUUUAUAGAGGAUUUGAUUGCAAGAAAUUUAAUUUUUUAAGUCAAUUUGGGCUUUAAUUAGAAGAAAUUUAAGUUCUGGGGCCAAAAUAUAUUUUUUAGGAAUUUAUUAGGUCAAAUCAGGGGCUUAAUUGCAUAAAUAUUGAAGUUUAAUGGCCAAUUAGGGACUUAAUUGAGAAAAUCCGAAACGAGGGACCAAAUUGGAAGAGGCGCGUAAAUAGGGGGGUUGUAUUGGAUUGAUCCGGGGGCCUAAUUGAAGAAAUUGAAAGUUUAUUGAUCAAUUGAGGGCUAAAUUGCAUAAAUUAGAGGCCAAGGACCAAAGUGAAAAACGCGGCCAACUAUAGGGGUGAGGACCGAAAUUGGCAAGGACGCAAUUGAAAUGAACAAAGGAUAAUUGAGGGCUGAUUUGAAAUUUGGCCCGUUCUGGCGCCAUAUUUAAAUGAAACGGUGCGUUUUCUCCAAAACGACGUUGUUUCACACAUAAAAAAAAAAGGACCAAACGGUGCUGUCGUGGGUGGUGGCCGACCAGCCGCCGCGUAACCCGCUCCCCAGGCGCACUAAUAAAGGGCCCAACGCACUUUUCUCUCCUAUAAAUAGAGAACAAAAAGAAAAAAAGAGGAGAGGAAAGGAACGAGAGAAGAGAGAGAACGGAGGGGACGAACCGAAAAGAAAAAAAAGGAAACAAAGAGAGAAACUAACCGGACAAAGCCACUGGAAACCCAAAGCUGAGAAGCUUGGGAUAGUUGAAGCCGAGAGGGAACUUAAGAAACCGAAACAGAAGCAACGAACCGAGCGAACGACGAUGAACCGUGGGAAACAGCCGCAGCACUGCCUGGAGCCGCCGUCCGUGAGCCACGACACCGCCACCAGCCUCCACCGCAGCAUCACCAGCGAGGAACUCCAGCCAGCAGCACUGCCUCCGCCGCGCCAAGUGCCUUUUCUUCUCCCCUGUACCGUUGCAUUUUGUUUUUUUUUCUCCUGCAUGCAGGAGAAGGGGAAGGGGGAAAAUAAUUCCCCCCUCCCCCGGUUCAAUUUCGUCUGGGCCAGAAUGGUUCUGGCCCAGCCUUGUUGUCUAGGUCGGGCCGGGCCCAGACUAAAGAGGGAUCUCUUUUCGGGCCGAGAUCGGCCCUAUCUCUUUUCGGGCCGAGAUCGGCCCAGUUUUUUACUGUUGGUUGGGCUGAAGCCCGACCCAUUUAUAUUGGCCCGGCCCAGCCCGAAUAAUUUUUUAUAUUAUAUUAUAAUAUAUUGUUAUUAUUAUAUAUGUGUGUGUAUAUAUAUCCUAAAAUAAAAAAAAUAUUCUGAAAAAUCUUUGAAAAUAUUGUUGAUUUUCCUACAUACGUUGGUAAAAAAUAGCUUAAUAUUGGUUUGUAUUUUUAUACCGUAAAGAUACAAAACUAGUAUUGAAAUACCCGGUUUUUGUCAAAACAUCAAAGAUUUUGAGAGAAAAAAAAUGUUCUUGCUUCAAAAAAAAUAUUCUGAAAAAUCCUAAAAAAUAUUAUUGAUUUUCCUGCAUAUUUUUAUUAAAAGGGAUUAAUAUUGAAUUGUGUUUCUUGUAACAUUUGGGAUUACAAAUUUAUACGUAAAACGUAUCCCUAAUAUUAAUAAAGUUUUUGUAUAUACGUUAGAACGGUUAAGAUUUUACCCAAUAAGAUAAAGACCUCCUUACCGAGGAGGAUUUUUCUUGAACCAUAGACAGACCAACAACUAGAAGUAUAAUAACACAUUAGUUUUUAUCAGACAAUCAAAUUUCUUGUCUCUCUGAUAUUUUCCAUAUAGAAAUAGAUUUAUUUACCUUUUUUAGAUUUAAAAAUGGAAAAAACUAUGUUUUUUUUCGUCGUGACGACGCACACGUGCGACAAUAUUUAUAGGCUAUGAAAUAUUAAAAUAUAUAGUAGCCAAAGCAUGGCUUAGGACUUCAAAUUAAUCACUAACUACAAUUCUUAAUAAACAAUUACAAGAGUAAGAAUCUAUCUAUUAACCAGGAUAAAAACUGCUAAAUGAACAAUUUUGCUCAUGAAAUAUUAUAAACACACAAAUUAAAAGAAAAAACAAAGAAAGAAAGAAAAAGAAUUUAAGUAUGAUCCCCUCCUCUUGACAGUUGUCAUUGUAAUCCUUGUCCACAGGCCUUCUCUUGAAUCUAAUCGAGAGAAGUUUACAAGAAAAGAAAGCAAAUUUCCUAGUCAAAAUUCAAGAAGCACCAUCCGAAAUUCAUAUGGUUUACUGUGUGAAGUAGGCAUAAGCUAAAUAUAGCUGUAACAACACAUGCACAUGGAAAAUAUACAAGAUUUCAUGUCCGAAGCGGAAAUUUCCAGUUUUAAGAUAAUUUUUUAUUCGGUUUAUUUUUUAUUAAAAAAAAUAAUUAAAUCGGUUUUUUUAAAAUAAAAUCCGGUUCAAGCCGAUUGGUUCUGGUUUGGCUUGGUUUUUUUGAUUUGGUUCGAUUUUUUCGGGUUUGGCUUGAUUUUUUUCGGUUUGGCUUGAUUUUUCUGGUUUUGGGUUUGAUUUGGUUUUUUUGGUUUCAGACUUAUCAAACCCAAACCGAAACUGAACCGAACUGGUCAGUUUUUAAAAAAUUAUAAUUGGUUUUUUUUUACAGUUCGGUUUUUUCAAUUAUUAAUUUUUAUUAUUUUUUCGGUUUAAUUAGUUUUUCAGUUUUUUACUCACCCCUAAUUUUUCUGCUCUAAAUAUAUGAUAAUUAUCUCUUUAAAAGAUUUACAAUAUCUUUCAAUAAGUCUUGAAACCUACCUUACCACAAAACAACUACAAAUAUAAAAGCAUGUAAACAGUUAAAAAAAAUCUAAAUUAAAAAACAAAUCUUAAAACACCUAGAAAAAACAAUAAAAUUAUUAUAUAUAAACCUACUAUAUAAAUCCUUUUUUAAAAAUAUCUUCAUGAAUAUUAAAUGAGAAUAAAUUAUAUAUUUUUUAUUUUAAUAAUUGUUUUUUACAUGUUUUUCUCAAAUUAAUUUUUAUUCUAUCACACAUAAAUAAAUAAUUGAGUCAUGAUAGUUUUUUAUGUUUAUAAUCAAAAGUUGCUUUUCAAAUCAUUAUAAACUUUUAUUAAAAAACAAUGCUUUUUAUAUAUAAUAAAAAACAUGUUUUCAUCAAAAUAAUACAAAAAAAAUACAUUUUUCCUCCUAACUUCAAAUGAUUUAAAUUUUAAUGAAUAUUUAUUUUAGUUUUUUUCUCAAAAAAGCAUGCAACUAAAAAAGACAUAAUUUUGCUAAAAUAAAAUAAUAAUAUAUGAAUAAGGAAAGAAAAAAUUGCUUCCUGAAUUGAUAGCAAUCACAUCUCUUGGAAAUAAAAAAUCAUGAAUCAUAAUUAAAUGAGCGCAAUUGAUAGCUUCAAAAGAUGAAGACAUAAUCAUUAACUUACAAUGACGUAAAAAAAAAGAAAAAGCAGCUACACUAGCCUGGAAGAUGAUCCCCUCUUCUUGACCGCUGCCAUUAUAGACCUAGUCCACAAAGCAAGUUAGUUAACUAAAUUGGUGAUGGAUCAUGGAAUAAAAUAUUUGCGCUAUUAGUUAAAAGCAUUAUCAAGACUUACCUUCUCACACCGCCCUAAGUAGCUAGUAUCGUCUUCCACUAUUUCUGGGAGCAUUCUUCCUUCUAAGCCUUUUUGCAUUUUGAUGUGCACUGUCUUCAACCAUCUUCACAAACCAUGCAGGUUUUCUUGCUCUAAAUACAACGUAUCCUAUAGAGACUCCAAAUACAAAUCCACAUCCAUAACCCAUUGCUACUGCUUUCCAUCCAAAUCCGUCUUCAAACAUUGAAUCUUCUUUCUCGAAGUUUGACGGAGGCGGUUGUUGCCCCUCGCCUUUGUUGCAUUUUACUUGCAAGGGUAAUCCACAUAAUCCCAAGUUCCUUUCGUAUGAACCAUUUUCAAAUGUGUUGAACUGCUUACCUACAGGUAUGGCUCCCUCAAGUUGGUUAUACGAAAGGUUCAGGACUACAAGAAAUGUUAAAUCUACCAAUUCCUGAGGAAUCCUUCCAGCAAGCAGAUUUGAAGAGAGAUCCAACGACUCCAGAUUAGUUAAAUUCCCCAAUGACGGCUGGAUACAACCAAUGAGGCUGUUGUGAGAAAGGUUGAGCUGUUUCAGAGAUUUAAGCUUCCCGAGGGACUCUGGAAUCUUUCCCGUGAAUUUAUUGCAGGAUAAAUCAAGUGUUGCGACGGCAAUUUGAAUUUUAGAAAACUCAAUCUCCGAACCUUUCCAUGCCAAAGUUACAGAAUAAACAUAAGAAGUGGAUAAAUUGUUUGUCCUCAUGUAAUCCAUAUGCUCAUCAACGCUCAUCAUGGCUUUGAAGUUGUUGAAAUACUCUGUUGGCAAAGGACCACUCAGGCUGUUGUUGGAGAGGUCAAAUAUCUGUAAUUUAGAAAAAGAGUCCUUGACAGUUGGACCCUUUAAAGAACCAUGGAGUUUAUUUGACCUUAGAACAACAACCUCCAACUGUGGAAGCGUUUCUAAAAAGGAAGGGAAUGUGUCCUCAAUCAUGUUGUUACCGAGGUCCAGAAAUUCUAAAUUCACACAAUUGAUGAUGGAUGGUGGUAUCACCCCUUUCAAUUGGUUGCCAUUGAAGUUGAGAUAUCUCAAACUGUUCCCCUCUGAAUAGAUUGAAGGGAUAAUGCCGUGGAGAUUGUUGCCACCAAGAUGCAACACUGAGAGUCCAUCACUGAAGUUUCCCAAGCAUUGCGGGAUGAUCCACUAAAGCCAUUGUUGGACAAGUCUAGAAUCUCUAGGAACUUCAGCUCACAAAUGACAGAGGAGAUGUUCCCAGUCAGUUUAUCAUUGGAGGAAAGCAUAAGAGUACUCAAAAGCUCAAGCUUGAAAACUGAAGGUGGAAUCUGGCCAUACAACCUAUUAUGACUGAAAUCGAUAUAUUGUAAUGAAUUACAAAGGAACGGACUUAUCUGGCCAUACAGUAGGUUAUUGUGAAGAAGAAGAGCCUGCAAAAAAGGCAUAGAAAACAAGGAGGAGGGAAUUGUUCCAUUAAGCAAGUUAUGAGAUAAAUCGAGAGAGUUUAAACCUGAAAGCCUACUUAUUUGUGAUGGGAUGUGUCCUAUCAGCUAUUAUUAGAUAAAAAGAGUGCAGUUAGACCUAAAAGUCUACUUAUUUGAAAAGGGAGGCCUAUCAGUCUAUUGUACGAGAGAUCCAACCAAUCAAGUUGUGUGAGUUCAAACAAACUAUUCGGAAUUUCACCAAUAAUGUUAUUGCAAGAAAGAUUCAGUUCUUGAAGCUUGUUAAGGUUUCCAAGUGAUGAUGAAAUCUGACUAUCAAACUUGUUAUUUGAAAGGUCCAACAAAGAGAGUUGAGUAAGGUUAGCAAAACCAUUCGGAAUUUUACCAGAAAAAUUAUUAAAAGAAAGUCUUAAGGAAUCUAGCAUAUUAAAGUUUCCAAAUGAGGAUGGAAUCUGACCAUCAAACUUGUUGUUUGAGAGGUCCAACCAAGUGAGUUGAGUGAGGUUAGCAAAACCAUCCGGAAUUUUACCAGAAAAAUUAUUGAAAGAAAAUUUCAACGAAAAUAGCAUAUUAAGGUUUCCAAGUGAGGAUGAAAUCUGUCCAUCAAACUUGUUGUUUGAGAGAUCCAAGUCGUUGAGUUGUGUGAGGUUACAAAAACCGUCUAGAAUUUUACCAGAAAAAUUAUUGAAAGAAACUGUGAAGGAUUCUAACUUAUUAAGGUUUUCAAAUGAGGAUGGAAUCUGACCAUCAAACCUGUUGUUUGAGAGAUCCACCUUGGUGAGUUGAGUGAGGUUAGAAAACUCAUUCAGAAUUUUGCCUGUAAAAUUGUUGGCUGAGAGAAGCAAGUGACUGAGCUUCUUAAGGUUUCCAAGUGAGAAUGGGAGAUGACCUUGAAAAUUGUUACCUGAUAGGUCCAACCACGCCAAUUGUGUUUCAUUAGCAAAAACAUCAAGUAUUGGACCAAUAAAAUUAUUGUAUCCAAGAUCCAGGUACUCGAGUUGCUUAAGUUUUCCAAAAACAUCAGGAAUUGGACCAAUAAAAUUAUUGUAUCCAAGAUCCAGGUACUCGAGCUGCUUAAGUUUUCCAAACGAGAAAGGGAUUUGACCACCCAACUGGCUAUAUGCAAGGCCCAACUCAAUGAGUUGGGUGAGGUUACCAAGUAGACCAAGAUUCGAGCCAACAAAAUUGCACCCAAUAAGAUACAUCUUCUCCACAGACUUCAGAUGACCGAUUGAAUGUAGUUCCAAAUGAAUUGAGAUCCGCGUCUGUGACAGAUCCAAAUGCGAAAGAGCAUUGCUCAAAUUGUAUGGCGGAAAAGAGCCAGUGAGUUCUUCGUUGCCCCUUAACUCGAGCGAUUGAAGGUUUGAUCGGCGAAAGAUAUUAUCAGGGAGUUCACCUUGCAAUCCACAAUACCCGAGUUGGAGAGAUGACAAAGAAGAAGACAAGUUCAUCAAGGAACUGGGUACCACCAAAGACAAGUUCACUACACCCAAGUAGAGUUCUCUCAGCUGGGUAAGGUUGUGAGCAAGCUUGUUGAAAGAAAUCGGUUCCAGCAUCAGCUCGUCAGAGUUGGAAGAGAGAUCAAGUGACACCAAUCUGGAUAAAUGGGAGAUUUCUGGGGGAACUUGGCCUGCGAAAUUCGAUAAAUUUAGAUUUAAAUGAGUCAAAUGCAAGAACUGACCAAAGGAAGAUGAAAUGACAGAGCCAUUGAAGUCAUUGCGAGAGAGAUCAAGCUUCUGAAGAUGAUGAAGGGAGAAGAGAGUGCUGUUAGAAUGGAGGGUGCCAUAAAGCAUGCUGCAACCAAGGUCUAGGCCAAUUACAUGGCCAGUUUGCAUGUUGCAUGUCACGCCAUCCCAAGAGCAGCAAUUUGUACCCUCUUUCCACAGCACUUUCUUGGGUGGAUAACAUGGAAAUACAUUUUUCCUCCUAACUUCAAGUGAUUUAAAUUUUAAUGAAUAUUUAUUUUAGUUUUUUUCUCAAAAAAACAUGCUACUAAAAAAGACAUAAUUUUGCUAAAAUAAAAUAAAAAUGUAUGAAUAAGGAAGGAAAAAAUUGCUGCCCGAAUUGAUAUCAAUCACAUCUCUUGGAAAUAAAAAAUCAUGAAUCAUAAUUAAAUGAGCGCAAUUGAUAGCUUCAAAAGAUCAAGACAUAAUCACCUCGUUAGUGCUUUUGCUUAUAAUUUAUUACAUUAUUAUGAUUCUGGUAAAAUCAUUAACUUACAAUGACAUAAAUCCAUCGAUUAAAAAAAUUACAAACACACGACGCAAAAAAAAAAAAAAAACAGCAGCUGCACUCGCCUGGAAGAUGAUCCCCUCUUCUUGACUGCUGCCAUUAUUGACCUAGUCCACAAAGCAAGUUAGUUAACUAAACUAGUUAAAAGCAUUAUCAAGACUUACCUUCUCACACCGCCCUGAGUAGCUAGUAUCGUCUUCCACCAUUUCUGGGAGCAUUCUUCCUUCUAAGCCUUUUUGCAUUUUGAUGUGCACUGUCUUCAACCAUCUUCACAAACCAUGCAGGUUUUCUUGCUCUAAAUACAACGUAUCCUAUAGAGACUCCAAAUACAAAUCAACAUCCAUAACCCAUUGCUACUGCUUUCCAUCCAAAUCCCUCUUCAAACAUUGAAUCUUCUUUCUCGAAGUUUGAUGGUGGCUGUUGUUUCCCUUCACCUUUGUUGCAUUUUGCUUGCAAGGGAAAUCCACAUAAUCCCAAGUUCCCUUCGUAUGAACCAAUUGCAAAUGUGUUGAACUGCUUACCUACAGGUAUGGCUCCCUCAAGUUGGUUAUACGAAAGGUUCAGGACUGCAAGAAAUGUUAAAUCAACCAAUUGCUGAGGAAUCCUUCCAGCAAGCAAAUUUGAGGAGAGAUCCAGCGAUUCCAGAUUAGCUAAAUUCCCCAAUGAUGGCUGGAUAUAACCGAUGAGGCUGUUGUGAGAAAGGUUGAGCUGUAUCAGAGAUUUAAGCUUCCCGAGGGACUCUGGAAUCUUUCCAGUGAAUUUAUUGCAGGAUAAAUCAAGUGUUGCGAGGGCAAUUUGAAUUUUAGAAAACUCCAUCUCCGAACCUUUCCAUGCCAAAGUUACAGAAUAAACAUAAUAAGUAGAUAGAUUUUUAUUUUUUGGCCUCAUGUAAUCCAUAUCCUGUGCAACGCUCAUCAUGGCUUUGAAGUUGUUGAAAUACUCUGUUGGCAAAGGACCACUCAAGCUGUUGUUGGAGAGGUCAAAUAUCUGUAAUUUAGAAAAAGAGUCCUUGACAGUUGGACCCUUCAAAGAACCAUGGAGUUUAUUUGACCUUAGAACAACAACCUCCAACUUUGGAAGCUUUUCUAAAAAGGAAGGGAAUGUGUCAUCAAUCAUGUUGUUACCGAGAUCCAGAAAUUCUAAAUUCACACAAUUGAUGAUGGAUGGUGGUAUCACCCCUUUCAAUUUGUUGCCAUUGAAGUUGAGAUAACUCAAACUGUUCCCCUUUGAAUAGAUUGAAGGGAUAUUGCCGUGGAGAUUGUUGCCACCAAGAUGCAACACUGAGAGUCCAUCACUGAAGUUUCCCAAGCAUUGCGGGAUGAAUCCACUAAAGCUAUUGUUGGACAAGUCUAGAAUCUCUAGAAACUUCAGCUCACAAAUGACAGAAGAGAUGUUCCCAGUCAGUUUAUCAUUGGAGGAAAGCAUAAGAGUUGUCAAAUUCUCAAGCUUGAAAACUGAAGGUGGAAUCUGGCCAUACAACCUAUUAUGACUGAAAUCGAUAUAUUGUAAUGAAUUACAAAGGAACGGACUUAUCUGGCCAUACAGUAGGUUAUUUUGAAGAAGAGGAGCCUCCAAAGAAGGCAUAGAAAACAAAGAGGAGGGAAUUGUUCCAUUAAGCAAGUUAUGAGAUAAGUCGAGAGAGAAUAAACCUGAAAGCCUACUUAUUUGUGAUGGGAUGCGUCCUAUCAUUAUAUUGUUUGAGAGGUCCAACACAGAGAGUUGGGUGAGGUUAAAAAAACCAUCCGGAAUUUUACCGGAAAAAAUAUUAAAAGAAAGUAUCAAGAAAACUAGUUUCUUAAGGUUUCUAAAUGAGGAUGAAAUCUGGCCAUCAAACUUGUUGUUUGAGAGGUCCAAGUAGAUGAGUUGUGUGAGGUUAAAAAAAUCAUAUGGAAUUUUAUCAGAAAAAUUAUUGGAAGAAAGUUUCAAGGAAUGUAGCUUCUUAAGGUUUCUAAGUGAGGAUGAAAUCUGGCCAUCAAACUUGUUGUUUGAGAGGUCCAAGUAGGUGAGUUGUGUGAGGUUAAAAAAACCAUAUGGAAUUUUAUCAGAAAAAUUAUUGGAAGAAAGUUUCAAGGAAUCUAGCUUCUUAAGAUUUCCAAGUGAGGAUGAAAUCUGGCCAUCAAACUUGUUGUUGAGAGGUCCAAGUAGGUGAGUUGUGUGAGGUUAAAAAAACCAUAUGGAAUUUUACCAGAAAAUUAUUGGAAAAAAAGUUUCAAGGAAUCUAGCUUCUUAAGGUUUUCAAGUGAGGAUGAAAUCUAGCCAUCAAACUUGUUAUUUGAGAGGUCUAAAUAGGUGAGUUGUGUGAGGUUAAAAACCAUAUGGAAUUUUACUAGAAAAAUUAUUGGAAAAGUUUCAAGGAAUCUAGCUUUUGAAGGUUUCCAAGUGAGAAUGGGAGAUGACCUUGGAAAUUGUUAACUGAGAGUUCCAACCACGCAAUUGCGUUUGAUUAACAAAAACAUCAGGAAUUGGACCAAUAAAAUUAUUGUUUCCAAGAUUCAGGUACUCGAUAUGCUUAAGUUUUCCAAACGAGAAAGUAAUUUGACCACCAAACUGGUUACCUGCAAGGCUCAACUCAAUGAGUUGGGUGAGGUUACCAAGUAGACCAAGAUUUGAGCCAACAAAUUGCACCCUUCAAGAUACAUCACUUCCACAUACUUCAGAUGACUGAUUGAAUCUGGUUCCAAAUGGAUUGAAAUUCGUGUAUAUGACAGACCCAAAUACGAAAGAGCAUUGCUCAAAUUGUAUGGCGGAAAAGAGCCAGUGAGUCUUCGUUGCCCGAUAAAUCGAGCGAUUGAAGGUUUGAUAGGCGAGAGAAAUUAUCAGGGAGUUCCCCUCGCAAUCCACAAAACCAGAGUUCCAGAGAUGACAAAGAAGAAGACAAGUUCAUCAAGGAAUUGGGUACCACCAAAGACAUGUUCACUCCACCCAAGUAGAGUUCUCUCAGCUGGGUAAGGUUCUGAGCAAGCUUGUUGAAAGAAAUCGGUUCCAGCAUCAGCUCCUCAGAGUUGGAAGAGAGAUCAAGUGACACCAAUCUGGAUAAAUGGGAGAUUUCUGGGGGAACUUGGCCUGCAAAAUUCGAUGAAUUUAGAUUUAAAUGCGUCAAAUGCAGGAACUGACCAAAGGAAGAUGAAAUGACAGAGCGAUUGAAGUCAUUGCGAGAGACAUCGAGCUUCUGAAGAUGAUGAAGGGAGAAGAGAGUGCUGUUUUCAUGUUGCAAGUCACGCCAUCCCAAGAGCAGCAAUCUGUACCCUCUUUCCACAGCACUUUCUUGGGUGGAUAACAUGAAAAUCCAUAUGGAGAAUCAGAAGGCAUCAUGGAAAAGGAAUUUUUGAAUUGGAGCAAAGCCAGGCUCUGGUCACCGGGGCAUAAUUGUACUGAAGAGGAGAAAUUGGAAGAAGAAUGAGCAGGUUGGGAGUGCGAAUGGAAGAAAAGAAGGCAGAGAAAUUGAGCGAGCAACAAUGAAGAUCCCAUCAUUCCCUAAAAGUG
This 175137-nucleotide long non-coding RNA is filed under the name Populus tremula. Its description in RNAcentral is "long non-coding RNA (PTRE_LNC003130)". The stretch from base 129650 to 129804 matches the Rfam family "MIR2912 microRNA precursor family". Lineage: Eukaryota; Viridiplantae; Streptophyta; Magnoliopsida; Malpighiales; Salicaceae. The record is from RNAcentral.